RNAcentral lists this long non-coding RNA (91059 nucleotides) under Olea europaea (common olive). RNAcentral describes it as "long non-coding RNA (OEUR_LNC007305)". The record is from RNAcentral. Lineage: Eukaryota; Viridiplantae; Streptophyta; Magnoliopsida; Lamiales; Oleaceae.
GUGCUUCCCUUAAUGGAAGUUGCACUCCAUUUAGUAAAAUAUGGCUUCAAAACCACAUUUGUAAACUCUGAGUUCAUUCAUGAACGAGUUAUCAAAUCAAUGCCGGAGACCGACAACGUACGAAAACUCAUAAAAAUGGUUUCGUUACCUGACGGGUUAGAAUCCUCCGAUGACAGAAGUGAUACGGGAAAAUUGUGGGCUUCAAUUGUUAGGGUCAUGCCCGGAGAGAUAAAGGUUCUUAUUGAACGGAUUAAUGGUUCAGAAAGUGAUAAAAGCAGUUGUAUAAUUGCCGAGACCAGCUUGGGUUGGGCUAUCGAGGUUGCAGAGAAAAUGGGAAUCAAGAAAGUGGCUUUCUGGCCAGCGGCAUCAGCGUUAUUCGCCCUGUUAUUCAAAAUUCCGAGCCUUAUUGACGAAGGAAUCAUAGACAGUGAAGGUUAUUACAGUUUUAAACAUAAACUAGUCUUCAAUACUUUAUUCUAAACCCUGUUAAUUUUUAUUUUCAACAUCAAGCAGCUCACUUUUCCCUCUAAUUUUAUAUUCUAAGAACGUCUCCAAGAUAUUAUAUUUUUAAGGAUGAUGUUAUACGUACAUUAGAGUGUCAUAUAAUGGUGUCCACCCCCUCACAAGGAGGGGAAUCCGCUUCGAAUAAAAUGUAAUUUAUUUGAAGUGGGUCCCCCUCCAUGUGAAGGGGAGGAAACCGUUAUAAAUACCACAUUAUAUACAAGUAGUAUAUUCCUAUUUUUAAAGAGCGUAUUCUAUCAUUUGAAGAGCAUCUAUAUAUUUAGAGAGUUAAAAUUUUGGAAGUACUCUAACAAACUCUUUAUAUUUAACACUUAAUUUUACUACUCCUAUAAAAAUAAUUAUUAUUUUUCUGUCUUUUAUUUUAAUUAGCUUUCCUCUACAUUAAAAAUUGAAACAUUUCAAAUGCAUUUAAUUAUAGAGUUAAAAUGUUAAUUCAAAGAAUCUCUUUGAACAUGAUUUUAAGUAUUGACUAUUUAAAAUAGAGAACAUUGAAUAUUUAUAGAGUCAAAAAAAUUCAAUUAAUGGGAUUUUUACCAUGUUCUCUUCCCAAGAAGAUAUCCCCAAAAAAAAGAAAAAAAAAAAAAGAGAGGGGUUUUAUAAGCAAGUUUAUCCAUGAACUUAGAGCAUGUUUGGCUAACCUUAAGUGAUAUGUGGCUUCUUUUCUAACAUUUAAGUUUUGCCAAGCAUGUUUUCGACGUACUCGUAAUUGGUCUUUGAAUUUAUAAUAAUUAAACUUUAUAAUACCACCUAGUUAUUCUAUAAAAUUGAUUAUGCAAGUCCCCACCUAACAGUCACUCAUUUGAUUCAAGGAAUGCUAUGGAGUAUGGUCCUUAGUUAAUUGUUCAACUCGAUUGUAAUUUCUAUGACCAAAGUUGUUUUUAAUUGAAGAGUAUUUAUUUUAUCAUGUUUGAUCUUGAUGUACAUUAUGGCUGAUCACAACUUUCGCCAUCACGCCACAUGAGCAUGCUAUCAACUAAAUUGGUGUCGCCAUUGGUUUUUAUGUAUGGACCGAAUUGAUUUUAGUGAAUAAACGAUAAAUAUUAAAACUUUUGGAGUCCACAUACCAUUUCUGACUAUAAGUUCAAGAAGGAUCUAAGUUUCUAAACAAAAAAAAAAUAAAAAAUAAAAAAAAAUUGUAUUCUAUAACUACUAAUAUUGUUGAACCUUCUAUGUAGGAACACCAAUGAAAAACCAGAUAAUUCAACUUUCACAAGCGAUGCCUCCCAUGAAGACAAUAGAUUUCUUUUGGAAUCGUUUGGGCGAUGAAGCAGAACAGAAAUUGUUCUUCAAACUCCUGGUAAAAAAUAUGCAAUCGGUUAAAUCGUCAGACACGUUAAUUUGCAACUCAUCUGAUUGGUUGGAGCCUGGGACGUUUGCUUUAUUUCCAGACAUUUUACCCAUAGGACCUCUUCUGGCAAGUAAUAGGCUUGGAAAAUCAGCUGGCAGCUUCUGGCAACAAGACUCACGUUUUCGAGAAACAAUAUUAAGCUAUAAAAAAUAGAAAACUUAUGUUUAUUUAAAUUAUAUUUUUAACAUGCCCCUAAAAAACUGAAUUAUUUAUUUUUAUCAAAGACCUUGACUCUUGCAUUAGUUUCAUAAAUUCAUAUCCUCAUUUACUCUUUAACCAUUUUAUCUUGAAAACUAAGAUGUAAGAAUAGGGACAACAUAUUUAUUUGAAUUUUGUCUUCAACAGGUUGCCUCUCGUGGCUUGAUCAGCAACCACGUAAUUCUGUCAUAUAUGUUGCAUUUGGAAGUUUCACAGUAUUUGAUAAAAAUCAAUUCAAAGAACUUGCUCUCGGCCUUGAACUCACCAAAAGACCAUUCCUGUGGGUCGUGCGGGAAAACACUACUGAAGACGUCGACAAUGCAUACCCAAUAGGGUUCCGCGAAAGAGUACAGAAUUGGGGGAGGAUGGUGGCUUGGGCACCGCAGCAAAACGUCCUAUCCCAUCCUUCCAUUGCUUGUUUCAUUAGCCAUUGUGGUUGGAAUUCCACCAUCGAAGGCAUAAGCAGUGGAGUCCCUUUUCUGUGUUGGCCGUAUUUCUCGGAUCAAAUGUUCAAUCAGAGCUACAUUUGUGACUGUUUGAAAAUAGGAUUGAAAUUGAAUAAAGAUGACGGUGGAAUUAUUAGGCAUGAAGAGAUUAACAACAAACUAGAACAACUUUUGGGUAAUGAAAGAUUUAAAAAAUUGGCAUUGGAUCUUCAAUCAAAUGUCCUAAACAGCAUUCGAGAAGGAGGGAGCUCUUAUAAUAAUUUCAAGGAUUUAGUAGCGGCUGGGGCACAUUGCUUUCGCUUCUGUAAUAGAGGCGCUUUAAUAGGCGCGCUUGGCUAAGGAAUAAAAACCUUGGUCCGCUUUCAUUUGUCUAGUAGGAUUAAGGAUUGAAAAAUGAUUUUGUUCUAGAUAUCCUAUUAUUAUCUUCACAUUAAAUAUGUAUCAUUGGCAUUGAUAGUAUUGAGUGCAAAUUUGGUUAAUCUUACAUAAUUUUCAAUAUAAUAUUUUGUGUUUAUUAAAGUUAAAAAUGUUAGGGCCUGCUUGGUUAGUGUUUUAGUUUUUAGUUUUUAGUUCAUUUUCAGUUUUCUAUUUUGAGGGUCUAUGAUAGAGCCCCCUGUUAUUGCUGCGCAGCUAUGGAAAUCCCUUGCAAUUGCUGAAAUGGUAAACUGUGGAACAGCUGUUCAACAGUAAUAUCGGCCAAAUAUUAUGAUAAAGGAUAUGGAAUGUAAUGUAAUGUAGAUUUAUUGAUUGUACUGGAAGUGAAAAAAAAGAAUGAAAUACUGGAAUGAGGAAACAGAAAUUGAAACUCUAGGCCUCCCUUCUAUAGCACUAUUAUCCACUAGCCCUUCCUACUAACUGAAUGGUGAAUCUUCAUUACAAAUGGUUGUGUUAACCCUUUUUCUUUUUCUUGCAUAGAUGAUCCUAAGUGGGAGUCUAUCAUUACCUGUCACUCCCAAAAGUCACCUUGUUCUCCAGGUGAAAAUGUGGUUCAACUUCAAAAUUUGGAACCAAUUUUGGAGUAAGCUUGUUGUAGCUAUUAACUUGUAUAGUCAAUCGACCACCUAUAAUUAGAAUGGUAUCAAUGCAAACCCCAUAACCGAAUGUGGCUAUUCAAAUUAAAGUUAUGUAUAUCCCCAUAUUUGAUUAUCACCAUACCUUCCAGCUUCAUUAAUCUCCCUUCUACUUUCUUGAUCAUAGAUGCAAUCAAGCUUGCUAUCGUAUUUUGGAAAAACUCCACCCAAUCUUCCAUCUCGUCCUCUUCGACCUCCUCUAACACCUUCUCUUGGACCUCUCUUUCUUCAUCAUCUUGCAAUACCCGUACCUAGAGCUCUUUAUUUAUGCACCUAUGACCUGGGUUGUAUUUUUCAUCAUAGCGGUAACACAGUCCUCCGGCCCUUUUUAUCUGUAGCUUGGCAUCGGUCAAUUUCUUAAAUGGAGGCUCCCUUUUUGUCGCUAUUGAAGGACUCAGGACUAUAGCUGGCUGGGUUUUCUCACUAUUCAGUCGUGCUGCUUUGGAAUGAUUUGGGUAAUUUGGGUAAGUGUUGGGGGUGUUUUGAUAUGGGUAAAGCCGUAAAGUUGUGGCUGUUGUAGGAUAGCAGGCUUAGAGAGUUUUUAAUUCGGGCAACUUACAAACAUAUUCUUAAAAUUAAGGAUUUUUGAAAAAUCAUAUAAAAUAUAUUUCAGAAGUAAAAAAUAUUGUGUAAAAUUUGUGUCACAUUUUAUUUAUUUUUAAUAAAGGUGGCACAAUGUCACUUGUUAUACAAUGUACUUUUUAAAGUUAAGCAUUACUUUUUAUUAAAAAGUGAUAUUUUUUAUUCAAAAAAGUGACAUAAAUUUCAAGGAAGUGACAAAAAAAAAUCAACGUUAAAAAAAGUGACAAUUUUUUUUUGAAAAAAGUGACAUAUAUUCAAAAAAAUGACAAAACACCAAUUAAAACAUUGAAAUCAAUUCAAUAAAGUGUAUAGAAAAAAAAAGGCGAGACAACAAUGUCUCUUUUCUUUCUCCGUUCACCUCAACCAAUGACUCAAUUGCUAUUCCUCCACUUUCUCCGUCGCCACCACUAUUACUAUCAAUAGACCAAAGCCUAAGCACAAAAAGCUAAACACAUAAAACUGAAGAAAAAAGAACUCAAAUAUGAACAUAUUAAAAAAAAAAGUGAUAAAUAUUAUUCAAAAAAUUGACAAACACUAAAAAAUUGGCAAAAAUUUUAAAAGGUGAUGAUCACUUAAAAAGGUAACAAAACGCCAACUUGGCCAUUUUCCACAAUGGCCUUUUUAUGCAUAAAAGACAAAAUUACCCUUACGUAUGUUAUACAAUUACAAAAAAUAUGGUAUUGUUUUAAAAGACAAUAAUAUCCUUUUAAGUUAGAAAGAAUUCUAAACACUUUUCACUUUAAAAAUUUAAUACCAAGCCACUUUUUUUUUUUUUUUUACUCAUGCAUAGAUAAAAAUUGUUUCAUUUUUUUAUCUGCUUCAACAUUGAAAUCUCAUAAAUUUAUCAAAUGCUCAACAAAAAAAAUAUUGUUUCUAGCCAUCGCUUUGAAUCGGUAAAUAUAUAUUUGCGUAUUUUUAAUUUCAUUUUCAUUGAAUUAGUAAAUUAUUUUAAUCAUUAAAUCUUAUUUUUACAUAAGCAGAUAAAUUUUUACAAUCUUAAGCAGAUUUAUAAUUUUUUGAAUCAAAAAGAAAAAAAAUUCAUCUCCAUACACUAACAGUCGGUUGAAAAAACCCAUGGGCCAAGCGACUAGGCCUUCUGUUUUCCAACUGGUCAAUCAAAAAUGGAUGGCCCAGUCAUCUGGGCCAUCGAUUUCCAAACAACUUGAUCCAACUGGCCUAAUAGGUUUUUCUUCUCAUUUUUUAUCUCCUAAUUAAUUUUUAACAAAUUAUGUUUCCUAAUGCAGAUAGGUGAUCAAUUGCAGUCUCGAUUUGUUACUUUGGUGAAUUUGAAGUAUAUAAAUAUGAUCGAUAGAUGUGGAAAUAGACGAGUGAAAGAUAUGGUGCUACUACAAUUGUGAUAAGAUUGAGUACUUCAUAUGCAGAAAUGUACUACGAUAUACAGAACAAACUCAACAUCUAUCCCUCUCAGUAAGGCAUGAAAUUAGGAUUUCUAUUCAACAAGCAUACAUUCAUUUCAAUUUUACCUGUAAUGAUUACUUUUGAAGCUGAAAUGAAUGUUUUAAUUAAAUUGAACAAAAAUCGCACGACUCCUAUUUGCAUAAUUUUAGUUAAAAAAAAUAUCCUUGAGAGUGAACACGAAGAUUCUAAUAAAAAGGAUCGUGAUGUGAAUAAUAUUUGUGACACGACGGAGAUAGUUUGUGAGGAUGAUAUGACUAUUUUUGAGACAGUUGUUCAUCACCAUGAUUUCACUGUUAUGCACAGAAUUCCCUCUAUAGUUCAAAACAAUAUGAAUGAAAAAUGAAUUUACAAAUGAGGAUUCGAUUGCUUUAUUCCGUCGGAGACAUGAGUCGGGUGGGAGCCCACAGACUGGAACGAGUACAUGGUUCUCUAUUUGUUCGCAUGUAGUUCCCAAUGAUGAAAAUUUAUAUGUCGAGUAACUGUUUGAAACAAAGAAAGAUUUACGAAAGUUAUGCACCAGAUUGCUUUGAAACACAACUUUGAGUUUCAAGAGAAGAAAUCAACAAGUCAGCGUACACAAUUAUUCUCAUUGAAGACAGUUGCCAUUAGCAUUUUGUGAGCAAUAAAGAUAGAUACGAAUGAGUUCUUUGUAAUUCAUAAGUAUGCAUUGGAGCAUACUUAUGAAGUUGGUAUUCAUAGAAAUGAUCAUGUUCAAGCUAUAGCAUGGUUCAUUGAUCGACAAAUAAUGCACAAGUUUCAAGACACACUAACGAUCUACAGACCAUCGGACAUCAUUAAUGACGUUCGUUGAAAGUAUGGGGUAGUCAUGAGCUAUCAAAAGGCCUGGAAAGCCAAAGAAUGCUCAUGGGAGAGCUUAAUGAGUUCGGCCUAGGAGAGUUAUGCUAAAUUCACUUGGUAUUGCUAUAACAUGAGAAAAACUAAUCCUGAAUCGGCAUUUUUUAUUGAGAUGGGGGCGAGAAUCGUUUCAAGUAUUUUUUUAUAGCUUUUGGACAACGCAUUCGAGGAUUUUGAAACGUGAUACGACCCCCAAUUCUAGUCGACAGUACAACCCUUAAGACUAGAUACAAAGGCAAGUUGAUUAUUGCAACAUGUCAAGAUACCAACAUCCAAAUUUACGUUCUUGCACUCGGCAUAACCAACGGAGAGAAUGAUCUAGCAAUGCAUUGAUUCUUCAAGAUAUUGAGAUAAACAAUUAGGGAUAUCGGGAUCCUUACAUUCGUAACUAACCGGGAGCAGUCAAUAAUAAAUAGUAUCAUUGAAAUCUUUCCCGAGGCACAUCAUGGUUAUGUAUGUAUUACAUAUAGGGCACCUAAAGACUAAGUAUUGGGACAAUUGCAUUGUUGCAUUGUUUAGGAGAGCUACAAAAGCUUACAGUUUUGAAGAGUUUGAUAAGUUAAUGGUUGAAAUAGAAAGUAAAUCACAUGCUGCAUGGGAUUAUCUAACAGAGAUGGGAAUCGAACAUUGGGCAUGAUUUCAUUUUUCAAGAUGUCGAUACAACAUAAUGACAUCGAACAAUGUGGAGUCACUCAAUGCAUUAUUCAAAAAGGAUUUAGAGUUACCAAUUCUGGCAAUGAUUGAGCACAUUCGUAACAAGUUAUAACAGUGGUUUCAUAACCAACGUGAAGAAUCCAUAGAAUUGCAUAAAUGUGCUAACCCGAUUUAGGAAGAUAAAGUCUUCAAGACUUUAGAGGUGGCGAGAAAGGUAUGUAUAGAACCACUGGAAUAGUUUCGCUUCUCCAUGAGAAGUGGACGUAAUAUCAGAUACAUCCAUGGACUUGAAUGAUAACACGUACAAGUGUAGAAAGUUUGAGUUUGAGAGUUUUUCAUUUACGCAUGCAGCUGUGUGGCUAUGAGAGGAUUUUUAGCAUACACCUUAUAUAGUUAUUAUUACAUGGUUUGAUUAUUGGAGAUGAUCGUAUGCCGAAAAAAUAUUUCUUGUACCAAGUGAAGUCGAGUGGAAAGUUCCCAACCACAUUCUCCCACUUAAUAAUUUGUUGCCACCCGAAGUCGGACCACGUACUCAUCGAUGUAGAUGUAAGUCAAGAUUGCCAUCUACAGGAGAAUUUUUCCAAUCUCGUAAGUGCGGCACAACAUGGUAUACUCGUCGAUUUUGUAUAAGUCAAAUUCCUUUACAUAACAAUUCAACAGAUGUAUAAUGUAACAUCCCGAAUUUUUAUUUAAUAUUUUCAUAUUGGCCUAAAUUUAAUGUUGGUUAUUUAGUGAAAUAGUCCAUUAUUCUAUUCGUUAUUUAAUAAAAUUUAAUUUUUAUUUACUAUUUUCACAUUCUGUUUAUUAUUUAAUAUUUUUUUUGUAUUUGAGCAUUUGACAUCCCAUGUGAAAUUUAAAUUGAUGGUUGAAAUCGUAGUAUUUCAAAAUUUUUCUUUGGUAAUACUUCAAGUUUAUUGUCAUAAAAAUAAAAUAAUAAGAAUAAUUUUUAACUAUUUGUUUACUUAUACAAUCAAAUAUUCUCAGAAUUACACAUAUAAUUGUUGCAUCACAACACAAAUCACAAUGAAGUAAACAAUAUAUACAUUUUUUAAUAAAAUAAUACACAACUUGCUAAGGAUUACAGUUGUAUUCAUACAAAUUGCAGGCUAACUUCGACCUUGAUAUAUCUAUCCAAGAUUGAUUUAUUGUAUCAACCUUGUGACCAAUACUAAAAAAUUCUAUCUACUUUACUGUGAAUAUACCACAAUUGCCCCUGCAGGUAAAUAAUAAUAUAUUAGUUAAAAACUUAUAGCUAAAAAAUAAGGUUUCAAAUUAAAAACUUAUAAAUCCUUACGAUUCUCCUUGUCUCACCAUCGUCAUGUCCUACACAAUGGCUAAUCUAUCAUCUACUCAAAUCAUCGUAUGACUAGGUAUUAAGGGAACGAUCACAAUCAUUAGCUCCAGUCUUUGCUCCACUUUAGCUUAUGUCAGACAACUAUAAUCGGAGUCGUACUUAUAGAUAAUGGAAUCAGCGAUUGCGAUUUCAACUACAAAGUAGUAUGAGUUCGCAAUCAUUGGAAUGUACAUAUGUAUACAAUCUGUCCAUGGCUUUUCACACAUCGGUUCCAACCUAAUGACCUACUUCAACAUGUACUCAGGCACCACUUAUCCAUCCCCUUGGAGUAUUAUGCUUAAUAUCAAUGGCAUGUGCAAACCCGGAACUCAUGAUGACUCGACCAGGAAAGUCGACGGAUCUCGGGUGUCUCCGAUCCCAAUUGCACGACAUUUUCAUGGUCAUGUCAAUAUGCUAAAACAAAAAAACCAAUAAAAAGAGAUAGAAUCAUUUAAUUAAAUAAAACAACAAAUUACGAAAACAUAAUAAAUAACAACAAGAAUACACUUACAUCAUAGAUGAGCCAAGCUAAUUUAGUCAGUAUAUCUUCAAGCCACUUUUUAGCCUUUGAAACUGUCUUCUCCUCAAUCUUGUAUCUGUCUCUGAAAAAUAAAAAAGUGAAAUGUUACAAAAAAGCAUAUAUGAUCUCAUAUAUAUUUUAGCAAAAUCAUAAAAGUAUUUACUCUGGCUUAAAGGAUUUGAACCAUUCAUCAAACGUUUUGUGCUUCACUGAGUCGACGUCGUGAAAGAGAUUGGAAAACAUCCCGUCCACGAGCAUCCUUCUCUUUGCCUCAGUAGUGAAGGGAGAAAUGAUGUAUUGUGAUGAAAAUAUCGGCCUCUUAUCGACGACCAGUUUCGGUACGUCAGUAGCACGCUUCUUCCCCUUCCUUACCUCUAUCACUCUCUCCUGUAUAAAGAUGACAUCCUCCAUCGUGUCUGGGGUCCUCUUCUCCUCCGUCACUUCCUUCUCCUGUACUUCCUCCGCCAUAUCCCCUCUUGUGCCACACCCCCUUUCUAUAUCCCAUUCACCACCUCCUUAGGCACCCCUUAUUGCCUCCUUUUGCAACCCCCUCUGACGCCUCCAUUGGGGCCACACCCUCUGUUGUACAUGAAAAAAAUGAUUCGAAUGUAGCAUCUAAUGGCCAAGAAAAAUUAUCAUACCCUAUAUGACGAUCUCCUUCGUCAUCUCCUUACCCCUGAGAACUACCUCCGUCACCCUCUCCAUCUAGAGAAUCGUUAAUCCAUCUUAUCAUUCCUUCCGUCUCGAGAGCCGUCAAUCCCCGUAGGCCUACUAUGUCACAUCGUAUUGCUACGACCUCAACAUGAAUGUCUACAACUCGACUCGUAGUAUCGUGACAUCAUGUCGUAACUCUGUUACGUCACCUCUCAUCUCCCUUAUAAAUGUAGUCAGAAGUUCAAACAAAUUAUCAGUAGAAGCUUCACGACUACUUGCAAGAGAUGUACAUGGGAGAUGUCUAAAUGCAGGAGAAGGUGAUCUUAUAUGUGGAGGUGACCUCCAAGGGAAAUGUGAUAUCCUCGGUGAAGGUGAUCUCUUUAAUGGAGGUGAUGGUGGACAACGCUCCUAAAAAAUGAACAUUACAAAUGAAUAAACUAAUUAAAAAUUCAAAACAAUAAUCAACAAAUUGUGUUCAAUUACACACCAUAUCUUGAUCCACAAUGGCCUCAAGCAUCUGAUCAUCUAGCGUAGUUGGAACGAAAGCUCACGCAGAUAACUUUGACCCUCCUCAUUGAUCGACGGUGUCUACUAGGUAAGGAUUUCAAGUUGAUAUAUUGACAUUUCACUGAGUUAGUGACCAUCUAUCAAGAUUUUUGAAAUGAGUACAAUAUAAAAUCAUUGUACACUAUGUGCCUCAGGAUUUUUGAGGAGAGCUUUAAUUGUUUGGCAAGUGGCUUGUCUUGUGCUUGCCAAUGAUGUUUCCGAUGACAACAUGUCUUCCCUCUUCUCGCAUAUCGAUUAGCUAAGAUAAGGACAAUCUCAUACAUCUAUAUCUGCAACAAUUACAAUUAAUACAUGUAAAAUUUAAAUAAAAAAAUGGAUAGUUCAUUAUGUUAAAAAUUUACUUACAAAGCCAACGGCAAGCCAUAUACGUCGUACUUGGGGCCCGGGCCUACCUCUAGGCAUCGAAUACCCCUUCCAAAAAAUGCAUAAAGUAUCCAUAAAACAUUUCUGCCCUCAUGGAUAGUUGCUAAAGGUAUUAAUGCCAUCAACAACUUUCAAAUGAAAAACAUCAAUUGAUGUCUUCUUGUGAUGACACUUGAGCACGCUCUCGAGGAUAAGUGCCAACCCCAGCUUCAACUUGUCUGACAUUUGGUUUCAUUCCCUGAAUGUAUCUCCUAACUGUGCUAGAGUUACUGUCGUUUCUCCAUGAAAAGUAUUCAUUCAACAACCUCAUAUUUUUCAGAAUACAGCCCUUACUGCUUCUUUGCCCGUACAUUUCAAUCUAGAGAUGAAGUCAAACUCGAAUAUAUAGAAUGUAGCUACAUUGCCUCCCAAAAUCAAAAUAGAGGGCAUCUACGUCAACUGGCUUAAGCAGCCGACAUAGUAAUGUAUCGAGCAAUUGUCUGGAUAACUGUACAUCAAGCAACGAAUACAUGGGCUAUAAGCAUGGUUAACGUAAUAUGUCUAUAUGCUCCUCAUCGAGCAAAUCUAAUACCGUCGUAAAGUUGGCAAAAUUACAGUUCAAUGUAACUUUACCGAAAAUCUGUCUAGUGACGACGUUCAUGUGGUAUUCCACCCUGAAAAAUUUCAAUGUUAGAAAUUUUAUAACAGAUAAUAGAUAAAGCAUCAUACUACAAAAAAAAAAAAAAAAAAAAAAAAAAAACAAAAAAAAAAAAAAAAAAAAAAAAACUAACCAAACUAUAGCUAUUAUAUGCAAGAAUUAACAGAUAAUGGAAAAAAGGAAAAUGAAAUUAAACAAAAAAUUAUAAAAAGCAAAAAUUUAUUUCUUGUGAACAACAUUAAAAAUUCAAGAAAAAAUUAAACUAUAAUUAAUAUCAGACUAAAAAUUAAAAAAGAAAUAAUAAUGAAACAGUAAAUAAACAAUUAAAACAAGCAACUACAAAAAUAAUUAAAUAUUCAACAAAAACUAAAAUAAAUAAUCAAAUAUUAAAUUAAAAAUAAAAAUAAAUAAUUUCAAAAACAAAUAAAUUUUAAAUAAAUAAUGAAAAGAUAAUUUAAAUUGAUAAUUAGAUAUUAAAAAAAUUUAAAUAAAAAUUAAAGUAAAUAAUUAAAUUCAACUAAACCAAACAAAUGCAAAAAUAAUUAAAUAUUAAUUAAAUUAAUAAAUAAAUAAAUACAAAAUCAAAUAAAUAUUAAAUAAAAAAUUUAAAAAACAAUUAAAAUAAACAAAUAAUUACAAAAUAUAAAAGCAAAUAUUUAAAUAUUAGGUAAACAAAUCAAAUAAAUUAUUACAAAAAUAAUUAAAUAUUAAAUAAAUAAUUAUAUAUUAACUAAACGAUUAAAUUAAAUAAUUUAAAUAAAUAGUAAAAAAUUUAGUAAACAAAAUAAAAUAAAUAACUGCCACAACAGUUAAAUAUUAAAUAAAGAAUGAAAUAUUCAAUAAAUAAUUCAAUUUUUUCUAAACAAAAUUAAAAACUCAGGGAAAAAUAUUUAAUAAGGAAUUAAAUAUUGAAUAAAUAAUUAAAUAAAUAAAUAAAUAAAUAGUUAUUAAAUAAAUAAUUUCAAAAAAAUAAAUUAAAUAGUUAAAUAGUAAAUAAAAAUUAAUAAAUAAAUAAAUAUAAAUAAUUAAAUAUUUAGUAGAUGAUUAAGUAAAUAAUUACAAAAUCAAUUAAAUAUUAAAUAAACAAUCUAAAUAAAUAAUUAAAUAUUAAAUAAACAACUAAAAUAAACAACUACAAAAUAAUUAACAAUUAAAUAAAAAUUAAAAUAAAUAAUUUAAAUACACAAUUUAGAUAAAUAAUUAAAUAUAAAACAAACAAUUACUAAAAUAAUUAAUAUUAAAUAAAAAUUUAAAUAAAUAAAUAAAUAUCAAAUAAAUUGUUGCAAAAUGAAAUAAUUAUUAAAGAAACAAUUAGAGUAAAAAAAUUAAAUAUUAAAUAAAUAAUUACCAAAAAAUUAUAUUAAAUUUUUAAAUAUUAAAUAAACAAUUUAAAUAUAUAAUUUAAUUAAAUAAUUAUAUAUGAAAUAAAUAAUUCAAAUAAAUAGUUAAUUGUGAAGUAAACAAUUAAAAUAAAUAACUUCCAAAACAGUUAAAUGUUAAAUAAAUAAUUAAAUAUUCAACUAAUAAUUCAACUUUCUUGUAAACAAAAUUAAAAACUCAAGAAAAAAAUUUAAUAAAGAAUUAAUUAUUGAAUAAACAAUUAAAUAAAUAAUAUCAAAUUUAAUUAAAUAUUAAACAAUAAUUUAAAUAAACAAUGACAAAAAUAAUUAAAUAUUAAAAAAUAGAUAUAAAUAAUAAAUAUUUACUAAACGAUUAAAUGAAUAAUUACAAAAUCAAUUAAAAUUAAGUAAGCAAUUUAAAUAAAUAUUAAAUAUUAAAUAAACAAUGAAAAUAAAACAAUUAAAAAUAAUUAUAUAUUAAAUAAAAAAUAAUUGAAUAUGUAAUUAAAUAAAUAAUUUAAAUAAAUAUUUAUUUAUUAAGUUAACAAUUAAAAUAAAUAAUUAUAAAACAAUUAAUAUUAAAUAAAGAAUUAAAUAUUCUAUAAAUAAUUUACUCUUUUGUAAACAAAAUAAAAAAACUCAAGGAAAACAAUAUUUAAUAAUGAAUUAAAUAUUCAGUAAAAUAAGUAAAUAAAAAAUUAUUAAAAAAUAAAAAUGGAAGAUCCAAUGGUCCAAUCAUGUGGAUCCAUAUAGCACUGGAUCCGAAAGUCCAGACGACCCAGAUGUAUGGGCCAUAAGUAUUAGUUUUCAUUGUGCUAAUCAAUUUUAAAACUUUUUUGGCUGUUUUGGGCCUUCCCUAUCUUUUCUACUUGAGCCAUUCUUACCGAAUCAUUCUUAUCUUCUACAAGUUGGGCCAACUCCAUGGUAUGGUCCAAACACAUGGUUUGAGCAUUCGUACCUCAGCCCGAAUGGUUUCUUUUAGUCCAUUCACGAAGCUCCUAUCCAUGACGGCUUCAGAAUUCACCGAUGAAGGGGCUUCAAGAAUUGUCGAAUCAAAUGAGUUCUCUGUGAUCUCUUUUUCCUUCCUCUAUCUUUCUCGCUCAUCCCAUUUUUUCAUCAUCAAAUCAAGCUUCUACGUGAUAUCUACUAUACUUCUCUGGAGCUCAACUUUCAUGGCUCUAUUUCCCCUCUUAUUUUUGAAUUCAUGUUUCCAAUCCUCACUUCAUAUUACUAACCUGAUAUUACAUUUCUUCAUCAGGUGCAAUGUCACAAUGUUGAUGCUUUGAUACCAUUUUGAUGGAUUUUGCUACUUGUACAGAAAAAAAUAUACAUAAUGGAUUACAUAAUAUGUGAGGAGAAAAAAUUGGAUGAAAAAAUUGAUUGUAUUUUAAACUGGCAAAUGGUAGAAUGCCAUGUAGUAUUAUGUAAUCCAUUAUGUAAAUAUUUAUGUACCUAUUUUGAUAGAGCACCUUGUUAUCGUUGUAUAGCUAUGGAAAUCCCUUGAACCUGCUGAAAUGGUAACCCGUGGAAAAGCUGUUCAAUUAUGAUUCAGCCAAAUAUUAUAAUAAAAGGAUAAAGAAUCGAGUGUAAUGUGGAUUUAUUGAUUGAACUAGAAGUCGAAACAAGGAACGAAAUACUAGAAUGAGGAAACAAAAAUUGAUCAAACUCCAAGUAGGCUUGUCUCUCUUAUACCCUUAACUGAACAUCAGUCCAAAAGCAUCCUUACAUAACCCCCCUUCUUACUAUUUAUAGGCCUUCCUUCUAUGACACUAUUACUCACUUACCCCCUUGUGUUAACUGAAUGUUGAACCUUCUAGAAUCUGAGAUAAUCUGACUGCCUCACAGUUGGAUGCAAUAACCCGUUUUCUUCUUCUUGCAUAGGUGAUCCUAAUUGAAGUUUUAUUAGUCUAUUUUAAAAUUGCUAAAAAUACGUUUGGUUUAAAAUUUUGAUUAUUUAAUAAAAUAGAAUAAUUUAUGUUAAUAUAUUAUCAAAUAAUAUAUGCAUUUUAAAAUUGGUGAGAAUAUUUUUAUCUAUGUUCAUUUAAAUUUUUUUUUUAAUUUUUAUGCAAAUAAUCAUUAAGAGAUUGAAUUGUUUUUAUUUUUAUAAUUUUUAUUUUUCUAAAAAUUUCUAUAAUUUUACUUUUUCAGAACUACUAUUUUUUAUUUUUUAGAAUUUUUAUUUUUCAGAAUUUUAUAUUUGAUUCUUUCAAUUAUUUUUCUAAUUUUAUUUGUCAUAAAUUUAUAUUUUUUAGUUUCUAAAAUUUUAUUUAAAUGAAAUUUAUUUAAACAUUUGUUUUUCUUGUCAAAAAUGUUUACAGAAUUUUUCACAUAAAACGCUCAAAAUGUCAAAGAUGUGUUUCGAGUUUUAUAUUAUAAGUUAAAAAACAUUUCCAGUGUUUUGAAAAACUCAAAACUAAAAAUAGCAAAUUAAAUGCACCCUUAGCUACUUAUAUUUUGGAAGUAAUUCUCUUGGUUACUUGUUUCGAAAAAUAAUUAUUACUUUACUAUAUAUAUAAUUAUUUUUCUUAUUUAUGAAUAGAUAAAAUUAACUUAUUCAAACAUGACAACUGAAUAAACCUCAUAUAUAUAUAAGAUAUGCAAAAAUACCCAUGAAAAUAUGCCAACCAAAUAAAGUCCACCUCUCCAAUUUAAAUGCUCACUUGAGCAACCAUAUGCUGCAGCUUAUCGUUGUUCUCUAUUCUACUUGCUUAACCGAGCAGUUGGCUCGCCUUAGCCAAAUUAUUGUUGUUUUCUUCACUCCAAUGUAGCAUUUUAGGUUUAACUCAUGUUCGGCUCCCAUUUUCUUAUAACUCAUUUAUCCUCAAUUUCAUUUUCAAAAAUUGCCUCGAAUUGAAAGAACAUCUAGGGUUGGUCAUUUUGGAGAUUGAAAGAAUAUAUUCAAUCGAUCACCAUUUUAGGUUAAAAUAACAUCAGAAUCUUCAUUUUUUUCUUAUGUACUGCUCGGCUUCACCAAAUAUAUAUCCAAAAACUCCCCAAAAAAGAAGGGGAUGAAAUUUUGGCAUAAAACUACUAUUGGCUUUUAUACUACCUAUUUUGUGAGAUCAACAUUUUAGUAUCUUUCGCUGGAAAAUUACCAAAACCAUGAAGGACAGCAAGUGAAGGAACUGUUAGACUCAGAAAGAUUGUAGUGAAUGAGAUUAACGACGUGAUAUGAAGUAACAAAGAUCGCAAUGAGAAACAAGAUUUAAAAGUAAAGAAACUAACAAAGAAAGUAAAUCGUAAAAGCACGAUGUUUUAUUAAUCGACAAUACAUAGAGAAAUACAAGAGCCUAGCAAUUUUUGAUUAAAAAACCAAAAAAAAUAAGACCACUAUUUAUAGACAUAUGACAUAGCAUAAAGAUGGAAAUAAUGUGGAAUAAGACAAUAAUAUAUUUCGAUAAAAUCCACUUGAAAUAUAAGAAAACAAAUUUUCCCAUAUGAAAAUAAGGAAAUAAUUUAUUUCCAAAAACAAUCCACCAUAAUUUGGGUUACAAACCCAACAAUCUCCACCUUAAUCUAAAUUCUGGUACAACGAACGAAAGUCCAAGAUUUCAAAUCCAUCUGUAUCGAAAUAGCCAAUCUCCUCAAUACAGUAACCACAACUCUCCAAACCAAAUCACCGUCCUCUGUAAGGCGUUCACAAGCGACACCUGAACAUAAAUCCUGGAUUCCCAAAAUUCCAUCGAGUAAUUACUGUUGACCAAACAGGGUUGAAGCACACCCUGUAGCAGAAACCAUACCACAUGCUAGAUCAGAAGGCCCAUUGCUAUAGCUGUCACCUUCAACGUCCCCAAAAGCAUCCCAUACAUUAUUACAUUACAGUACCUACGUUCCAUGAGUCCAACCCUAGCAAAUGAACACAGUAUAUCCGCUAAAAUUGGUGACAAAACAAAAUCACCAAUGCUCCCUUGAGCAAUGUUCUGAACCAAACCAGAGUCUGUCAUAAGAGAUACUGUACCAAACUAAACAUCCACCACGGUACUGAACAUGUCCCGAUGUCUCUUAAUUAGUUUUGCUCUCUCCUGCAAGAUAUACAAUUGAGACUUUUUCCGUCCCUCCAAUACAACCCGGACACCUAUUUGAACCUUGAAAACUCUACCUCCACCAGAGAAUUUAUACCCUUUUGCAUCUAGCGUACUAAGUGAGAUGAAAUUUCUUUUUAGGUCUGAAACAUGUCGAACCUGAUCAAUUGUUCUGAAUGUCUCAUCCCGUAGCCUAAAUCUGAAAUGGCCGACCCAGCAAUACGACAAGAAUGGUUGUUUUUCAUUACAACUCUACCUUGCUAAAAUAGACUCAUAUGUCUGAAAGAAAUUCCGAUUGGAACACAUAUGAUGCGAACAUGCUGAAUCGAGAAUCCACUCCUUGUCAGGCCUAGAUUUCACAUCAGAUACCAUGGUUAACAUCACAUCUCCACGGUCUAAAAAAUCCUCAACUAUAUUUGUUUCGUCCUAAGUCAAAGGUUGUACUCCACGAUUUGCAACUAAAUCACCUUUAGCCUGCAACUUAUCACAAUCCUUCCGAAUAUGUCCUUUACGUCUACAGAGUACUAAGUGAGAUAAGAUUCCUUUUCAAGUCUGGAACAUGUCGAACUUGAUCAAUUGUUCUGGCUGUCCCAUCCCGCAACCUAAAUUUGACUAGAUUAAUCCCAGCAAUACGGCAAGACUGGUUGUUUUCCAUUAUAACUCCACUUUAUCGAAUAGCCUCAUAUAUCUGAAAGAAAUUUCGAUUGGAACACAUAUGAUGUGAACAUGCCAAAUCGAGAAUCCACUUCUAGUCAGGUCUAGAUUUCACAUCAGAUACCACAAUCAACAUCACAUCUCCGCCGUAUGAAAAAUCCUCAACUACAAUUGUUUCGUUUGAAGUCAAAAGUUACGCUCCACAAUUUGCAUCUAAAUCAUCUUUAGCCUAUAACUUAUCACAAUCCUUUCGAAUAUGUCCUUUACGUCUGUAGUAGAAGCAAAACAAAUUGUUGUUAUUCCUCGAUCUGCCCCUCCAUCGACCACUAUGAGAUACAAGAGCUUCCUCAUCCCUCUAUAUAACUCCAACCAAAUGCUUCAACUUUUUCUUUGAGUGAAAAUCAUCAUAGACCUCGUCUAUAGUCAAAGUAUCUCGACUAUACAAAAUGGUGUCCCGAAAUGACGCAUAAGAGCCAGACAGAGAACGUAACAGGAUCAAGGGAAGAUCUUCUUCAUCGUACUUAAACUCCAACGUUUUCAAAUUUGUGGCAUUUUCCUUGAAUACGGUAAUAUAGCUUCCAAUGACCCUCCUUCCGCCAUGCGAUGGGAAUACAACUUCUACUCUAAAGCUAGUUUACUGGUAAAACUCUUGAUCAUACAUAACUAUUCAAAUUUCAACCACAAAGUAGCUGCUAUUUUCUCCUUCAAGACAUUCUACAGAAUAUUGUUGGAUAGAUGAAGAUGAAUCAACAAUAAAGCCUUCUGAUCCCUUCGUUAUUUCUCCUCCAUUGUCCGAUUAGUUGGCAUCUUCUCAAAAUCCAGCAACACAUUGUCCAAAUCCAACUGCGCCAAAAUAGCUCUCAUUUUUACUUGCCAUAAAGAAAACCUUGCAUUGCAAUCCAAUGGCAGAAUAUCAUACUUCAAAGCAGCCAUCUCUGAAAACCUCAUCCAAUCCACAACAAGAACCAAGCUCUGAUACCACUUGUUGGACUCGGAAGGAUUGUAGUGAAUAGGAUUAACGACGCGAUAUGAAGUAAUGAAGAUUGCAACAAGAAACAAGAUUUAAAAGUGAAGAAAUUAACAAAGAGAGUUAAUCGCAGGGGCACUACGUUUUAUUAAUCGACAAUAUGGAGAGAAAUACAAGAACUCAACAAUUCUUGCUUAAAUAAAAUUGAAAGAGAAGACCAUUAUUUAUAGGUACAUAGCAUAGCAUAAAGAUAGAAAUAAUGUGGAAUAAGGAAAUAAUAUAUUUCCAUAAAAAUCACAUGAAAUAUAAGGAAACAAAUAUUCCUACAUGAAAAUAAGGAAACAAUUUAUUUCCAAAAAAAUUCCACCAUAAUUUGGGUUACAAACCCAACAGGAACAAGAAAAGCAAAGAGAAAAUUAGCCAAAGCAGUUUAGAAAAUGAUAAAAACCUAAAAAUAAGCAUGAGUGAAAGCCAUGUUAUACCGAAAGAAAGCACACACCAAAAAAAGCAAUCGAAGAACCAAAAAAUGGUUGCCCUUUUAACCCAAACUUUAAUAGAAAUGGCUGCAAUACGUGUAGUGCUUUAUUGAAGAUAUUACUGCAAUGAUGCAUUUCUUAAUGCAAGAGUGGAGGACUUCCAAGUCUGCCAGUGGUUUUAGUAGGUUGGGGGCCCCUGAGGGAGUCUAAGAGAAAGCUCCACUAGAAUCUGGGUGGAAAGAUAGGGAAAUGGAGUCCUAUCAGUCCAAUAAAAAUAAUCAGUCUUCUUCUUUCAUUCAGUUGAAGGAAAGGAGGGUCAAUAACUCCAUUCAGAGGAAAUUGACGACAGUAACAAGCAUAGAGCUUACCUUCCUUUGAGCCUGAGGGGACUAAAUCAUUGGAAGAGCCUAGCAAAUUCACAAUCCUAAAACAAAGAAGUUCACAAGAAUACAACAAAACUUUGGACCACAAUCAGAUGUACACCAUCCACGUGAAUUUUAUGGGAGCUAUCCCACACACAAGUGCGAAAGAUUCCAAUCAUACUUGGAGAAAGAACCAGAAAAUGGUAUAGCAAACGGCCUAAAUUUAAGAACCAAUUAAUCCAUAUGUUCACCGUGAGAACUCCGGACACGGUCCCUAUUGAGAGAAUUAGCCCUUGUUUCGAUUCCUUUAAAAUCAAAUUUUAGGGAAAAAGCAUUUUGAAAUAAUUUUUCAAGAAUGUAUGGUUAAAAAAAAAAAAUAAUAAUAAUAAUAAUAAUUGCAUCCUUAAAAUUGGAAGAAUAGUAAAAAGACCCAUCACAGAUUCCUUUCAUCUUCUUCCUUCACUCUACCCACUUCCAACCACCAAAAGCCAUUACCAUCAGUAAUUCCACCCCUUCCCGUCUAGGCUACAUUUUUAUACCAAGAAAGACUUUUUUCUUCCCAUUUCAGUUAAUCUGAAAUCCUCAUUUUCAGAAAGAAUCUAAGGCCUUCUUCAAAUUUGGUUUCGUUCCUCUAUGGUCGUUCUCGACCCAUUUACCCCACUUCAAGAACAACGUUGACCCAUUUACCCCACAUCAUAUUUGGUUGGGAAACACUACUUGGCUUGGCGCCCUAUCUGUCUAGGGCCCAUGUGGGCAUCGACAUAUAGGAGGUCUCAAUUAGGUUUCACUCCUCUGUAUGGAUAAAAAGUGACCCGCAUUGGUAAAGCAUGAUGGUUCUCUACGGAGUAUUGAAGACUAUUUAUGUUGGAAGGUAGAUGUCUUGUGGAGGCAAAAUUAUAGUGCGCUUUUCACCCCUCCGGGUCUUGUCCACACGUUGUAGCGGGAGGUCUACAGAGAGGAAAAUCGCAUCCCGAAUGUACGGCCCAAGUGUGUAUAAGUUGUAACCGCAUCCGAAUUCACCCACGUGGCGAACCAGAGGGACAGUCACCACUCUUCAUGAUUAGUCACCAAGCUCGGACACCUGAAUUAUAAAAAAAAUGACCCAUUUUCGCCAUAGUAAAAUGUCAGAUUAUCUAACCAAAACAUUUUAUGUGUUUGUAUGUUUGUUAAUUUAAGUUUGGGGUGUUUGAUAAGUAUACUUAUUUAGACAUGAAAAUAUAGACAUUUAAUAGUUCUUUUAAAGAAUUAUAGCCUAAUUUAUUGUAUAGUUUGUUUAUUAGGUAAAACUCGAUGAUUGAAAGAAGAAUUGAAAGAAAGAAGCGAAAAAGGCAAAAAAUGUCCAGCAAUGGUUGAUUUGGAUCACAAUAGAUAUUUUAAAAUUGUUUUGAGUCAAUUGGAUGCAACUAGAAGUCAAAAAGAAUGGAAUAUGAUUAGAAUAUUACCAUAAAUCGAUUUCCAAUCAUACAGGAUAUCUUCUAGAUUUUUAGUCAAGGAUUGAGACACAUUUUAGGCAUAGUAAGCAUCCAAAUCAGAAAAAUAUUAUUUCAAGGAAAAUUGUAGCCCUUUGAAUUAGCUUUCUAACACACUUUGAAUCAAUACAAUUGGAUAUCGAUAGAAAAUGUUAUGAUAAAAAUACUAACCCAUGCGCGAAGAUAACUUUCCUCAUUCGAUUGACACUCUGUUGGAAACCAAUUUGGACGUGAUUUUCAAAAAAAAUUUUACCCUAGCAAAUACCUCACAACAGAAUAACUUAAAGAGACAUCUCCUACAUCUUUCAUAUACAUAUCAUACUCUAAUACUCAUCAAUUAUUAUCAUUAAAUGAGGAAAAUUCGUAGUUUUUGUGAGAGAAUUGAAGGGAACUUGUAAGAAUUCAAUCAAAUGGAGAUUCAAACUUGAUUUUUGGGCAAAGAAGAGAAGGUUUAAGUGGAGAUUCAUCAGGAAACCAUUGAAAAAAUUCAAGAUUUCAAGAUUCAUCUUCACCUUAUCAAUUUAUCAAAAAUCCCAGUUAUGUCUUUUCACUUAAACAUGAUUUCUUAUAAUUUCGAUAAGUUAGGAUAGUUUUAUACAUUGCUAGGACGAGACGAACCCUUAUUAUGUUUUUUUCUUAGUUUUUAAUUAAUUAUAUUGACGUUAAUUUGAUUUGAUUUGUGGAUGUUUAUUAUAGUUUUUAUCGUUCUUUUCAAUUACUUGAUACCCAAUUGAAUUGUAGCAAAUUUUAUUGUUAUCAAGAGAACAAUAAGGUUUAAGCAUAAUAUAAUAAACAUUGUAAAGUUUAAUAGAGAAUAGAGAUAUACUUCUGUUCUUUAGAUGGUUUCAAUAUGUACUCUAACUCUUAUUAAUGUAUUUAUCAUGUUUGCAUCUUUAAUUAAAAAAUAGAAGAGUCACAUGAGGGGAAUAGAUUUGAUCGCUAUCGAGAAAGAUUUUAAAUUAAAUUAGGAACAUUGAUCAAUAUGAAUGAUUUCAAAUUGUCACUUUAAUUUGUAUACUAAAAAUGGAAUAACAAGGAAGAUUCAACAUCUUAGUAAUGCAUCUCACAUAUUUGAAAAAUACAUUUACUUGCUUUCAUUAGUUUAAUUAAUAAUUUAAGGAUUGGUUAGAAAAAUUACAACAUCUUGUUUGCUAUUCAAUUAUAGUUGCAAUUAAUUUUAACUCGAUCAAAUAUAUAGUCCUUUCUUUUUUAUUAAUUAUUUGUCCAUAACGAACAAAGAUCAAUUGAUCUUUCGAUUAAUAAAACCUACAAAAUAAUUAAUUUUGUUCGUUAUGGCCAAAUAAUUCACAUAGGAAGUACUUUCGAUUCCAUCUUGUAAGAACAUUUUUAUAUCCAAAUUGAAGGCAUUUAAGUUGAACGUCUAGAAGAAGUUUGAGCUAAAGAUAGCACAUUUACAAUCAUAAAAGGUCAGAGAGACAAGUUAAUUCCCAACUUUAAAAAUGGAGAAAUUCAAAUUUCAACUUUUUUCGAAUUUUGACUAAAAAACAUUAUUUCAUGGUGAACAAACCGCUAUUUGUUCCAGGUUUAGUUAGGCCAAAUUUGGUUCAUUUUCAUUAUUCUUAAUAUCAAAUUUCAUAUUUAUUUGUUUUUCCUUUUCUUGAAUUUACUAUUUUCAUGAUUAUAAAUAUUUAGCUUCCAGUAUCUUAUAUUCACGUAACAGAUUUUGGGCUUCCUAGGUUCUAUUCGGACACAAAUACUCAUGUUUGUACAUGUAUGAUGAGAUCAUUUGUGAGAGAUUUCAGAAGAUUUCUUCUUAUCAUUCUUAAGUUGAAUUAUGUAAGAAGUUAUAUAUAUUUCAAUUUUAUAAUUUAGUUUUAUAAUUUUCCAUCCUAGUGUUUAGAUUACUGUCAUUUGAUCUUGUUAUAAACAUAAUCAUAAUCAUAUCUAGACAUUAUUUCGAUUAAAAAAAUGACCCUCAACUAAAGCAAAUAUGGAAUUGACAUACGUGAGGUUGAUAUCAUUCAAUUUCCAUGUCAAUCUUUUGUUCCUUUUUACAAGCUUCACAAGACGUGAUGCAAAGAUCGAAGGAAAACAAUAGACCACUCUCUUGAAGCCCCAAGGAAAAAAAAAAUAGGAAAAGAAAAUUUAAUACUCAACAGUAGAGAUGAAGAAUUUAUAAGAAAUAAAAAUAAGAUCAAGAAAAUGAAGGUGUGAAAAUUGUAAUUAUUGAAAAGUCUUUGGGUCAUUUUUGUAUUCUAUAUUGAAAAUAGAGCUAAAAAGAUGUAACAAAGAACACGCAAGAACAGCAGAAAUGAAGCUAAGGCAUUAUGAUUUUAGUUUGUUGCAUUUUCUUGUUGUCACUGUUUCAUGGUCUAUACUCGUAAUUUCUUAUAUACCUUGUCCAAGUGAGGGCAAAGAAAGAAUAAAACUUUACCAAAUUCAUUUAAUGAAAUAAGAAUAAGAGAGUAGGGCAAGAAUAGGUUUUGGGCAUUAGCAAUGCAUUGUAUUCUGUUGAGGGAAUCGAGGUAUCAUGGAAAUUAUAGAAUAAAUUAUGAGUUUGAAUAAAUAUACGAGGGAGGGUAACAUAGGAUGCAGCAAUUCAUAUUCUCAUGUGCAAAUUGAACUUGGCUGCAAGACAUCAGGAGCAAAUACGCGUGUUUAUGUUUCAUUAGAAAGCCAUUAUUUUUCUUUUCGUGAACUACGACAUCACAUUUAAUGAUCUAAUACUUUAUUGGAAAAUAUUAACCAUUCUUUCUUAAAAACAUAUAAAAUGAUGUUGUUGCAACAAUAAUAAAUUGAAUAAAAUAAAAUAAAAAAUACAGAGUGUUAGUAUGAAUGCAUGGAACGAGCAAAACUUUACAGACAUUAAAAAAAUUAUGUAUAAGUAUUUCUACAGUAAAAAAAAAGAAAAAAGUAUUUACAAGAGUAGAAAAAUAUGAUACUCGACCAUGAAGAGCACAGCUUAUGUUAAAAUGUUCCUGAACAAUGCUACACAUAUGUCAAACACGAGAACAAUAUGCUCCACCUUCAGAUGAACAAAGUGAUUAUACUAAAAAUAACCUUCAGCUGAGCUAAAAUACAAAACUUUAACCUCAAACCUUACAAUUGCUUAUAAGUUGUCAAACUCUAUUCUUGUCUGCAAGUUCUAACUACAACUUUACAUAUUUCUUAGCCACACAUUCCUGAGGCACACUGCUUAUAAAACACUUGAAAGUUUAGCCAAGCAAGCUAUAAAAAGAAAGCAUAUACACGCUAACGACCAGGGACGAAUUUAGCAUCGAACUUCAGCUAGGGCGGAGCUUGAUGGUUGACUAUUGACCAUCGACAAUCAACUAUGGUAAUAGCCCGAUCGUUUAUUAAAAUUUGAUUAAAUAAUAUCAAAAGUUAUUCAAUAUAUAUGUAAAUGCAUUAAAACGAAAAAAUUAUAUACAUAUCAAAAUAUAAUUCAAUACAACCCAACAUUUUCUCAAUUAAAUUUUUUCAUUUAUCCUAAUUUUCUAAACAUAAAUUCCCAAAUCAAUAAUCAUAAUUCAUAAAACAUAAGUUACUUAUCAUAAAUCACAAUUCUCCAUAAUAACUCAUAAUUUACAGAAAACAUUCAUUAUUCAACAAGUCAAUACCUAAUUCUUCUAAUUCUAGAAAAAAAAAAAAAAAAAACCCCAACAAUAACAACAGAGAGAAAGAGAGUAAGAGAAAUGCGCUCACCAGUCACACCAGUUGAAGGCUGCUCAAGGCUCGAGCUCGAAGAUUCUGAUCUUCUGAGACUAGAACGGUAGUCGGCAGAAUGCGUCCUUGGUUGCGCCGACGACUCCUCCUCGCUGCCUCACCCCUGUCACCUAGCGUUCACAUCGCCAGUCAGUAGCAGCAAUUGCUGCGGCGUUGCCUCUGCUUCGAAUGAAAUUUAUAGAAUGGAGAAGGGAGGAAAAGGGUUUGCGCCUCCUUUGCGUUUCAGCUUCAGAGAAUCAAAGACAAAAUGGAUUGAAUUUGAAUGGAAUCGAUUUGGUCAUUUCAUUUGGAGUCUUAGGCCAUUUGUUGUUGAUUUGGCCAUUUGGGGGAAUUGGGCCUAACGUUUUUAAACAAAAAGGAGGCCCAAUGUGUCAAUUGUUAUCCGCCCAAACCAAAAAAAAAAAUAAAAUUGGAUCGUCUCUUCCUUUCCAUCUCCUCGGCUCUGCAACUACCAUCGCCAUCUGUUGAAUGCUACCCAGCAGUGCUGAACAUUUCGACGGAGCCAGCACGCGCGGUCGCACCCCCUCGCCGGGUGCUGGCUCCGCCACUGCUAACGACCCAAGUGACAUCAUUUCUCCCCAAAUGAAUUCCGAUUGAAUCAAAUUUAUAACUUCUUACAAACCCAUUUAUUGCAAUCGACCAAUUUUCUCAAUGGAUAUGCCAAAGAAAAGAAAAGAACAAAGACAAGACAUACCCUCUUUGUUGUCCUAAGCUGCAUGAAUAUUAAACUAUAAUGAAGCAAAACUUCAUCUCCACUUCCAGCCUCUACGGAUUAACUACUGACAACCUCAAGAGAAACGAAAAGGACCGAAAAAUUUAUGACCAUAAAGCAUAUUAAGUCUUGAUGUUCCCUGAAAUUUGUAAAAGCCAAAAUUAUCUAAGCAGACUCGGCAUAACCUUCUCUUCCUCGCUAUCCUAAAAUGCAUGAAUGUUAAAAUAUAAUGAAGCCAAGUAGCCAACUUCUCUUCCCCACUAACCUAAAAUGCAUGAAUGUUAAACCUUAAUGAAGCCACACUUCAUCUCCACUUCUAGCCUGCAUGAGUAAAUACUACUACAACCUCAAGAAAAAUGAAAAAGACCCAAAAAUUCACGACUUUGAAGCAUAUUAAGUCAUGAUGUCCCCUUAAAUUUGUGAAUCCCAAAUUAUCUAGCCAGACUUGGCAUAACCCAUAAUAUCUACAAAUAGCAUCCCUUCACAUCCAGAAUUCCAAUUCAAGGCAACCCGGAGAAUCAAAUUCUCCACAGGGACACUCCUCUACAAAUUUCAAAAUUUCAAUACUUUUUAUGAAACUAAAAUACAGAACCUAAAUCACAUUUAAUAUCAACAUAGACAACAAUAAUAAGGUCAGCUCAAAAUAUAAAAUUAGAAAAUGAACAUGAUAAAUUCACAGCAACACUUGACUAAUAUAAUUGGUUUUCUGGCUGAAAAACCAUAGUGGAGGAAGACAAAAUCUGUGGCUGGGGCAUUAGGACAUCCUUGAGGGGAUCUCUCUUUCGACUGGAAAACCAUGGCGGAGGAGGACGAAGGUAGUUUUUGACUAGAAAACCACAACGGAGGAAGACAAAGGCAGUGGAUAGGGUGUUAGGACAGAGCGUGUACUUGAGGCAGAUCUCUCCUUCAACACGUUGAGUUUCAAGAUUUGAGAACUUUUAGAAGUGAAUGAGUGUUUUCUUUGGUGGUCAAGAGAGGAAAACUGGUUACAUUCAGGCAUUCAGCCUUGGUAUAAUCUAAAAUAUGCAAUGUAGAAGAACCAGUUUGGUGAACAGUGUUUAAAAGGUGCGUGGCAUGAAUAAACAGUAAAUCAAAAGUCUCUCUUUUGAGAGAGAGUAGAUAUAUAGUGAUUAACUGACAUAUAUAUAAAUGCUGCAAUAUAUAUAUAUAUAUACUUAAAGAAAAACUCAUCAGCUGCUGCAUAAAUUUCACCCUUUGUUAGAUAUAUUAUAUUUUACACUAACUAUAUAUAUAUAAAUACAACUUAUGAUUUAUAUAACGGAUUAUGUACUGAGAUCAUAGGUGGAAGAUUAACAUGGAAAAGUAGAAUUGGGUAUAAUGCAUGGAACGUGAAAGAAAGCUCUACAUAGUUAGAACUUAUGGUUGAUGGAAUUGUGGAUGGUUUAAUAUAUAGCAAUCGGGUUCUAAGUAAACAAACAAUUGAAAAAAAAAGUACUUCGUGCUUUAAAUGAAAAGCUUGGAUUUCAGAAGAACUAUGAUAUUUACGGAAAUAGAUUGAGUUGGUUUAAGUAAUACUUCGAAGUUUAGUUCAUGAUUCCAAACUACUAAAUGACACAUUAGAAAGAAGAAAUAGACUUAAGUACUACGAGGUAAUCAAUUUUUUUCUUGAAUUGGUUAUAAGCUAUCUUUUUCCUAACAUAAGAUGAUUUAUGCAUGUAUUGUAUACUUAGGUAAAUAUUUUCUUGUGCAUUCUGGAUUUCAAAAUCGUUGUUAGUUCUUAGCUCCAUUUCGAGGUGUUUGGUAUCAUCGCCAAGAUUUUUGUGGCCAAGGACGUAAUGCAGAAAAUUUAAUGAACUAUUCAAUCUUCAUUUGCUUCCUUGAGAAAUGUAAUUGAGAGAAUAUUUGGCAUAUUCAAAUCGUGGUUCACGAUAUUUAAAUCAGCUGUAGGAAUGGAGUUUGCUUGUGUAGGAUUGCAUAAUUUUCUUCACAAAGAAUGCCAUUCUAAUCAAUUUCGUGUUGAACUAGAUAAUGAAGAUUCAUCUAUAUCAUCAUUGCUACCGGGAACUGAAGAGGAUGAAGAUGUUUUUGAACAUGAUCCUUUGAAAAUUAGCAAGUAGACGAAAUCGUGAACAAGUAAUAUAGUAGUGUGUAGAGUGUCGACCCACGACGACUAAGUAUUUGAUUGAGUUCAAAUUAAUAACAACCUUAAUCAAAUAGCAACAAGUUUUGAGGUUUCUAUACUAAUAACUAAGUUAUCAAUUAAACUAGAAAGUGAUAUAACUAAUUUUUCAAAUAUGUUAAGUAUCGCUGAGAUGUCGAAUCCCCUUGCUAAUCCAUUUUUAGCACAACAAAUUAUGGUGGCAGUUUGUUGUCGUUCUUGUUGGUUAAUAUUCCUAAUUUAAUUGAAAGGCUCACUCAAUAGUUAUCAAAUCUAUUCUCCUCGUGUGACGUUUCUAUCUCUGGAUGAAAGAUAUGAAGAUGAUAAAUGCAUUAAACGAUCAAGAAUACCCAUCCUCUAUCGAACAUUACGGUGUUUAUUAUUUUUAGCUAUAAACCUAUUAUCCUCUCGAUAACAAUAGAUUACAAUAAAUCAUCUCAAUUAGUAGCUAAUUAAUUGAGAAGUCGGUGAAAACAAUAAUAAACAUCUAAGAAAACAUACAUACUAAAUGUCAAAAUUAUUAAUUAAUACCAAAAAUCUAAUAACAAGUGUUCAUCUCAUCCUAACAUUGUAAAAUUCUAGUCAAGCAUAUUGAAAUUACAAGAAAUUAUUCUAAAUUUAAUGAACGUCACCCAGAAAUCAAAUAAUUGAAGAGAACGAUGAAUUCUUGAUAUCUCUUCCCAAUUCUUAUGUAAAUUUCCUGGUAUGGGGACUCCUUGAUGAUCUUUUUGCAAUUUCUCAAUUGAAAUCUCCAUCAAAGAUGAAUUUGUCCACUUCUUAACGUGAUUCUCUCAAAAUCACCUUGUUCUUGACGUGUUUUUGUGCAUAAAAGAGGCUCCUUAGUGUGUAUGGGACGUUCUGGUAUUUAUAUGACUCGUAUCUAAGUCAAAAAUAUCACCCAAAACCUUGUCAAAUUGAGUUUUAAUCGUAUAAGAAAACCUGAGUUUCAGCCGAAAUCUCACAUUAUGUGGUAACAUAGUACAUUGGGAUACGACCAUGUAAUGCAUUUGUUGAACUCCAAGUUUGUCCCUGCAUGAUAGGAUGCAACUGCAUAAUUCAAUUUUUUUCUGUUAGACAACCUUUAAUAUUUUGGUCAUAUCUUUCUCUCUUGCUGUUUGAUUGAAGUGAUUCAAUGUGGAUUGGAAAGCUAACUCAAAGAGUUACAAUUCUUUCAGAGAUAUCAUUUUUCUAAUUCGGAUAUUUACUAUACAAAAAAUGGGUCUCAAACAGAGAUUGAAAAUCUGAAGCUUAACUUUUUUGCUUGAAAGUUGAUAUGUGAUAAUACUUCGACUAUAUUUCAUCCCUUUGACUUAUUUCCUCAUCCAAUUGACCUCUAACACUCUCGAAUCUUCAUCGUAAGAUUUCAUACAACUUUUUGUAUUUGCACUUUAGUCCUUAAGCUUUUAUUUUGCUUCAUUUCAUCAUUUUUUUUGUAAUCUUGUUUCUUUAUCAUCCAGUUGAAUCUAAUUAAAGUCUUGACAUCAUCGGUCUUCAUUUCAUCGCCCCGUCUUAUCUAUGGAUUAUUUGCAACUUGGUCCCUGACUUUUGGAUUUCACUUAUUUUUUUUGGGUUUUCCUUUUGUUUCUUCCAAUUUCUUGUUCAACCAUUGAGUUUACCUAUUUAAUAUAAAAAUUUAGACUAUAUUUCAUCAGAGGAACAACUAAAUAUAACUAUUUAAGACUCUGAAUAAGUGUAUAAAAUACACUUGUCAUCGUGAAUAAAGAGUAAUGCAAAUUGAAUUCUACUUAGAUAAGUUGUUGUUGUUGUUGUUGUUAUUAUUAUUAUUAUUAUUAUUAUUAUUAUUUGGGUUUUAAAUGAAAAAGUUAUAUGUUUCUUUUAAUAAACGAUAAUUUAGUUUUUUAGUAUCAGACAACUUAGAUUUUUAGUAUUCAAUUUCUCAUAAUCUUACUAAUAAACUUGCUUGCAAGGGAGAUGGGGGUGAAGAGAAGUGACAUUUCAAAAGAAAUUAAGAUCUAGUGCAAAUGUACCUAGAUGAACCAUUAGAAUUUGCAAAUUGUGACAUUGAAAUAAUAUGGUGGAAUUUUAAAAUUUUCUACAAAGUUCAGUUGACAAUUUGCUUUGAGCAAUUGAGGAGGUAAAAAUACAAUUUUAAUAAAAAGUCUAAAAAUCCAUGAAAUCUUUAAAAAUCUACAAAAUAGAAAUUCAUUAAAAUCUUAUGAAAUCCGUUAAAUUCUAUUAAAUUCAAUAAGAUCCAUGUGAAUUUAUAAACAUUAAGAAAUCUAUUAAACUCUGAGUUGAGGGCACCCAUUAGUCAUUGGCUACCUAGUCAUAGGCCGUAAUCAACAUAAUUAACGGCAAACUACACUAUAUAUAUUUUUAUUUAUUUAUUUAUCAGAAACUACACAAUAUUUUAUUGCACUUUGGGAUGCUCAAGCUAGAAAAAUAAAUGUUUUUGCAACAUCGGCUCAAUAUAUGUUAUGCGGACAAUUACACACACUUGUAAUAUAAGUAAUAUUUUCUUCUUUAUAGCUUUCCGGAUUUUGAAAACACUUGACCCAAUCAACUAUUGAUUUCCAACAUGCGGAACAAAGUUGAAAUUACCAAAAUGCCCUUUGCCAAAUACACAAAAUCCUCAAAUUCCAUUUUCUAUGUAACCACUACAUGUGCUCACAUCACAAUUUUAAUCAAUGAUCAAUGUCAAAUUGCUAAACUCAAAAUUAAUUGUUUGCCAAAAAAUUCUCCGAGGUCAUGAUCGUGCAUGUUAAAUAGGUGACAAAUUCUAUAUUGUAAAUAUAUGUUCCCUAUUAUUUCACUUUAAUUCUCAAAGUAUACUGACUCACUCAUUAAUACAUUAAAGGACUCUAAGUUAGUAAUCAAAGUUCAUUACCUGCUCAGAAUUAACAUCUUAUUAACAACAACCAACUUAAAUUAAAUUCAUGCGAUCAAUUUCACAGUUUAAAUUUCACGUUGCCAAACCUAAUACAUUCAAUUUGGCACUCAAUCUUAUUAUUAAAACGAAAUACUAAAGUCAAAAGAUGAACUUUAACAAAACUUAGAUGAUCUUAAUAAAAUAAGGUGUUCAACUUUAUUUAUAGAUCAUGAACUAUAAAAUUUCAAUAGAAUUACGAAUCGAAUAUUCCGUUCUUAAUAACUAAAGCACUAGAAAUAUAAAUUAAUGUGCGAGUAUAAAUAUAUUUACUCGAAAUGCAAACACCAUCCAACACUAAUAUUAUAAAGAAAUUCAAGAGUAGAAGCUUUUCAUUUGUUAAAAAGGUUGAACCCCAAUCUUGAGAGCCCACACCGCCCCGCCCUUAGAGCUUUGUGAGGGAGGUAAAUUGCGGGAUGUGCCCUAACAGGUCAAGGAACAAGAGCUGCUUGUACACUACUCCUAUGAGAAGUCCAAUUCCAUGUCUCAGGAAUCGAACCCUCACACUGCGGCUGCGAGCAAGGCGUGAGAUAACAUCACUCCUGUCCUUUGCACCACUGGGCUAUACCCUGGGGGCCAAGCUUUUCAUUUGUUAAUUUUGUACAAGUGAUACUAUGCUUUACUUAUACACACGAGAGAGCUAUACCAUGCUUUGCUUAUACACACGAGAGAGCCAUUGAAGGAAAAUAACGAUUUUCUGAUAUCUGCUUCGCCAAAAUAAGAGCACUAACGGUCACACAGAAAUUGAUUUGCUAAUCCCUAUUUUAGGACUAGCAAAACUCUAAUUACUGUUCAUAUAACCUUCUCUAAUAAAUGCGCAAACCCCUAUAAAUGUUCAAGAAUCAGCUCUCUAAUUUCAGUCAGAAGAAGGUUUCAAAAAAUCAGAAAGACAAAAUUUGAAAAUUGGUGGCAACAACUUUCCGAAAUCAGUAAUAUAAAAACAUAAAAUUGAUUAUAAUAUAUUCAUCAAUAUAACGUACACCAAUUAAAAUCCACCCAAAAAAAAAAUAGAUUUAUUUUUGAAUGUAAGGCCACAUUUUUUUCUUUUCCCUGUGGUUUUCUACUACUACCUUGGAAGUUUUCCUCUUCAUCUCUCUCCAUUGAUUGGAGUUUUUGAUUUCGACCCAGAACUUCAAUGGCACGUAACAGCCGUUUUUUGAAUUGUUUAAAGGUAUAUCAAAAUAAUAUAGAAACAAAUAAAAAAUCAUAAAGAUUGAGAAAUUGAGUUUUAGGUAGUUAUUUUUGGAGAUUUCGGAAUCUCAAAAAUGGGGUUCUCCGACGAUUAUUGCUGAUUUUUAGCUUUCAAGCAACGACUGUAGAAUGAUAUGAGGGCUUUGAAGACCAAUGGCGAUUUGAUGAUUGAGGAUAUUAAGAUUUGAAAUUACAUCUUAAAAUGUCAACCUUAUUAAGAGUAGUAGCCAACGUCUUUAUAUUUAUAUUUUGGUUUAUAUUUUGGUAUUUAAUUGACGUGGAAUUUAUUUAUUAACAUGUUCCUGUAAGAUGGUGGCUUGUUUGAACAGAUCAAUCAUGAAAUUUGCGUGUUCAUUUUUUAGUUUUAAUUGGAUCAAAUUGGUCGUUGGAGCUUAAUAGAUUCUAAUACCAUAUUAAAAUUUGGGAUUUCAUCUUAAAAUGUCAAUCGUAUUACGAAAGUAAUCCAAACUCCUAUAUUCAUUUGUUGGUUUACAUUUUAGUAUUUAAUCGAUAUAUGAUUUAUUCCUUAAUCAAGGUUCCUUGUGAAAUGGAAUUCCAAAUUUGGUGAUGGUAGGUUUCGAUUAUGGUGAGUGUUAAAUUAUUAUUAUUAUUAUUAUUAUUAUUAUUAUUAUUAUCUUAAAUUGAAAAGUAUAAUCAGGUUUAUGUAAAAGUCAUUAAAUUUUUAAAUGAAGUGAAAUCAGUUUUAGUGAUUGUUUGGUGGGAAUUAAAAUUAGGGGGAUUUGAAAAAAUGUCCAAUUUUACAUAUCUCAAUUCAAAAAUAUCCACUUUUGAUAAUCUUUACAAAAAUGGCAAAAUUUGGCAUCAAAUUCUCAAUUUAUCCUUAAUGAAAGAAUAAAUAAUUCUCAACUUUUUUUUUACAAGUUGACACUAAUAUCGAUAAGAGCAAUGGCUUCCAUGAGAAGCCAGAAACGAUUUUUUUUUACAAUUUACCCAUGCUCGUCCACUUGCCUGCACUUUUCUUUAGAUAUUAACAAAUUAUUUUUGGAAAAUUAAAAAACAUGAAGUAGCAAGCAUUAGCAACCAGAAAGAAAUCUAUGGUUUGUACUCGAUCCAAAAGAAGAAAUAAUUUGUUUAUAGCGAUACAUUUAAUAUCAUACAAAUUUGAAUUCAAGUAGGCUCUCCUCAUUUCUGGGUAGAAGGUAUUUUUCUUUGUUAUUUGAUGUUUAUUGAGAAGUGGUUUGUCGUAGUUGUCGUUAUAUAUUUGAUUUCAAUAUGGUAGAUUGACAAAAUAAGUAGUAAAUAUUUGUUAUAACGUUCUUACAUUAUUUAGUUACAUAAUAAUUGAAAGUACUCCUGUAGUUAAAAUGUCAUUAAUUGUUGCAUAAAUUCUUUACAAAAAUGGUAGUUGAAGAUGAAGAAGAUGAUAAAUGCAUAUUGUGAAGUGGAAUAUGUCAUGUCACUCUCGACAUUUUAUAGACGUCGAGAAUGGUACUUGAAAUGUUGUUCUCUACAUUUACAAACAUCGAGAAUGUUACUUUUAACGCCAUUCUCGUCAUUUAACAAUGUCGAGAAUAACAUUACAAAUACCACGACAAAAUUAGGGAACAUUUUUUUGUAUAUUGCUUGUGGAUAAUUAACAUAUUCGUUUGAGGUAUUCGUUAUUAGUUGAUACUAUUUUUUGUUUAUGGUAUGCAGAUAUGGUUGAUGUUAUGAGAUUCGUUGUCUCCUACAGUGGUACAUUUGCCAACAUUGACGACGAGUGGAAGUGGUUAGGCAACCGAACAACAUCAAUUGUUGUCCGACGGGAUAUUGAAAAUGAAGAGCUUGUACAUAAAUUAUUUGAGAAGCUUAAUAUUGACAGACUGUAGUUUCGGAUUUAACUAAAAUUUAAAGUUCCAAACAUGAACAUACCCCCUGCUGAUGUAGCCGACGAUGAGGCUUUGUAAUGAUACAUUUCUGUUCACACACAAGCAGCUUUGUGUAUAACUGCGAAUAUGAUGCUGGAGAGCAAGAACUGACAAAAGAUGCACAUGAUACAGUCAGUGUGUACGAACUUCAAGAGCCAGAAAUGAUUGAUAACACGGGUGUAGGUUUAGGUGAAGAAAAUUUGUAUAUUGAAAAUACAAUUCAGUCGAUCGAUCAACAGAAAAUUCACGAGAAUCUGAUUUUCUUUGCCAAGAAACAGUUGCACACAAGACUUUGACUAAAUGCUUUGACAGAGAAGUUUCAUUUCAAGGUUAAAAAUUCUAAUCCCAGAUUUCUUACUAUGUGCUGCAUCAACACCACGUCCCAUUGGCUACUGCAAGCAUCCAAGAUAAAAAGUACAGACUUCUUUAAAAUUCAAAGGUACAUACCUGAGCACACAUGUUCUUUGGACGUUUGAUGGAAUGCGCGAAUUCAUGCAACAAGUGCAUUGAUUAGGCAUCACAUUACCAGACGAUUGGCCAAUAGAAACCAACCAUACGUUCCUGUGGGCAUUGUCUGGGAUAUACAAUGUGAGUUUGGUGUACGAAUUAGAUACAGUAAAGCGUGGCGGGGUAAAGAGAAGGGACGUCAAAUUCUUCAUAGUUCACCUGAAGAGAGUUAUCAAAAAUUGCCUUCAUACUGUCACAUGUUAACUAAGCGAAACCCAGAAACCAUCUCACAUAUUGAGCUCGACCCCAAUAAUAGGUUCUACUUUUUCUUAGCAUCCGGACCAAGCAUACGUGGUUUUCGAGAGCACAUAAGGUCGGUAAUUUGCGUUGACGGGAGACAUUUGAAGGGUUGGUAUAAGGGAACACUACCAGUAGCUGCAACGCAAGAUGCCAACAUGCAAAUAUAUCCUAUUGCUUGGGGUGUUGUCGGAAACAAAUGUAUCAGGGUAUUGGUUCUUCAUGAAGUUGAAAGAUAUUGUUAAUGAUUCAAAUCAGCUAGUGUUUGUAUUCGACAUGAAGAAUAGCAUUAAACGACCAAUUACGAUGCUUUUCCCGCUUUCGCACCACGGUGCUUGCAUAUGAUAUUUCGAGAAAAAUCUCAUUGCUAGGUAUAGUAGUCAAAAUGUCAUAUUCCUUUUCAAAAGUGCAGCACUCGCAUACCGCGUAUCAGAAUUCCAACAAAUGAUGAGAUAGAUUAGGACCAUUCGGCCAAUAGUCCCAUCUUAUUUGGAACGUGAUGGUCCAUCUACUUGAUCACUGGCAAAUUUUGUUGGUAAUCGGUAUAACAUCAUGACUAAUAACAUUGCAGAAUCAUUGAAUUCAAUCCUCAGGCGGCAACGAAGUUUCCCUAUCACCUCGUUCAUCCAACAAAUUGCGACAUUGAUGCAACAAUGGUUCUUUGAGCGGAGAAACGCAUCUGCCAACUGUUAUACUGUCCUGACAUAAAAAAUGGAGGGAGAAUUGAGACAAUCUUUUGAAGCCGGUGCAACCUUGGAUAUACAAAAUUUGGAUGAACUCGUUUUCGAGGUUGGCACAGGUAUAGAAAUGUGUACUGUCGACCUUAUAGGUAAGACAUGUUCAUGCUGAGAGUUUCAGAUGUGACAAAUUCCAUGUGCACACGUGUCCCGCGCUGCGUGCUCAAAAGGUAUAUCAUUGUACGACUUUUGCUCCCGUUACUACACUACCGAGUGUUGGCAAGCUUCCUACACCGAACUUCUUUACCCCGUUGGAAUGGAGUUAGAUUGGAUUGUUUCCAACACUAUUAGUUCCAUCAACAUUUUGCCUCCAAAUAUACAUAUAGCACCAGGUCGCCCUCCUACUCAACGUAGAAGGUCAAGAACUGAACGGUUUACCAGCACCCGAAAAUGUGGCCAAUGUGGUGGUUUCGAAUACAACAGGCAAACAUGUAGGAACUCGACAUAGAGAAGUAACACGUACACUUGAAUUACUAGUGUAUUUUGUGUAUGAAAUCAUUUGCACACAUAGACUAUCCAUGUGUUCAAUAGAUUUUUGUACAUUUUAUCGUUUCUAUCAUUUUCUUUCCAAAUGUAAUUGUUAGGUUUGAUUUUGUGUAUGAAAUGAUUCCCUAACAUAUAUUAUCUACGUGUUGAAUAGAUUUAUGAGCAUUACAUGCUUUCUAUCAUUUCGUUUCUGAAUGUUAUCGAUAGGCUUCAAUUUUAUUACCACGUAAUUUCAUGAAGACAAAAGUUAAUAACUGUUUUAGUACCGCUAUUUUCUUCGUUAUUAUAUACACAACUUAGUAAUGGAUACAAAAGAAAGUCAUGCAUGACUCAUUGUCUUAUUCACUAGCCUUACUAAAUAGUCGUCACAACAAAAGUAGGAAACCACUAUGUGUAUGUUUGAGAUCACUGCACAUACAAAUUGGUCGUCACCAAAAAAAUUAUCCAUUAUCUAUAUACCUAUAAAUAUGUCAUUGGAUAUGUUUAGACAUUAUAGAUAUACGAUUAAACCUUCUACAUGUCCUCCACAAUGGAUAAAGAGGACAUAACACUGUCAUUGUCAUUGUCGUCGUCCGAGCUUAUCACUAUCAUGUCAUCAUUUCUGAUUGGAAUCGUCCCAAAAUUGUCGUCCACCAAAGCUUAGUUUGCUUCCUGUGGGACCUCCAUUGGUACGUUGUUACGAUCGACGUUAUGAUUACCAUCUCCAACAUGCAGCGGCACAAUUUCAUCGAUUAGAUUAGAGAACGGAAUGGGGUGAAGGCAAACCCUACGAUGGCUGUUCAUUGCUUGAGGAAUAUAUGGAGCAAUGACUUCGAUUUUUUUGUCGUCUUCUGAGUCGAUGAUGAUGGGGUUGCCCACUGAAGAGCCGGGUAUGGAUACAUUCUUGACAACAUCAAUAUGUGGAGUCCGUUCAGUUGAUGAAGACAGAUUCACCGGAAGAACUUGUUCACGUUAAUUUUGUUCAAAGAAACAUGCUUGCAUAUUGAAACCAAUUCUAUUAUUUUAUAGUGAACGCUGAGGUGUGCAUUACUGCAUUAAAAGUCCUCACACCAAUUCCACCUACGUAUAUUUACAUUUGAUUAACAUGCUCUGUUCCCAUAAUAUCUCCUGCUUGUCUUAUCCAUCAAUCUUAGCCUCCAUUUCACCCAUUUUCGUUCCAUUGUUAAUACUUAGAAUAGUAUUUAUUGAGAAAUGUGUAGUCCCAAAAGUAGGAAAAAUUUGAACAAAAAGUACAAAUCGAUGCAAUUCACGACAUUUCAUGUCGUUCCAACACUUCAAUAGUUGUUAUCGACAUUCGUAAUCCAAUCGUUCGACACUUGAACUUACAUUAGAUAUCGCGUUAACAUUUGGACCGAAAAAGGAAACGAGACAUUUCUCGACAUUUCAUACAUUUCUUAACGUUUGUCAUGUAGUUCUCGACAUUACAUGCCUUCAUAUCUUAACACUUGACAUUACAUUUUUCUAGAAUGACAAUACGAGCAUAAAAAACACAUAAAUAUAGCAAUGAACAACCGUUCAUGAACACCGAUGGUGAAAUAUAAUCAACGGUCAAAUAAUCAAAGUACAGCUAGCUACUAUGACUUUUUCACUAUCGGGGAUAAAGAAAGUAUUCGUUAUGACAAAGAUCUACCACAAUAUUUUAUCUAUAUAGUGACAUCCCGUCUGCUGAAAUUGAUUCUAUUGGAUGCCCUAGAACGAAGCAUUCUACAUAUUUAAGUACAAAGAUUACGCAAUUUGGCAUGUACAAGAAAUGAUUUUACGUUAGUCGAAAUUAGCAUAUAUGAUAAAUUAACUACAGUAGUAAAUAACAAGAGUUGAAAUGCUCACCCAUUGUUUGUACAUGGUAGAUAAGGUAUAAUCUCCAGCUUCGUUCGUUCAUUUCUAUGUUUAUUUAUAUUUCGUCUAGUGAAAAGGGGUGAACGUUGCAAUAAUCCUUGAACCAUAGUACAUGCUGCUUCUACGUGUGCCAUGAUUGCAUCUGGUGUGUGAACAUUAUUGCUGCAAUCGUAUAUGUGAAAUUUUCAUUCAGGAAUAUUAACCAAAAAAAGAUAACAUUCAUUGUCUGGAUAUGAGCUUGGAAUUAAUAAAUACUUGCAUCUCAUCCACGGACGACCAGCUACAGGCAAUCUACCUUUGACGUAGUCUUGUAGGUGAGUUCCAUCCAGUUGACCUCUCUAGUUUCCCAUUCGAAAGUCCAAUUGCCACUUCAUAUGAUGAGAACACUCCUCUUCAAAUUGAAAGUCCAAAAUUGCAUAUUUUUUAUUGAUGAGAGUACAACCUUCAUUCAUACGCUGCCUUAAUAACUUCAGCUCCAGCUCAAUAUGCUAAUGAAAUAAAUACAUAUAACAUAUAUUAGACAUAUUAAAUUGAUUGAUAUUGUUAACCUUCACUCACCGCAAUAUUUAGAUCCUUCGUCGGAUCCAUUAAAGUUCUCAGCAUGUCUCUUCUAUAGACAUUGCCACUGCCAUCAUUCAAAUAUGUACUGUAUAAAAUAAUUUAAAUUACUGUCGAAUAAAUCAACAGAGAAUUUUUGACAUUGAUAUAAUAAUGUUUAGUAUUCGGACUAUUAAGAAUGAGUUAAAUUUGUUACCCAUAUUGAUUUCUCAAUAUCCAAUUUCUAAUAUUUUGGUAUUUUUUUCAUGUCGUAGUCUUCUAAGGGACGGCCUGUGGAUGACAAAGACUGUGUGUAUUUCCUCUUCUUUUCCCUUUCUCUUCUCCACAUUUCAACACUUUUUAUUGGUUGAGACUCUCCUGUGGUUGAUCAGUAGGAUUUGGACUUACAUAGGGAGGAACAUCCUGCUUCAUGGAACCUAUAAUGGCUUUCAUGUUGGAUUCCCAGUUAGAUAAUAUGUUUAGCAUAUUCUCAUUCUUUUCAUCAAUGUAAGAUCUCACAGAAUAUAAAUUGGUAUCAACAUAUGAUUGCAUGUGGUCUUGUUGCUGUUGGAAUAAUUCUUCUUGCUUUUGGAGAAUUGCCUGAUAAUGGGUUUUUUGUUGUUGCGAUUUCUGGGCAAUAUGAGUGUUAAACAAAUUUGAUAAAGAAUUAUCCAUGUAUGAAUGCAUACCACAUUGUAUGUAAUUUUGCAACGAUUUUUUAUGUUGUUCGAACAGCUGGUUUUGGCUUUCGAGGAUCGCAUGAUUUAGGGCUCUUGAUUCUUCAACAAAUUCUGCCUUCAAGUUGCCACAUAGAUCGGACACAUUUGAUAUCAUAUGCUACCUGUACAAAUCUAACAUUUCUUCCAUUCGAUCUUCAGUUACAUAUCUGGAGGCACCAGAAGCAGAACUAGGCCCAACUCCAGUUAAAGUUCUCGAUGUACCACGACUGGUCGUUUCUUGCACACGGAUGUUAUCCGGUAUUGGUUGUACUACAUUAUCUAAUUCUCCAUUAAAAAUGACAUCUAAUAUACUAUGUUCAUUGUCAUCUGGUAGUGAAAGACUUGUGUGCCACGGUAUUUGUAAUUCUUCUUCAGUAGGCUGCAGCACUGCAAUGACUUCGAUCUAUAAUCAUAGCAAACUAUCAAAAUCAAUUUGUUGAAUUGAACUUGUUAAUAAUUAAAUGCAAAUGUCAUUCUACAUUGAAAAGAAAAAAAAUUCAUGCCUCUUCAAUAUCCAAAAAUUCCUUAACAUUCGAUUUCUUGAGUAUUGUAUUAGGCCUCCAAUUAUACAUUCGUGGAAUCUGCACUGUUUUGUAUCUACGAUGACCAAACUUUUAUCCAAUCUAUGGAAACACUUCAUAUAUCCAAUACUGCAACAUAAUUAAAGAUAAAUGUGAUGUAUAUAAUUUAUUCUUUGUAUAAAGAAAUUAUACAUAAUACGUCAAUAAUUAGAAUAUGAACAAAAUACUUGAAAUGCAAGUGGACAGCGUUGUAGUGCAUACUUACAUUCUGUUUGUUGGUUCUGUUGCAUCCUUAGUAUUCUUUCCAAUUGUGAAUCUUUCAAUGAAUUUAACAAAAUGAAAUAUGUUUUACGGCCCCAUGGAUACGUAAGGAACUGAUGAAGAUGUUCAACCAUGUCUAGAGUUCUAUAAUCAAUUUGUCUUGAAGUCGGUUUCAACACACACUCAACCAACAUAACUAAUCACAGCUUAAAUUUUUCUUCUUCAUCUUCACACAUGUGGAAAACUUCAAAAAGCAUUCUAUUGCUAAUUCUUUUUGCAUUAUUGAAGUAUUGAUAUCUAAGACGAUCGUUAUUAUAAUCAAUUUCUAUGGAUGGUUCAUGGCAAGGUAGUCCACUAAUGAGGAAAUUUUUUUGCAUGCCAAACAUAACAAGAUGGUCAUCUACCAUACCCAAAAUUCAUUAUUUUUGCCACAAUGUACAAGUUUCAUUAUAAAUUUGUGUAUUAACUUACUAGUAAAUUAUUCUUCUUCUCCUCCGAAAAUAACUCCGUAAAUAAAUUCAUAAAAAUUACUACACACCAAAGAACAUUGUUGAUUUGCAUCUAUGAAUUCUACAAAAUCUUUGACGUAUUCACGAUUUGGAUACUGAACGAAGGUAGCAGAAAAUCAUUGUUUUGGAGAGAGAAGGUAUUCUAAAGACAUCCGCAUAAAUUAUAUAAGAAUUAAUAUUUUUAAACAAAUCUAAUUAUUUUUUGAGGAAUGCUUGUAUACUAAACAUACUAUAAGUAAAUGUCAAAUUAUUCAAUAAUUAAUAUUUUCAUUUGAUUUUGCACAUCUAGUAAACCAAAACAAAGUACUGUUAAGUGUAAAAUUAUUUAAGAAUCAAUAUUUUCAAAUAAAUAUAAUUUUUUUUUUUACAUAUCUUGUAUACUAAAAAAACUAAAAUUAAGUGUAAAAAUGUUCAAAAAUUAAUAUUUCAAAAAAAUCUAAUAUUUUUGUUUACACAUAUAGUAAAACAUACUAAUAGUAGGGGUGGGUUUAAAAAAAAAAAAAGGUUUCAUGAGCGUCUCCGUCACGGUGAUGGAGACGCUGUCUCGUGAUUAAUGGAGAUAAUUUUUUCAACUAAAUUAUAUUUUCGUGCCACAAAAUUAUAUUUUUUUCGAUGAUAUUCAAUUAAUUGCUAAGUAGCACAAAUCUCGAACACAAAUUUUAAAUUACUGACCUUUUUCGAUCAAAUGACUGCCUUUUUUAAGUGAAUGUGGGAAAAUCUUUUCGGCUAAAUGUCUUUCAGAGUGAAUGUGAGAAUGAGACUUUAAUUAAAAUGUGUGGAGAGUGAGUGAACGUGACAAUUAACUCUAGCUAAAUGUGUGGAUGGGAGAGUGAAUGUGAGAAGAAGUAGCUAAAAGUGUGCAUGUGACAAGUCCUAGCUAAUUGUAUGAAAAAAAGAGUAAAUGUCAAAAUGAAAUUUGUUGUGUUAUGAUAAUUGAAUGUUGUUGAUAGAUUCUGUACAUAGUGAAUAUAUUCACUUGUUAUGUUGUGAUAAUUGAAUCUUUUUCACACAUUAUGGAUAUAUAUAUUUGGUUUCUUUACGCAUCAAUAUUGUGACUUGUUGUGUUGCAAUAAUUGGAACUUUUUGACAAAUUAUAAAUUUCUUUAAUUUAUUAAAGCUAACCGAGUUAAUCAAAGUUUCCUUAUACAUAGAGAGAGGUGUAAAGAAUAUUGGAGGUGUAAUCGCAUUAUAAGAACUCAAACCAACUCCCACAUUUUGAUCGUGUUUAUGGUGUGUCCCCAUAUAUAUCUUUACAUUUCAUCGUGUAUUGACAUUUCAUCGUGUAAAAACAUCUGAAUUGUCGUUAUUGAUGUUUGUAAACCAAAUAACUCAAUAGUUGAUGUGCAUGUAUGAAUUUUGGAGAUUGCAUUUCAUAUCUUAGAGUUCUAUACAUUUCAGACAUUUCUCGACUUAAAAAAAAUAUAUUAAAAACAAAAUGAAUUAAACAAAAGAAAGUUACAGAAUUAAAUAAAGAAUACAUAGAUAUUAUUUAAUUGAAAUUGAAAUAAUUAAAUUUUAUCAUAAAGAUAAAAGAAUUAAAAAUAAUUUUGAUUCAAAAAAAAUUAAAAUAAAUGAAGGAGAGAAAAUCUUUCUCCAUAACAGUCUCCAAUAUGGAGAGAGAGAUUCUAUGUUAUGGAGAAGUUGUUCUGCAUAACACGGAGAUGAUCCUCUUCGUAUUAUGGAUAGAUUUCUCUCCAUCACUUUGUUCCUUUUUCCAUAUAUUUAUUUUUGUUUAUAUGGAAAAUAUUUUUUUCCCGAUUUCUAAUUUUUGUAUUUAUUUUCUCUUAAUGCUAAAAUUUAUUUUUUUUCAAUUUUAAUUAAAUAUUAUGUAUAUGUUCUUUCUUUAAUAUUUAAUAUUUAUAACUUUUUUUGUUUAAUUUAUGAAUUUUUUUUAAAAUUAUUAUAUCACCCAUUUUUCCUUCUUAUUGUAAAUAACUUUUUGUUCGAUUAAAAAUUCUUUUUAAUUCUUUUCAUUUUGUAAGAUAAAUAAAACUAUUUUAGUUCAAACUUUGUCAAUGUUUAUAAUUUCUACUGAAGUUUUUAUGUAUAAAAUUUUACAUUGCCAAAAAAAAAAAAAAAAAAAAUUUGACAAGUUUAGGAUUGACUUUAUCACUUGCCAAUUUGAAGUGAGAUGCUGCAUUUAAUUCUAACUGAGUUAAUCAAUUUUUCCUUGCAUCUCCUUUUUUUAUAUUCGAGUAGGAUAACAAAAGAAAGAAUUAAUCUUUUGUUGUCAUAAGUAAGAGCUUCAAAAUACAUAAUUUAUAUUUUCUUUUAAUUCUUUAAUUUAUUUUCAUAUACAUAAUCACACAAAAUCACACAUAUGUUCACAUAUUAUUGAAACUAAUUGAAUGAACGAGUACCGAAUUUUUAUGCUUUACAAAAAUACGUGUGACGUUAGCAUUUAUAUUGAAACAAUAUAUUUCUUGAUAUGUCAUUCAUUUCCUGACAUUUGAGGUUUAGUUCUUGACAUUAAAUGCCUACCAAUCUGGAUACUUGACAUUACAUUUGUAUAGAAUGACAUUUCAACUAAAGUAUAUUAUUUCUCCACAUUUCAUUAGAACAUUGAUAUUUGAUGUGUAGUUCAGGAUAUGAAAUGCCCGCAUUUCUCGACACUUGAUAAUUCAUUUGUGUAGAAUGACACGUCGACUAUGAGAAAAACAAAAUACAGCAAUGAACACAGUACAUGACAAUUGUUUGUGAAAUUUAAUCAACAGUCACCUAAUCAUUACAAUGCAUGUCGGUAAAACAUGUACUCUCUGUACCAACAUAUGAAUCUCCAUCAAGAAUAUUUACAAACUAUGGACAACCAUGUGAAAAAUAGUUACUACAUCACAGUAGGUAAGGCAACACAAUGAGAACGAAGAUGCGAAGACGUAAAAUAGCAAUUGAAGUCAUUAUAACCAAAAGCAGUUUAUAAUGUUUUUUGACUGAAAAAAUAGAUGUUCUGGACAACGCCGAUUAGUCUGAAUAUUUACUAAUGCAUAAUACAAGUCCACUAUAGGAAAUAAUAAAGUUAUAAACUAUUUUCAACAGAUAACCUUCCGAACAUGCCACUAACAUAUAAACCACAAGUUUGCAUCUACAAAAUGUCGGAUAGCUAGUCUGUACCAUGAACAAAAAUAUGAGAAUUGUAGUGUACACACACUACACACCCUUCUUAUCUCUCUUGCGAUUGGAUUGACUGAAUGGUGUCUUAGUGUUUGCACUAGGCAUCUUCAGUAUCAACGAUCGAGGUCUAUGUAGGGAAGAUCAGCAAUCUUCGACGGCUCAGCACGGAUGGCAUCAUCAAUUGGCGAAGCAUCGAUGGAGACAGCAACUGUAAGUACAGUGUUUGUAGUCUCUAUUACACUAUCUGGAGCAAUAUCAACUGACCUCUCGAAUCUAACCCCAGUCAUCGACAUUCUGAACACAUCAUUGGUUUGGCAACCAACUGCUUUGGUUGUACCUUUUAGAUGUCGUGUGUCCACUUUGGUAUGUGGCAUGAAAUUGUGAUCGUAACCAUCAUGGUGGGGCACAUCUCCACCACAAUAAUCCUGAAAUCUACCAUACUCAUCGGCGGCAUUGUUCCCCCAAUGUUAGUAGCCAUUUCAGAAAGCCUACAUCGGAUCACAUUGACCUCAUCAGUCAGAUGCUGCCUCAAACUGUGCACAUAAGUCCCCAUAUCAUUUUCCAAACUAGCAAAUCUCGCAUUCAUUUCCUCCUUCAACUUAUCCAACCUACACUCAAAGGCCUCUCUUUGUUCAUUCAACAGAGAUAUGAUCUCAUCCGAAGACACGGGCUUCACGGGUGCUCGGUGGCACCCCGUAGAAGAAGAUGGACGGUCGAUGACUGGGUCACCAUGGUCUUCAUCUCCACCUUCAGCAGGAUGCAUAUCUCAGAGAUGAACUCCACUUGUGUUGCCUCUCUGAGACUUUUGUCGUUAAUUGUUGUUCACAUUGUGCAUAACUUCACCUUCUAGUGGGCAAUCCUAUAUUUCUGUUGACUGAACAACGAGGCUGUCCAGAGCUUGGUCUGCUUUGUCUGGUAAAGCAACCAAACCAGCAAUAUAUGGCUGUAAUUCUUCUGCAGUAGUAGCGCGCAGCGUCGCCCAUAAGUGCACCUGUAAGGGAAAGAAAAAAUUGUCGAAAUGAAAUAUUAGUCAUUCUAAAAUUGUAACAUGAAUUUUAUAUGCAAAAUGCUCACAUGUGUUUUCUCGAAAAAGUCUGAAUAUGUUCUGGAUUGAGGUUGUCUUGUGACAGUCCAUCGCAACAUCCUCAGAAUAUCGUCACCCGUCUUUGUUGUGAAUCGAGCUCUUAGCUCCGGGAUAGCCUCGUACACCCACAACUUCAUGACGAACAGAACGAAAGUUACUAUAUACAGAGGGACAUAACAUGGGAUGGGAAAAAUGAAAUGAAAAUAUGGAACAUGUAUACCUGAACAGCAAGAGGAAAACCAUCAACGUGUAAGACAUUCGGUCACAAUCGUGGACCUUUGCUAAGUCUGUCUUUCUCUCUCAUCCAUGAAGAAGUGAUUUAAGAAGAAGUUUGAAACACACUAUCCCCCAUGGAUAGGCAUUGAAGAAAUCCAAGUCAUCCACAAUGGAAAGAGUUUCAGGAUGUAUCCCCAUAUUUUUGUUUCUGCAAUUGAAGACCCCUUCAAUGAUCAGUGCCAACCCAAGUUUGUAAAGAUCAUUACAUUGGGUACAUUUCAGGAAAACGUUCUCCAGGUCAGUACUCGUUACUCGGUCUCUAAGGGUAAACAGUUUGUCCCAUAGCCGGGUUUUUCCUAGGAUGUUGUCCAAAUUAUCACCUUUCGGUACUUCACCACACUUCAACCUAGUGAUUAAUGCAAACUCUGGCAGUCCAAAUCUUGCAAACCUUUGGUUCACCUUGAACCAAACCUCGAAACUUUUGCUCGAAAACACUGAGAUUUACCAUUUCGUGAAUUAAUUGCUAGACAGUUUCAGCUCCGACAACUUGGCAACAUGUCCUAUGUAACUUUCCUUGAACAUACGCUUUUGUUGUAAAUCUUGUUUGUUGAGGACAAUUGCUAUGUAAUUCAUGUUGCUGACCUGUGAAACCUGCGCCAAGAUGCGCUCUUCUUCCAGUACUUUGAAUCGAUGUGAAGAAGUCAUCUAUAUAUAGCAAAGAACACAUAAAAAAGUAUUAAGAAAAUGUAAGAACAAAAAAAAUCUAAGAAACGACAAGAGGAAAAAAAAUAAAAACCAAGUAACCAUUGAAAAUGCUUGGUAUCUAAUCGAAUAGGUACCCAUAAAGCAUAGUGUGCAAGAUACUCAUAAAGCAUAGUGUACAAAUUCAACGGAAUGCAAUACAUUAAAAUUAAAACUACCUUCGAAAUGAUGACUAAGAUCUAUGGAUACAUUAGCAUCUAAUGCGUGAUCACAAAGUUCAAUUUCAAAUUCAGCUUUCUUUUAAAGAUAGUAUGAGAAGUGUUUGUAGACGUGUGCUUUAUUCAUGUGUAUGUGUGUAACACAAGAAAGUAAGUAGUAAUGUUUACAACUCAUUUAUUUUCCACGCAUUUAGCCUUCAACUUGAAAAGAAGGUUAAGAUGGCAAUUCUCAUGUGCUCGAAAUCAAUUGUUCAUCGUGCACAAAGUAAUCUACACAUUAAUAGUGCAACUGCAUCAUAAAACUAUGAAUUUGCUUUUGCACAGAACAAUGUUAUUCACUUAUCACUUAGUGUGAUGGUUUAAACCCCAACUACAAAGGAAUCUUGUGAGAAGAGAAAUUAAUUCGUCUGUUAAAUAAUCUAUACAUGUCUAUAUGAGGCAAGGUUAAUGGCUUUGAAUUGGAGUCCGUUAAAGUGAUGGAUAAACACGUACAGGCAGCCCAUAUAAUUUACUUUACACACAUAUUUGGAGGCAGCCAAGAAUAUAUUACACAUACACGCCUACGAAAAAUGAGGGGGCAGCCAAUAUUUCACAUUUUUACACACAUUGGAGCCUGGAAAAUGAGGAUUACAUGUAUACAUAAGAAUCCCCUUAACAGUAAAACAUUGGUCAGCUGUCGUUAAUUUAUAUUGAUAUACACGCAAAAACAGAGCAAAAUAAGAAAAAAUGAAGGCUGUUGCUGUCGGUAGCUGUUCGGGGAGAAACACAGAGCCAAUAUACAUGCCAAGAAUUGCUGGCUGCCUUUAUUAUCUAUACAUAUUCAUAGAAAACCAAAGCACUGGAGGAGAUAUGUAUACAUGCAUAGGAGGAAUUUAUUGGGCUACAUACACGCACAGGAAAUUAAGUUUAUAUACCAAGUUUUGAGCUAAUUAAUUAACGUAUACACAUAUAUAAAACAUAAUAACAAGGAGUCUACUAAACUCUAACUAAAAUUUGCAACUAUCAAAAAUUAAAUACAACAUUGUAAAAUCAAAUCGAAUGAAAUACACAUUAAAAUUACAACAGCAAACAAUAAAAAAAAAAGAUGUAUUUAUGUAAAGUUACCUUAUUGAAGGUAACUAACGAAGAAGAAAGCGGUUAGGGGAUGAACGGAAAGGUUAAAGGUGUGGCAACUCUUCACGGCAGCUCUUUACUUCCAAUUAAAUCAGUAAAUUGUAGCCUUGUAUUUCCAGGUUUCUAAGCUGAGAGAGAGGAUUUCACAUUUAGAUGAAAAUUGAAUGAAGAAAAGGAAUAGAGUUUUAUGUUUUCACCUAACCCAUUUUACAAUUCAAAUGACCCGGUUGACUUAAUUAAUGUGAUUGACAUUUGUACUUUUUGAAACAAGUAGCAUAGGUUAUGUAUCCUAAUUUUAUUGGCAAUUCUUAAUGAUGAGACACAAUUUGAAUACAACUUUGGAAUUAGAAAUUUCAGGCAAGGGUAUUCUUGUCCAAAUAAUUGGAAAAUGGACAUUAGGAAAAACUUUGGACAUUUUUGCAAAUGCCCAUAUAAAAAUGGACAUUUCAGGCAAUUUCCUCUUAAAAAUUAUAUUUUUAGUAGAUUUUUAUAAAAGUUAAUGAAUAUGUAAUUAAAAGCUUAUUAGUCCCAUAAAAUAUGUAAUUAAUUAUUGACUCCGACUUAACUUAAAAUUAGAAUUUUAAUUUCUAUCCAACAGUAAAAGUAAAUAAGGGUAAUUAGCACAAAAACGUCCCUACCUUUCAAUAUUAUUGUACAAAACUUUCAUACCUUUCAUUUUUUGGCACUUUUACCUUUACCUUUAGUUUUUAUUGCGGAAAUCAUCAUUUUCAUCAAAUUUCUUGUGUAAAAUGACAAAUAUACUCCAUAUUUAAAUAAAAAAAUAAAAAAGAAAAGAAAAGUUAAAGAAUAAAUUGCAAUCAUACUUCCAAACCUUUUAAAAAAAAGUGCAAUUGAGUCUAAAUAAAUUAUUAAAAGGAUAAUUAGCACAAAACGUCCAUACUUUUCAUUUUUGACAUUUCACCCAUAUUUUUAUAUUUCAUUGCAAAAAAUUAUUAUUUUCAUUCAUUUUCUCAAUUAAAAGCUGUAAAAUAACAGGUACCCUCAUUUUUAAAUAAACAAAAAUAAAUAAAAGAAAAAUAAAGAACAAAUUGCAACUAUACUCUCAAAUUUUCCAAGAAAAAUACAAAUAAAUUUCAAAUAAAUAAUUAAAAAAUCACUUUCUUUUUAAAUUAUCUGGUUCAAUUUAUUUGGAAUUUAUUUGUAUUUUUUGAAAAUUUUAAAAAUAUAGUUGCAAUUUGUUCUUCAUUUUUAUUUAUUUUAUUUAAAGAAGGGUGUAUAUUUGCUAUUUUACAGCUUUUAACUGAGAAAAUGGAUGAAAAUAACAAUUUUUGCAAUGAAAUAUGAAAUAAGGGUGAAAAUGUCAAAAAAAAGAAACGUAUGAACAUUUUGCAUAAUAAUAAUAAAAGGUAGGGAUGUUUUGUGCUAAUUACCCUUUUAAUAAUUUAUUUGGACUCGUUAGGACUUUUUUUUUUUAAUAUAAAGUUUGGGAAUAUGAUUGCAACUUAUUCUUUAUCUUUUCAUUUCUUUUUUAUUGUUUCAAUUUAACAAGGGGUAUAUUUGUCAUUUCACACUAGAAAUUUGAUGAAAAUAAUGAUUUCCACAAUAAAAGAUGAAGGUAGGAUAAAAGUGCCAAAAAAUGAAAGGUAGGGACGCUUUGCACAAUAACAUUAAAACGUAAGAAAGUUUUGUGCUAAUUACCCAGUAAAUAACUAUUGCAGUUAACCCUUCUUUUUUCGAUAUAGAUAUUUUUUUAGUACUUCUGUAACAAUGGGAAAGCAAAAUGUGAUUUUUUUUUUGCACAGGCAACUGUACCUAUAUAUAUAUAUAAAGAUCAAGUAGAUUUACAAUUUUCAUUGGUGUCGAACACCAAUGUCAAAAUUAUUAGUAUAUUUUCAAAGGAAUCUUUAAAUUUAAUUAUUUUCUAUUGAAAGAGUUAAUACAUAAAAUCUCUGAAGAGUUUAACUUAUAUUAAAAUUUUAAAAUCGGGAAUGAGUUUAACUUUCUAUCUUUGAAGAGUCAAACUCGACUCCCGUUUGGAGCAUAUUACAAUGGCAUUUUUUUUUUAAAAUCUCAUUAUUCUAUAGUGAAAGAAUCAAUCAAAAAAAAAUGUAGUUGCUUUGUCGUACUUCAGUUUCCAACCAUUGUGCCAUUGAAAAUGCAUUGGAUAAAAUUACCAUCAACUAAACUCUAUAAUUGAUGCAAUACUCCACAAGAACAUCUCAAGGGCGGUUUGGGAAAUUUAAGUGAAACACCCACUGAAAAGUCAAGACCAAAUGUCGAGCAAUUGGACCUGUAUAUUAAUUAUUUAUAGAUGUGAAUCUCGUGAUUUUGAUAAAAAAAAAAUAAACAAUAAAAAGGAUCAAGCAGAUUUACAAUUUUCAUAGGUGCUUCGACACCAAUGUCAAAAUUAUUAGUAUAUUUUCAAAAGAAUCUUUAAAUUUAAUUAUUUUCUAUUGAAAGAGUUAAUCCAUUAUAGUAUACUUAAAUUAAAAUUUUAAAAUAGGGAAUGACUUUAACUUUCUAUCUUUGAAUAGUCAAACUCAACUCUGUUUGGAGCAUAUAACAAUGGCAUUUUUUUUAUUUUUUUUUUCAAAUCUCAUUAUUCUAAAGUGAAAGAAUCAAUAAAAAUUACAAAAAGUAGUUGCUUUGUCAUCAAUUUCCCAUAUUGUACCAUUGAAAAUGCAUUGGAUAAAAUUACCCUUAACUACACUAUAAUUGAUGCAAUGCUCUACAAGAACAUGUCAAGGGUGGUUGGGAAAUUUAAGUGAAACACCCAUUGAAAAGUCAAGAUUAAAUAUCAAGCAAGGUAUACAGGGGUGGGGACCACAAAUUCUGUAAAUGAGAAGAAAAAAUGGGCAAAUAAUGGGGGCCAAACGGAUGCUUAUUUUUUAUUAGUAUUUUUAUAGUGAUGCAAGAUUCAAUACUUCACUUCUUAAAUUAUUCAUGUAAUCAGGGAAGGCCGCACUAGCUCUGCCAGGAAAAGAAAUUACAUGUUAAUGAAGCUUUUAUGUUAAAUAUGUAAAACUGUUCCAACUUUCAACAAACGUGAUUGUAGCUCAUAUGGUAGGUCGUCAGUUUUGCAUGUGAGAGGCACCUAGUUCGAUUCCCCUCUUCUGCUUCUUCAUUCAAUUUUUUUAACACAAUAAAUAAUAAUUAAAUAAGUCUACGAGAUUUUAUUUUUAGUAUUGUUGGCAACAGUGUUGUAUCUCAAUUAUUGUGAAGUCCUUUUUUCACAUGUAAGAGGUAUGGGGUUCAAUUCCCUUCACCUCCUCUUCUUCUCAUUAAUUUUUUAACACAAUACAUAACAACUAAACAAUUCUGUAUAAUUAGUUUUUGUUUCUAAAGAUUAGUUUUUAAAACAAUUUGUUGACUUACUUGUAUUGUCAGAUUUUAUCAAUUAUUUUGUAAAAUUUAAAUUUGGACAUUCUUGGUACUGAUCUUUAUUCUUUUAAGGGUAAAGAGUUAGAAAAACACUUUCUUUUUCGGUAAAAUUAGCUUUAAAAAUCAUCAUUUAAAAAAUUUAUUGACUCAAAUUAUUACUUCAUAACAUAUAUAUAAUUUAAUUGUUAAGUUUUAUCCAUUUAUUUUGUAAAAUUCUUUAUUCUUUUAAGAGUUCGAAAAAUACUUUCCUUUUUGGGGUCAAAAAUAGCUCUAAAAUUCAUUGUUUUAAAAUUUGUGUCUUUAUUGUUUAAUCAAUAUUUUACACAUAAACUUCAUCUUUUCUAGCUUAGUUCAUAAAAAUUUGAAACUUGAUAAUACAUAUAUGAUUCAGAAAAUGCAUUCUUAUUCCUUAUAAUUUUGGGUUGAAUUGAAUUAUAUCUUCAUAUGUAUAUGAUUUUUACGUUUUAAUGGAGAUUUUUUUAAAAUACAAAUUAAUUAAAUAUUAGUGAACAAUAUCGUUAUAUUGAGCAGUCGUUUGAUAAACGUUUGACACUCCGCCCUAGCUUACUCAAGCGGCUGGAUCUGUCCUUGCACGUAAUAUUUGAAUAUUUUAGCUAUUGACAUCUAAACAUUAUAUAUUUGAAAAAUAAGGAAAACAUAAUAAAUGAUUGUUGAAAAAAUAAAGAAAAUGAAAAUAAGAAAUUUAUUAGAGUAUCAAAUAUUGAUUUUCUAUUAUAUACAAGAUACUCUUUAAGAAUAAAGAAACUCUUUAAGAAUAAAGAAACUCUCAUCAUAUAACUAUUAGGUCAUUUGCAAAAAAAUUCAAAUCACACCCUGAAAUCAAGCUUAAAAAUAAGGAGAUGAAUUCAGACAGAAAUGAAAUGUCACGGGUUGAAAUGAAACUUGUUUGUAUAUUCACUGUAAUAAAAUCACUAUAUGAGGGGGAAUAAAUGUCCCUCUAGAUUCAAUUAUUAAGCAAACCAAAUUGGACUUAUUUGAUUUGGUUAAAAACAAUUGAACAUGGACAAAUUAUAUUAAUUCAAGAAACAUCGCUAUUAAUUAACAGUUUAAUAAUACUAGUAGUAAGCACGUGUGUUGCACGUCUUAUAUGUAGAAUGAAUGAUAUGCAUAAUAUUUUUAAAGUAAGGUAAUUGUUCAUGUUAAAAGAAAAAAUUAAACUUGUCAAAGAAUAUACAUAUAAAUAAAAGUUUUAUGAAAAUUAUGUACAUAAAGUGAAAAUGCUGAAUAAAUUGAAAUGUAACGAUUUGCUUAUUUUAGACUUUGGUUGGACCCCUAUUUUCAACUAUUACGACGACAUCAACCAAUUUUGUGAUACAGAUAGAUACGAAAAAAAUCAAAUUAGAAGAUAUACAUUUGAUUAAGUUUAAAAUAUUUAUGUGUAAGUAAACUAAAGGUACGUAAAUAAUUUUCAAAUUAAAAAAAUUACUCAUUUUUUUUGUACCAUAAACUUAUUUACCUCAAAAAACAAAAACAAAAAAAGUAUAUUAUCUGAACAUAUUUAGAAACAAAAAAUUAUAUAUUAAUCAUGCUCGUCAUAAUAAUUCAUAGCAUUUAUUUUAAAUUAGAAACCAAUGUUACACACAAAAUAGAUAUUGAAGUGAAAAAUCUUAAAUAAAAGUUUUCCUUUCCUUUUGAAUGGUAACAAAUGGAAGAAUAAAAAUUCUUUAUUUAAAUGUACUGAGAUAAAAAUCUUUUUCUUUUGUUUAUAUAUUUAUAUAUAAUAAGUAACAGGAUUACCAUCAAUUUUUAUGCUUAUACAAAAAUGAACACGUAAUAAUAAAUACUCAAUACUAUAAUAAUUAAUUUUUAGAACGCAUAAUAUUAAAUUUUAUUAAUACUUAAAAAAUUGGAUUUACUGAAAAUGUGUAAAUGAGAUGCGAAGCUUGUAUUAGUGUGUGAAUAUAAAUAUGGGAAGUGUAAGUAACUUCUAAUUAUUAGGAGUAAUUAGUAAGGUUUUUAAGAUUGAUGGAUAAUUUUUCCCGUCAUCGAUUAUUUCUCUCCUAACUAUUGAUCGCAUUUAAGCACUUUUUUCUUUUCAAUUUAUCGUCUUUUGUAUUUAAAUAGUUAUAUUAACAACUAUUAAUUAAUUAAACAUGAAAUUUAUAAUUUUUGACUGAAAAUAUUGACAAUGUUAUAUAAGGAAAAAAAAUUAUAAAUUGAACAUUUCUCAUGUAUCUCCACAUUUUAUUUUUAUAUAUAUUGUAAUUAUAAUAUAACUAUAUAAGUAGAUAAACGUCGAUUUUAAGUGAAGCUCACGGAUAUAAAUAAUAAAUAAUAUAAUAUAUAUACAUGUACGUAUAUAAUAACAUUAUAAUAUAUUAAAGGUGGCAUUAAUGAUAGAUUAAUUAAAAUUUGAUUUCAUGUAGUAACCUUUUAAGUAUAGAGUUCAUUUCUCAUAGUGGAGUAUUCAUAAUUUUGGGUUAACUAAAUUAAGUUUGAUCAGUUAAAAUCAAAGCUCUUCUACAUAUAUAAUCAUAUUAAAAAUAUAAUAAAUACUAUUUUAUAUAAUAAUUAAUCUACCAUUAUAUUAAUGCAACUUUUAAUAUAUUUUAUUAUAUAAUUAUAAUAAAAUUACAUCUAUAUAUGUGAGCUUAGAUUUUAAGUGUAAAACUUAAUUUCAACAAUGCAGGUUAAGUAAUUAAACUUAAUUUGAUUAAUGUAAAAUUUUAGGUACUCCAAUAUAAAAUAAUAAGUAUUACACUUAAUGGAUAUCAAAUGAAAUUAAAUUAUAUUAAAUGGUACUAUAUUAAAUAUAGGGUAGAAUUGGCAUAUAGCUAAAAAUAUAAGAGAUUUUUAUUAAGAGAAUUAAUUCAAUUAAUUCAACAUGAAAUUGAAAAAUGGGUAUUGUGUAAGGAAUUCAAAUGAUAGCCUUAAAUAACCAUUUAUAGAAAUUAAAAAAUAUUUUUAAUUUAAUUAAUAGCAUUACACUUAAAUGGAUAUUAAAUGCUACUAUAUUAAAUAUAUAAAGUUAAAAUUGACAUGUAACAAAAUAUGUAAGGGUAAAACUGGUAUUCAAAAGUUUCUCCUCAAUCCGCACUUUUAAUAUAUUGUAGAUUAGAGACAAUUAUCAACUAAACUUAGAAAUUAUUUGACAACCAUUAUUGUAGAAAAAAAGUUUUGAAUAGUGAUUUUUAUGAGAAUGUACGGUUAAAAAGUAGGGAAAAGUUUUUGGUAUACUUGUAAAAUAUUUUAUUAUAUGAAUGUGUAAUUUUGUAGCAAAUCAUAAAAUAAAUUAAUGUGUGUUAAACAAGUGCGUAGUCAUAUUUGAUGGGCUAAUGAGGCGAAAAGGAUGAAUUACUUCCAUAUGUAUACAUGUCAAUUUCAAUGCAGUGAGAAUUGAGGGCUAUUGUUCAAUUUAAUGCACGAUUGCAGAACUGCUUUUAAGCAUGAUUCGAGAAGGUAAUAUGGUGUUGGACCAUGAAGGAAGGUUAAAAGGCAGAACAAACUCAAAUAAUUAGGGGAGAGGCGACUGCUCGAAGAUCGGUUGGACUUCUUUGAAUGGACCGAUUAAAGGUUCUUUAGAAUUUUAUACACACACACACACACAGAGGAAUGACCUCCUAAGUACUGGUGACGUGACAUACCAUUUAAUUGGUGAAUUAUUAAAUACAUGAGACCUACCAUUAACUUGUACACCAUUUAAUUGGUGAAUAAGUCAAUGUAGGUCCCAUGUAUUUAAUGAUUCACUAAUUAAAUGGUGUGUCAUGUCAUCGGUGAUUAACAUAAGCUAACUUAGGAUAUAUAUAACAAAUCAUGCUAAUUUUCAAAACAGGGCAAGAGAUGGAGAAAUCUGUGCAUGAAAAGAGGGCUAAAUGUGAGUUUUAAAACCCUAAUUUCCAUAAACUAGCAUAUAAAUGCUCAAAAUAUGUUGGGAAAAAAAUUGGCAGAAUAGUCCGUUUAUGGCUGAUUUUGAUCAAGUACAACUUCAAUUAAACAUGCAACAAGUCACAUUAUAAACACAUAUAUUGAAGUAGAUCGGAUUGGAUGUCUUACUCAGUCUCCUGUACUAGAUAUCGUCAUAAUAGUAAUCUAUGUUCAUUGUGUUUUAAUAGAUCAUAGCUGAAGAGCGAACAUCUGAGGAUCAUAAGAGAUUUAUUUUGUCGAUCUUAAAUAAAUUUUAUUAAAUAUAAAUGUCAUAUCACAAAUUUCUUAAUUUUUCUUUUUUAAAGACAACACAUCACAAUUUUCUUAUAAAUGUCGCAUUACAAAUACUUACUCGUGAAUCUACAUCGUCAAAGACUUAGUUUUUAACAAAUACAAUGUCACAUCAUAAAUUUUUUAGCAUUAUGAAACGAUAGAGACAAGACCUGAGUUGAACACUUAAAAACACGUGUAAGAAUUUGAUUUGAUUUUAAUUUCUAUUUUAUUAGCUCUUCUUGAUGUAUUGUCUAAAUAAUAUUUUAUUUAAUCAGGAUUGACUAUAUAUUUUCUAAGAGUUAGGGACCUAAUUAAUUAUUGUAAUUAUGUCUUAAGGGUUUUGUAACGUCGGCUGCAGCAAAAUUAAUUUGGUUUCUUUUGUUUAAAUACAAUUUUGAGAUAUCUUUCAUUUUCAGGCUUCCUUUUAUGAAUUAACAAAUCUUGAUCCUCAAUACUCAAUAUUUCUAAAAAAUAAUGCGUUUUUUUUAUCGUGUUAUUCGAACAAAUAUCACUCGUGCUACUUCAACAUACAAGCAACAAAAAUUUAAAGAAAAAAUAAGUAAAAAUGUAUACACAUUCUACAAAGUCCUCUUAGACAUAUAUGAUUUGAAUUUAGUUAAAUAUUAAUUUAUGUAGUAAUUAGUUGCAAUAUGAAACUAUAAUUAGUUUCUAUAAUUUAUUAUGUUUUCAAUUUAUUGAACUAUUAAUUAGCAUGUUGGUUAAGCAAAAAAAAUUGUCAAAGUUUUAUAAAUAAUCAUGUGAUGGAUAUAAUCACAAGUUUCUAUUUUAUUAGUUUAACAAUACAUGAAAUUUGAUAUACAUAUAAUAAAUUUGAUUAUAGCCAACUCAUCUGGCAUAGCUAUUAAUGUUACCUUGAGAGAUUUAAUAUGCCUUAAGCAUAUAAUUAAAGGAAUAUUAUCAUGAGGAAAGUAAAUAAGCGUUGUAGUCUUUUUUCCUUGGCUGAUGCUAUGUGGUUCAAAUAAUGAACUAGAUGGCCAGUAGAGGAUAACUCCCACUAUGUCAGAUGACCUAAACUAUGUCAGGUUACGUCUAUCAUGACAUGAAGACUGCUAUUAUGCUAACUUGACCGAUGCCAUGCUUGCUUGAACAUAGAGUGCAGUUGACUUUCACUGUGUCAGGUGACUUUUGCUAUGAUAGGGUUUUUACUGCUAUGCUAGAACUAGUGUCGCGCGUGGCUCGACUACUUUCAUAUCUACUCUCACCCCACUUGAUGUCCAAGAGGAUGAUCUAGAAUGUUCUGGACUAGACAGUGAUAGAAUAACCUUAUACAUUGAAAAAUUAUGACAAGCUACUGGAAUUCCAAGAAAAAAUAAUAGUGGAAUAAGAAGAUGUAACACUUUAAUUAAUUAAAAGAAAAGUCAAACCAAAAAAAAAAAAGGAAAUUAAACAAAUUAAAAGGUUGGGCGGUUUAACCAAAUCCAUCCCAAUCCAAUACAUUAUAUAUAUAUAUAUAUAUAUAGAUACACACACACAAACACAAUCCAAACCCAUUUCAUAUUCAAUACACAAAUAGAGAAACGAGAAAGAGAGAAGGUAAGAGAGAGAAAAAAAGGAAGAAGAAAGAAAGAAAAAAUUUCGCCAACAUGUUAGAAAUAAGUUCUUCUACUAUUACGCUCGAAUUCCUCAAUUUUGAAAGGUAAGUAAAAAGUUACUUAUUGUCAAGUUAUGUUUAAUUUUAAUGUUGUUAGAUUGUUAGAUUAAAUUCAAUUUCAUUGAAGGGGUUAAGUAUAAUAAACUAUGAAAUUUAGCAAAAUGAAAGAAAAACUAGUUUUAGUGAUUAAAGAGAUUUUAGAAAUCGCUCAAAUGUAAAAUGAUUAAGUUUGGGUAUCAUCUAUUUAAUUAUUAAAAUUACUUAAAAUAAUUAAUUGUUGAUUUAAAAAUUAUAUCAUAUUUCACGCGACGAUACCGACAUCGGGACAGUUUAUCAACCGAGUUGAUUUUGCAACAUAGUUCUGUGAGUGGAAAAAGUUAAACAUUUUUAAAGUGUUUAUAAAUUAAGUAUAUGUGCAAUUAUGUGUUUGAUUUUAUGAUUAUUAUAGAAGUUUCUGUUAUUAUGAUACAUGUGGAAUCUCAAAGAUUAUUUAUGGCACAUUUGUAACUUGAUAUGUAAGACAUGUGAUAUUGAGAUUUGUUUGGUAUGUGAGACAUGUAAUAUUGAGAUCGGUCUAAAAAGUACCCGUGAUUAUAUAUUUCUUCUAGUUCACAGAGGGGCCUUGGCCGUAUUCUAUCCUACACGGAGGGGUCUUGACCGGAUAUUGGUUUCGACCGUGUACUUAUAGCUCACAGAGGGACCUUUGCCAUGUUCUAGAAUUGAUUAUCAAAGGUCUUUGAGACCGGCUUUCAUUCACGGAGGGGACCAAAGGCCCGUGGAGAAAGUGGUUAGCCCGAGGGACGGAUUUACAGAUUUUAGUCUGAGGGUACAUUUUUGGUAGAUCACAUGUGAUGUGAUGAGAUGAUGUUAUAGAUAUCAACUGAUGACUAUAUCGUGAUUAUGAGAUGAUAUUUAUAGUGUUAUGAGAAUGUUUCACUGUUUGUCUAUAAUUGUAUGAGGCUAUCAUGUGAAGUAUUUAAUGAUAUGAACUUAACGUUUGAUAAAAAUGUUUAAAGGAUAAAGUAUGAUUAUUUUUGAAGUCUUUUACUCACUGAGCUAUCAACUCAUAUUUUUCUAAAAUUAUUUUUACAGGUAAUGUUGGUCCUUGAUAGCUUGAGGAGCCUGGUGAUUUCAAAGUUAGAGCCACCCAACAUGUUGAAGGAUAUGAGUCAAUUAGAUUAAACCAUGAAUUAAAGUUUUGAGCCCAUCGCAUUAUGUUUUGCAUAAGCAUUUGAUUUUGAUGCAUUUUUUGAAAUAACUCAUAGUUAGCAUUGAUGAUAGAUCUGACAUCUAGUUAGCAUUUAUUCUUGGUGUCAUAAGAUUACCUAGAGAAUGAAGAUAGAGAGAAAAACACUUACGGUUUACAAGAGAGAAGAAGAUAUAAAUGAAAAAACGAGAUUCUAUUCCUUUUAUAUAGGAAAAUUUCAGGGUUGGCAAAAAGUCCAGGCCCAUGAGCUGACCCACAUUUUAAUAAAAUUCUCUACUAUGCUGUAAAUUCAAUCUAUUUGCGAUAAUAAAAUAAUGAUGAAAAAUAAAAAAUUGCAAUGUAAUAAUUCAACAACGCUACCUCUUGAUAAUAAAUAUCGACAAAAGGUAGAGGGGUUAGUGAUGCUAUGUGGUUCAAAUAAUAAACUAUGAUGACAUGUAGAGAGAAGAUAACUCCCGCUAUGUCAGACGACUCCCGUUAUGUCAGCUGACGUCUAUCACGAUGUGGUGACUGCUGUUAUGCUAACUCGACCAACUCUAUACUUGCUUGACCAUAGAGUGAAGAUGACUCCCACUAUGUCAGGUGACUUUUGCUAUGAUAGGGUGUUUACUGCUAUGCUAGUCUGACUACCAUCGUCUGCGGGCCAACUACUUAUGUGCUAAACUGACCACUAUUAUCCAAACUACCAAAACAUCAUUGGAACUGAUGAGAAACCGUUCCGACGGUUAUCAUUAAACCCACCAUUCAAGUUAUGGGUAGAAGGUAACCACUUAACAAGUGGUUGGGGGAGGAAGCCCCCAUCCACUUUUUUGUAGGAUCACUAGAGAACUAAAGACAUCAUUUUCCUUCCCAGGAAGACAUAGAGUUGUAUCCAAACUAUUUCAUUGACCAAUGUUUUGUCCCAUUGAGUUUUUAGGCAAAGUUUUUAAUUAGACAACUAUUGUAGCGUAUUCAAAAGAAUAAAUGUACCAUUUUUCCUUCAUUAGGAUUUUUUCACAAGGUUUUUCCAAAUAAGAUUUUAAUGAGAUAUAUUCUUUCUAUCAUGAAUAUCCAUAACCUAAAAGACAUUUACCCUCAAAAUAAUACUCCAAUAUGUAUGAAACUUAGGAAGAGAUCAACAAGGGCUGUUUUUUGAAUCAUCAUGUUACUACAGUUGUUAAAUAUUGAUAAAUAUCUCAUGUGAAGGCAGUUUUAUUUGAAUAUUAUACAAGACAACAUGAGAUAUACUCCACCAAAAAUUACAAUAUUGAAAAUAUUGACAUACAAGAUAAGGAUGAAUUGAUACAAGAAUUAAAAUUAGGGAGAGCAGUUGUAUCUUUUUCCUUCGAUCAAGUUUUGUUCCACUGAAUUUUCUUGACAAGAUUUUAAGGAGGAAAAUAUAUUAUAAUGUGUCAUUUAAAAAGAAGUGUUGUAAAUAAUAUGAUUAUUAGUGAAUGACAAUUAUACCCUUGCAUCCACAAUUCUAUUAUCAUCGUAUCUCUAAUUCUUCCCCAUAAAUAUGGAGGUUUGGUUCUUAUAUAAUACACAAGUCUAUUGACUUUUAUACUUCUUCUACUUUCACUCUAGUUUAUAACACUUGCUAUAAAAUAAAAACUUAAAAAAAAAGGAUAAAGGAAAAACGGUUUCACCAAAAAAUUUGAUAAACACGGUAGAAAAUAAGGUUUCCAAUAAAUGUCUCAUGCACCAACUUCAAUAAAAGAGAAUAUUAGAUGUAUGUUUAUUAGCAGAUCAAAUUUGCAAAUUAUAAUAAACACUAGAAUCUUUAAUCUUUAAGUUACAAAUAGCUGUUUUGGCAUUGGAAUAAUAAGAUUUACGAGCAUUAAAAUGUUGACAGACUUGAUACUUUUGCUUGGAAAGAACAGAAAAUGUUCUUCCGUAUCUUGAACACAGAAAUUUUAAUUAUAAAAAACAAUACUGAGCAUGUUAAUGUAUACAACAAUUAUAACAAUUGUAUCGAAUAGAAAAUCCAACCACUUAUAUGAUGAAUUUGAUAAACAAGUCAUUUUGACAUUUCGUAUAUUCGGUUCAAAAUACUAACGAUAUUCCAACACAUAAAAAAGUAAUAAAACCAAUGAAGAUUAAUUUUGGUUAAUUGAGAUACAACAUGUUUACAUAUAAAUUGAAUGACUAUUGGCGAGAGAGGUAUUGAUUUCUCUUAAUGGGUUCAAUGCAUAUAUUUGGAGCACAUGAGUUGGGAACAUUUUCCCUUAUUUCAUCCAAAUGAACCUUAUUCUUGUAUUCACGUUCUUCUAUAAACUUGUCAUGUAAAAUGUUGCAUUUGUAUUUACAAAUACUUUAUUGCUCUGAGGACUACAGACGUAAAAUUUUCUUGUUCUCUCGUGCCUUCAAUAAGUAAAUCGCAAUUUGUAGGGGACAUCCCCGACAUGAUGUUUCAAGAAAUGAGAAGCCCGUCAUGGAUUUGGCCAUAUCCAACAAGGUCAUGUUUCUCCUUUCUGAGUAACCAUUUUGUUGGGGGUAGAUGAUGCACUCAGUUGGAAUAUAAUCUCAUUCUCUACAGGUGCAUUCUAAAGUAAUCGGACAGAUACUCUCACUACAAAAAAUAUGGGCUCCACUGACCAAAGUUUCAACGACCAACAAAUAUUGGUUGGUAUAAGUCAUGUUCACCGACCAAAGCUUGAUCGGUGAAAUUGUCGAUCUGUUAAAAUAGAAUAAAUUUUGGAAGGGCAUUCAGAGACCAACAUUUGGUCACUAGUACCAUUAUCCAGCGACUAGCAUUGCCGUGGUCGCUAUACCAAUUGGCGGGGAGAACCCCACGAAAUUUUGGUAACUCCUUUACCAAUCAAGGCUGUGGUCGUUGAAUAGAAAUGCCUCCAGUGACCAACAUUUGGUCGCUGGCACUAGUAUCCAACGACCAAAAUUUUCGUGGUCGCUAUACAGGUUGGUAGGAAGAACCUCGCCUAAUUUUUGACAACUCCUUACCGACCAAAACUGUGGUCGCCGAAUAUAAAUGCCUCUAGCGACCAACAUUUGGUCGUUGGUACCAUUAUCCAGCCACCAACAUUGUCGGGGUCGCUGGAACACUUGGCGCAGUUUUCCCCUCCUUUUUUCACUUUUUUUUUCAAAUAUUUCGCAAUCAAAUCUAUGGUUGCUAGUUAGUCCUAUGUUCCAGCGACCAGAGUUUAGUCGCUGAUGGAACGUUCCAGCAACCAAGUAUAUUUGGUCGCUGGAACCUCUGGCGGAAUUCUAACCCACAUUUUUUUCACUUUUUAAAACUGCUCAACGACCAAAUCUAUGGUUGCUAAUUAGUCCUAUGUUCUAGUGACCACAGUUUGGUUGCUGGAACACUUGGCACAAUUCUUCCUGGCUUUUUUGUUUUCACUGUUCAGCGACCAAAAUUUUGGUUGCUGGUUAAUAGUAGGUUUCAGCGACCAUAUGUUGGUCACGGGUGUAAAUCUAAAUUAACACUUGGCACCAUUAUUCCUCCAAUGUGAAAAUCUUCUUAUGUUCUCCCAUUUCACUAAUUAUUGAAUUUCUCACUGUUUGAUUUCACCAUUCGAUCGAUUUCUUUUCACACUUGUCAUUUAUGCUCUUCGAUUUCCCUCAUAAAAUUUUCAUGUCCUUCUAAAAUUUUUGUAUUUCCCUCUAUCUUUUUCUCUUAUCUACUCAAAUAGUUCAUUUCCUUAUUACCUUAUUUCCAAAUCCAUAACCCUAUUUCAUCUCUCACCCCUUCCCCCGUCUCAUCCCUUUCUCAUUAUCUAGGUUUCAACUUUCAUCCUCUCUUCUCAAUUAGUACCACACCCACCAACCAAAGAAUUUUAUGAUGACCCACACAUAAGAAUAUAUUGGUCAACAUGUUCAAAGUAUGAUGACCCACACAUAAGAAUUUUAUGAUCAAUUUCAUGAUCCACACAAUUGCUAUCAAGAGUCAUGGUCAAUACUCACUCAAAACCGACCCAGUCGAUUUGGGUUAAUUGUAAUCCAAACUGAACCACAAAGAUUUGAAAACAAUUUGAUCGGGACCAUAUUUUGUCAUUGGAUCUUUCAGUGGUUUCAAUUAGGACUUUGGCUCAAAUUAGAUCAAACAGUUCCAAGAUAAAUUCCAUUUUGAACAUCAAUACAUCAUCUUGGUUAAAAUAAAAAAGAAAAGAAGUAAUACAAUCACCUUUUCUCAUUUGUUAUCCAUUUUAAUAUAGUGUAGAAGAUGGAAGAUUUUAGUUUUGAUUUUUGCUUUUGUACGCACAUUCGAUUAUUAACUCCUUGAUUCGCUGUCGUCGUUACUAGUACAGCCUCACUAUCAUAGUUGUAGGGGAGAAAUCCAUCUUACUGAUGUGAAUUCACUACAAAAAAAUAUCUAAAUCGUGACCAAAAAAUAUUGUCGCGCAAAUAGAGAUUUUGUUGCAAAAAUAAUUUUGCGACAACAUUAUGUUUGUUGCAAGCAAUGUCGCGCUAUAUGAGCCACAGAAUGUAUUUUGCGACAACUUUCGAUCAUUUGUUGCAUUAAAAAAUAUGCAACAUUAUUUGUUUGACGCCAAAAAAUAUGAAAUAGCAACAAGAUAUUUGUUGCCAUAAUAUCGUCGCAAUACAUAUAUGUCGCAAAAAAAUAAAAGGGCGACAAAACUAGAAGUGAACCCUUUGGCAACCAAAAGUUGGUCGCUGUUAUUUAUAUGUUCAGCGACCACACGUAUUUGGUCGCUAGAACCCUUCAUCUACGAUCUAUUAGCAACCAGUUCUGUGGUCGCUAAAGGUUUUUACCUACCGAAAACUACCCUUUAGCGACCAAUAUAUUUGGUUGCUGGAACCAAUUUUUAUUUUUUUUUAUUUUUUAUUUUUUGUAGUGUCUCCACCACAAUCUAAUUGAGUGUCUUAUUGUUAUUACCUAAUUUCCUUUUUGCUCCUCAAUUCCUUGAGCUUUUUAAGGGGCUAUAGACUUGUCAUCCAUUUGGUACACAUAGACGUAUCUUGAGUAAUCGUCUAUAAGAGUGAUGAAGUACUAUACCUACCUCUAGUCUAGACACUAUUGGUCUAUAAAUAUUAUAAUGCAGUAAUUCCUAGAUGUACAGAAUCUCCUUGUCAUCUUACCCUCCAAAUAGGAUUCUCAUAAUGAUAGAGAUUCCACAUUUAAUUCACUUAGCCCCUGUUUGGUACAGGUUAAAAUCUAGAUUUAAUUUAAGUCAAAGUCAAUAAUUAAUUUUAACAACAUAUUUUAUGAGACCUACAACUUUUUAACCACACAUCCCAUCAACUUUUAUCAAAAUCUAAUAAAGAUCUUACUUUAAUCUCUAUCAAACACAGGCUUAAAACACCAUACAUUACCAGCCUUCAAAUUUUAUUAUGGUUUAUGUGACCACGUCUAAGGUGUCAUGAAUAAGUCUCAUUAUAAGUGGGAGACAAUUUUAUGCAAAAAUUAGAAGUAAUGAUGUUAUUAAUAGAGCCAACAACAAAAUUCAAAAUAUAUGAUAAUUGUUAAAAAAUUGUCCAUGACAAAUAAGAUGAUUAUUCAAUAGAAUAUCAAGUCAACCGCGCAAAAAUAACUGAAUAUCCAUGCUAAAAUAACUAAGUUACACAAAUUAAAUUUUAUUUGAUGUCGAAACAAAAUUAUAAUUUUUUAAAUUCAAAUGUUACAGAUCCAAUGACUCUAGCAGAUACUAUUUUCAAUGGAACAUAUAAAAGUGAAGUCUCUAUCGCUAAGCUCCAUGUUUACCUGGAGCCCCUACAAUGAAUUGCGAAUACGAUCAAUAGCUCCAGAAUCAACUAUUCAUUUACCAAUAAAAUCAACCACCCGUUGGGACUCAAUGCAGGAUAAAGAACCAUUAUUUUGCUUUUUGGAAGCUGGGUAUUUCGAGCAGUUCCUUUUCUAAUAACCUUGUCGUCCACAGUGAAAGAAUUUCUCCUUGGACUUUCCUUCCAUCCGCUUUCUUGGUCAAUCGUCGUUGCCCUCCUUGUUGGACUUCUUCCACUUGUUUUCUCUCUUGCCCUUUCAGCUUGUAAAAGAAUGGUCCAUAGCACAAGAAACGACAAAGGCUUUUGGUCUUUAAAAUAGUUUCUAUAUCAACUCGGGAUAUGUUAAUCUUUUUUAUGUUAUAAUUAACCUUGAACUGCCAAAACAUCUCAGGGAGAGUCUCUAAAGCCAUUUCAACCUGUCUCCUAUUUCAUUUCAGCAUCUAAGACCUCAGCCACAUUAAACUCAGCAAUUACUGAAAGCAUAUAAUCUCUCGCAAGCAUCCCUAACUUCAUGAAUCAUGCUCAUGACAGACCUAAUGGCAAUCUAUCAGCUUUGAUGACCUUGGUAUCCAAACAUCUCUCGAAGACUUUUUAUAAUCUUACAUGAUGUAAUAAUCAGUUUUAAUGAGUAAAAUAAGUAAUUUUUUUAAACAUAUUUUGUUACUUUUCUAACAAUAGGAAAGUAGAACAAUCUCAUGAUUUUGGAAAAAAAAAGAUCAAGUAGAUUUACAAUUUUCAUAGGUGAUUCAACAGUACCAAUGUCAAAAUUAUUUGCUUUGUUAGAGUAUUUUCAAGAGAUUAUUUACAUUUAAAUAUUCUUUAUUUAAAUAGCAAAUCCUUAUAUUAUGGUUAAAUUAAAAUUGUAAAAUAGAGAAUUAGUUCGACUUUCUACGUUUGAAGAGUCAAACUCACUUUCUAUUUGUAUUUUUUAUAGUGAUAACAUUUAACAAAUUUCAAGACUCAAUACUUCACUUCUUAAACUAUUCAAAUAGUAUUUGAAUAUUUUAGCUAUUGACAUAUAAAAUUUAUAUAUUUAAAAAAUGCAAAAGAUAUAAUAAAUGAUUGUCCAAAAAUGUAAUUAAAAAAAAGCAAAAAUAAGGAGUUUAUUAGAGUGUAUCAAAAAGUAAAUCUAAAAAUACUCUAUGUUAUGUACACUAUAGGUUAAUUUUACAAACGGUCACUGAACUGACCUGAAAAUUACAAAAUGGUCACUGAAGUUUAAAACUUGUAGAAACGGUCACUGAAAUUUACAAUCUUGCAGAAACAGUGAUAAUUUUUUUUCGAUUUUUGGACAAGGUUUGCGGCAAUUUUUCGACAACUUCUGACCUCCAAGACCGUCGAAUUUGGAUACCAUUGAAAACCCACAAUGUCCUCUUCAAUUACCAUCCAAAAUAUCCCCAUAGCUCCAAAGGAUUCGGCCAAAACAAGCCCGCAAAAAUGGACUAAUAGCUGAUUUGCAAAUAUAAGAAAUCAAAUCACACAUUGAAAUCAAGCUAUAUUCUAGGAUUGUUAGGAAAAUAUGUAAUUGGCAAAUCUGUUACCAAGGACCAAAUUGUCAAAAUUGUAAAGUCAAGGACCCAAAUUGUCAAUGUCCAAUAGUUCAGGGACUAGAGUUGUAAUUAACUAAGUUUAUAGGCUAGGUCUAGGGUUGUGUGGGAUGCCUCGAAGAUACAAGCGGCGCUUUGAUUUCGCUAGAGUAUCACCCUGACCUCGCUCGAGCCACAAUUGUAGAACCAACUUCGCUGAACUCACGCUGAGCCGUCGCUCGAGCGAAAGGUACGUCGCUUGAGGCUCACCAGUACCUCACUCGAGCGACCGUGUUACCUAGCCAAUUCUAAUUUUAAACGCUCGCGAAUGUUUGACGCUCCACAUUACCAUAUAUCAACCUCUAUAUAUACCAAACGUCCCAUUCGUGUUCAUCAACCCGAAAAUUCACAUUGAAAACACUUUGAAUAUUCUUUCAAUUCCUUGGCAACCAAAAAUCCAAAUCAUUCUCUCCAAGGAUCAAAAGCCAAAGAAAUCCUUCAUUGUUCUCAUACCAAUCCUUGGCUUGUUGAGUAAAAAAUCAAAUCCAUAAACCCCAAAACAUCUGUCUCACAACUCCAAUUAAACUUCCAAAAGAUCAUCAGUUUGAAGAUCCGGGAAGGAUUUGCUUGAAGAGCUGGAGUGCGUGGCGAUUCACAGGAGGUAGAAAUUAUACAAGGCUGGGAUUUAGCACGGAUCUGCAAAAUCUAGGAGGGUCUUGAGUUCAUACAGCAAGGAGGUCAGAAAAUUGAGAGUGUCAAUGAUGUCUGGCGUGCUGUAAGUUGGUUUCUACAAUAGUGAAUCUCUACUGGCUUGUGCACCUUUUUCGGUUUUGUGUUGUGUUAAAGUGUAUGUGUCGCGCAAGAAAUAAAAAUUUGUCGCCAAAUAUUUUCCGGCAAAAAAUAUUUUGACUCGUCGCUUUCAACAUAUUUUUAGCGACAAUCUUUCUUGUUUGUCGCCCCUUUUGACAUAUUACGACAACCCUUAACGUCGCCUUAUAAUUUUUUGAUACUUUUUUUUCUAUCACAAUUUUUGCGACAAACUUUAAAAACAUGUCGCGCUUCAUCACAUAUUGCGACAACUUUUUGUAUGUCGCAAAAAAAUUUGUCGCUAAAUCACAAUUUUGUUGUAGUGAUUGAGGCUACCCAAUUGCUUUAUCUUUUUGAGGCUACCACAAUUUGGUCAUUGCAUGUUAACUAUCAACGACCGCAACAUUGGUCAUUAUUGACCUUAACUUUCACCGACCAGAAUUUGGUCACUAAAUGUCAAUUACCUGUGACCACGCUUAUUUGAUCGCUAAAGGCAUUACCGACCACUCAUUGGUUGCUUGAGGCUACCCAAUUGCUUUAUCUUUUUGAGGCUACCACAAUUUGGUCAUUGCAUGUUAACUAUCAACGACCGCAACAUUGGUCAUUAUUGACCUUAACUUUCACCGACCAGAAUUUGGUCACUAAAUGUCAAUUACCUGUGACCACGCUUAUUUGAUCGCUAAAGGCAUUACCGACCACUCAUUGGUUGCAAAAUACAUUAAUAAACCAAUAUUCCACUAUUACUAGUGAACAGAAGUGAACCCUUUGGCGACCAAAAGUUGGUCACUGUUAUUUAUAUGUUUAGCGACCACAAGUAUUUGGUCGCUAGAACCCUUCAUCUACGAUCUAUUAGUGACCAGCCACUGUGGUCGCUAAAGGUUUUUACCUACCGAAAACUACCCUUUAGCGACCAAUAUAUUUGGUCGCUGGAACCAAUUUUUUUUUUUGUAGUGUCUCCACCACAAUCUAAUUGAGUGUCUUAUUGUUAUUAUCUAAUUUCCUUUUUGCUCCUCAAUUCCUUGAGCUUUUUAAGGGGCUAUAGACUUGUCAUCCAUUUGGUACACAUAGAUGUAUCUUGAGUAAUCGUCUAUAAGAAUGAUGAAGUACUAUACCUACCUCUAGUCUGGACCCUAUUGGUCUAUAAAUAUUAUAAUGCAGUAAUUCUUAGAUGUACAGAAUCUCCUUGUCAUCUUACCCUCCAAAUAGGAUUCUCAUAAUGAUAGAGAUUCCACAUUUAAUUCACUUAGCCCCUGUUUGGUACAGGUUAAAAUCUAGAUUUAAUUUAAGUCAAAGUUAAUAAUUAAUUUUAACAACAUAUUUUAUGAGACCUACAACUUUUUAACCACACAUCCCAUCAACUUCUAUCAAAACUAAUAAAGAUCUUACUUUAAUCUCUAACAAACACAUGCUUAAAACACCAUACAUUACCAGCCUUCAAAUUUUAUUAUGGUUUAUGUGACCACGUCUAAGGUGUCAUGAAUAAGUCUCAUUAUAAGUGGGAGACAAUUUUAUGCUAAAAUUAGAAGUAAUGAUGUUAUUAAUAGAGCCAACAACAAAAUUCAAAAUAUAGGAUAAUUGUUAAAAAAUUGUCCAUGACAAAUAAGAUGAUUAUUCAAUAGAAUAUCAAGUCAACCACGCAAAAAUAACUGAAUAUCCAUGCUAAAAUAUUUAAGUUACACAAAUUAAAUUUUAUUUGAUGUCGAAACAAAAUUAUAAUUUUUUAAAUUCAAAUGUCACAGAUCCAAUGACUCUAGCAGAUACUAUUUUCAAUGGAACAUAUAAAAUUGAAGUCUCUAUCGCUAAGCUCCAUGUUUACCUAGAGCCCCUACAAUGAAUUGCGAAUACGAUCAAUAGCUCCAGAAUCUACUAUUCAUUUACCAAUAAAAUCAACCACCCGUUGGGACUCAAUGCAGGAUAAAGAACCAUUAUUUUGCUUUUUGGAAGCUGGGUAUUUCGAGCAGUUCCUUUUCUAAUAACCUUUUCGUCAAGUGAAAGAAUUUCUCCUUGGACUUUCCUUCCAUCUCUGCAUUCUUGGUCAAUCGUUGUGGCCCUCCUUGUUGGACUUCUUCCACUUGUUUUCUCUCUUGCCCUUUCAGCUUGUAAAAGAAUGGUCCAUAGCACAAGAAACGACAAAGGCUUUUGGUCUUUAAAAUAGUUUCUAUAUCAACUCGGGAUAUGUUAAUCUUUUUUAUGUUAUAAUUAACCUUGAACUGCCAAAACAUCUCAGGGAGAGUCUCCAAAGCCAUUUCAACCUGUCUCCUAUUUCAUUUCAGCAUCUAAGACCUCAGCCACAUUAAACUCAGCAAUUACUGUAAGCAUAUAAUCUCUCACAAGCAUCCCUAACUUCAUGAAUCAUGCUCAUGACAGACCUAAUGGCAAUCUAUCAGGUUUGACAACCUUGGUAUCCAAACAUCUCUCAAAGACUUUUUAUAAUCUUACAUGACGUAAUAAUCAGUUUUAAUGAGUAAAAUAAGUAAUUUUUUUAAACAUAUUUUGUUACUUUUCUAACAAUAGGAAAGUAGAACAAUCUCAUGAUUUUGGAAAAAAAAAGAUCAAGUAGAUUUACAAUUUUCAUAGGUGAUUCAACAGUACCAAUGUCAAAAUUAUUUGCUUUGUUAGAGUAUUUUCAAGAGAUCAUUUACAUUUAAAUAUUCUUUAUUUAAAUAGCAAAUCCUUAUAUUAUGGUUAAAUUAAAAUUGUAAAAUAGAGAAUUAGUUCGACUUUCUAUGUUUGAAGAGUCAAACUCACUUUCUAUUUGUAUUUUUUAUAGUGAUAACAUUUAACAAAUUUCAAGACUCAAUACUUCACUUCUUAAACUAUUCAAAUAGUAUUUAAAUAUUUUAGCUAUUGACUUAUAAAAUUUAUAUAUUUAAAAAAUGAGAAAGAUAUAAUAAAUGAUUGUCCAACAAUUUAAUUAAAAAAAAGGCAAAAAUAAGGAGUUUAUUAGAGUGUAUCAAAAAGUAAAUCUAAAAAUACUCUAUGUUAUGUACAAUAUAGGGUUAAUUUUACAAACAGUCACUGAACUUACCUGAAAAUUACAAAAUGGUCACUGAAGUUUAAUACUUGUAGAAACGGUCACUGAAGUUUACAAUCUUGCAGAAACAGUGAUAAUUUUUUUUAGAUUUUUGGACAAGGUUUGCGGCAAUUUUUCGGCAACUUCUGACCUCCAAGAUCGCCGAAUUUGGAUACCAUUGGAAUGCCCACAAUGCUCUUCAAUUACCAUCCAAAAUCUCCCCAUGGCUCCAAAGGAUUCGGCCGAAAUAAGCCCACAAAAUUCGUUCCCCAAAAUCUGAAAAUCUGACCAGAUUUUUUUAGAUUUUUGGGUGAGAUUUGCUACAAUUUUUCGACAAAUUCCGACCACCAAGACCAUCGGAUUUGGAUAUUGUUGGAAAGCUCACAAUGUCCUCUUCAAUUGCCAUCCAAAAUCUCCCCAUAACUCUAAAUGAUUCGGCUGGAAUAAGCCCAUAAAAUCAGUUCUCCAAAAUCUGAAAAAUCUGCCCAGAUUGGGGAGCUAACUUUGUGGGCUUAUUCUGACCGAAUCUUUUGGACUUAUGGGGAGAUUUUGGGUGGCAAUUGAAGAGAACAUUGUGGACUUUUCAACGGUAUCCAAAUUCGACGGUCUUGGUGGUCGGAAGUUGCCAGAAAAUUGUCGUAAACCUCGCCCAAAAAUUUGAAAAAUCUAGAUGACUGUUUCUGCAAGUUUGAAAACGUCAGUAACUGUUUUUGAAAGAGCUCUAAACUUCAAUGACCGCUUCUACAAGUUUUAAACUUCAGUGACCGUUUUGUAUUUUUCAUGUUCAAUGACAGUUUCUGAAAUUAACCCUAUACUAUUUACUCUUUUAAAAAAAAUGGACUAAUAGCUCAUUUGCAAAUAUAAGAAAUCAAAUCACACAUUGAAAUCAAGCUAUAUUCUGGGAUGAAAUGUUGUGGGUUGAAAUCAAACUUGUCUGUAUGUUCAAUAUUAUACAAUCACUAUAUUGUGGGGGUAGGGGGGUUUAAAUGGCCCUCUAGAUUCAAUAUUAAGCAAAGCAAUUUGGACUUAUUUGAAUUGGUUAAAGACAAUUGAACGUGGACAAAUUAUAUUAAUUCAAGAAACAUUGCUAUUAAUUAACAUUUUAAUAAUAUUCGAAGACAAUUAUCAAGUAAACUUAGUCAUGUUUGAUGGCUUAAUGAGAUGAAGAGGAUGAACUAUUUUGUUAUGUAUAAAUUAUCGAUUUUUAUGCUAUUAUAUGAAGAAUUGAGGGCUGCUAUCCAAUUUAAUGCACGACUGCUGAAGCCCUUUUCAGGGCUAUUGAAGAAGGUAGUGUGGUAGUGGACGGAAGGUAAAAAAGCUGAACAAACUCUGAAUUGAUAUGAAUGAAAGUUAUAUACAAUGUAGCAUAAUGAGUCCUAUUUUGACCGCCUAAUGAUGGCCUAUGUGCCAGAAGGUGUGUGCCUUUUAUUUAUUAUUUUUUUUUAUCCAAUUACUUUUAACUUUUUAAUGUAAAUAAACUAAAUCUACUUAUACUUUUAUCCAUUCAUUCUAGUGGCGGAGUGUUCGCAUUUAAACUGUUCCUAACUGGUUUUACACUAUUUAUCAAAAAUCUUCUUCACUGUUCAUUCUAUUGCUUAUUAAGAAAGAAAACCCUACCAGCAGCCGACUCCCUUCUUUGUUUUCCAAUUUGGUCCCAUCGACUUGUCGAACCUGGGGCAGAACCAACGACUGAGCUUGAAACUUGAUAAAGCAAUCAUAAAGACCAAAGCUAGCAGAAAGUUUGCAAGAUUUGUUCGAAGAACCUCAUACUUGAAUCAUUUAGUAUUUGUCGUGAAAUUUUGUGAAGCUUUUACUUUCAAAAAAGUUUCUGCAUGUUGUUUGUGGAGGUACUGGGAGAUGUUUUUGGAAGUACUCUUGAAUCCGUUGUAGCAAAAUGUUUGUGAUAUAUGAAAAUGAACAUGUUUUAAUCAUCAAUAAUGUUAAUCUUAGUUGACCCAUAUAGUUUUGUUUGUAACAUUAAACCAAGCCCUUCAAAAUAUGUUACUAUGAUUUUGUGUUUCCAUCCUUCAAGUUAGAUUACAGAUUUUCAAAUGUUCUAAUUGAACAUUUUGAUUGUAUUUGUGACCUGUCAAGAAAAAUGAUAUGAGAAGAAAUCCAAUUUCUCUAUUCAUUUAUUUGAAUUUUUCCUUUCUUUUUGGUAUCUUCCUACUUUUUUGGGCCUUUGGAGGUGAGUACAAGUUGAGUUUUACAAGAGUUAUCUUUGGCCGUUGUCAGAAUUGUAAAAAUUUCCUACGUGAUUUACUUGCUGUGAAAUUUGAAUAUUUUGUUCCCAACCAUUUUCACUGAUCACUAAAUAGCAAUAAAAGGUUGAAUGUACACUCGAAAGUAGUUGCCUAUUCUAUAUCGAUGAGAACAAAAAGGUGAAGAGAAAUGCAUUACUUAUUUAUAAAACAAAAUAGAUUUUCUGGAUGGUUCACAUAUUCUUGCUAAGUUUAGCUUUACAAACAUUCUAUAGCUCCAAGUUUUCAACUUAUGUUUACAAUUUGGAAGUACUUGACGUUUGAAAUUAUAGUAACUCAUUUUGUUAUAGGUUAUAUUACUUAUCAUUUUUCACUACCAUCAUAAUUACUAUUUGCUAUUUCACCAUGAAAAUAAACUAUUCUUUUUUUUUUUUCCAUUAAUGAAGAAUGAACUCCAGGAGAAGAUAGUGUAAUGCCUGAAGAUAUUUCACCAUGAUAUUUUUCAAGUACCAAUUUCUUAUUAUUUCUGCUUCAAGUCUAUCGUAUAACUGAGGUAUGUCAAUUUUAUAGUAUUUUAGUUUAGGUUUAUUUGUUUGUUCUCGUUAGGUUCAUUUCUUUUCCCAAGUUGUAAAUAAUUUCUUGUGCUGUUGAUUUCUCAUCAUUUCAGUUUCAAAUCUUGUGUGUUGUCAGUGUGGUAAUUUUUUAUUUUGCUUAUACUUUUUAAGGAAUUUGUGAUGAAUAUCAGUCUGUUAUCACUGGUAUUCUGAGUCUUUUUAUUCGAAGUACCUAUCAAAAUUGAAUUUUCUUACGUAGGUCUUAUGUGGGGGUAUUGUUAGAAUUUGGGAGUUAAUUAAUUGAAUCACUUGCCAUGGAUCAUGUUGUGGGUCGAAAGUUCAAGCUUGGGAAGAAAAUUAGGAGUGGUUAAUCCGGUUGGCAUGAAAGCAUUCAAAGAUACAGAAGCACAUAUUCUUAGCCUCAACACAUUUCAACAUCUGAUGCACUCCUUAACACAAGUACUUCUGUAGCUUAAUUUAUUGAAAAGGAGAAUCAAGGUUUGAAAAUGUAUAUAGUUACAUAUUUUUUUUCAAUAUAAAUGUUGUAAAUGAGUAUUGAAGUUUGCUUUUCUUUUCAUUAUGUAAUACUUAAUGGAGAGAACAAACGUACUCAGGUCUCAUGCUGAGAAUAUUAUUCAUACAAAUUACUAAUAAGGACUUUUGGUAAGUCUGUAUUGCUUCAUGUUGGUAGGUUAUUGCACUAAUAUGUUGUAGAUAUGUAUGCUAAGAUUGAAACAGCUAGAUUAGAUUAUUUUCAUAAUAACAAAAACAAAUUCAUGCUGAACUUUAUCAAGGUAUUGUAAAUAGUGUUCAAAAUGGAGAAACAAGAAAGGUAAAAAUUGGACGAAAUUUUGUUUUAGCACAAACUUUUACAUGUGGUCCUUGUGACAUGCUAAGGAGAUAUAUGGAUGGAAUGGCUAUUGUACAACAUUAUCGAAAAUCAGAUAUCUUUUUAACUAUAACAUAUAAUCCAAAUUGGCGAGUGAUUAAGCUGGAACUAUGUAACAAUGAUGAAGUUCAAAAUCGAUCGGAUUUAAUUGUGCGUAUAUUCAGAGAAAAAUUAGAAGAGUUGAAAAAUGAUUUAUACAUGGCAAGUAUUUUAGGCCUAGUUGUUGUACAUAUAUAUAUUAUUAAAUUUCAAAAAAAAGGUCUUCCUCAUGCUCAUUUGUUGCUAAUUUUCAAUUCUUGGACAUAAAAUUUCUUGUGCUGAAGAAGUUGAUAGAAUAGUUUGCUAUGAAAUUCCUGACAAAAAUAAAUAUCUCCAUCUACAUUCUGUAAUUGUUAAACAUAAUAUGCAUGGUCCUUGUGAAAAAUUUAAUUCAAAAUUUUUUUGCAUGGAAGCAAAUAAAGGUUGUAAAAAUAAGUACCCUAGGGAUUAUUGUGAUAGAACUAUAUUUGGUCCAAACUUAAAUCUUUUGUAUAAAAGUCGUAAUAAUGGUAUUUCUAUUCAAGUUAGAGGCCAAAUGUCAGACAAUUGAUUGGUCGUACCUUACAAUUCUUAUCUAAGUGCAAAAUUUGAUUGUCACAUUCAUGUUGAAGUAUGUUCUUCUAUUAAAGUCGUGAAAUACUUGUACAAAUAUAUGUAUAAAGGAGAUGAUCGUAUUAAUUUUUUAGUUCAUAGGAAUGAGACAGAGAAAGAAAUAGAUGAAAUUUUAGCUUAUUAGUCUGCUCAAUGGAUAUCUCCACCUAAAGCUGUGAGGAGCAUUUUUUAUUCAAUAUGGCUAAAAUUUAUCUGACAGUCUGUUCUUUACAACUUCAUGUUGAAAAUUAUCAACAAGUUACAUACGACGAUGAAGAUGAUUUGUCUACUAUUGUUGACAAUGAAAAUACGAAACGAAAAAUGUUAACAGAAUUCUUUCAAAUGAAUGAAGUGGAUGAGUUUCCUCAUAUACUUUUGUAUCGAGAUUUUCCAACAAAUUUUGUUUGGAAUGCAAAUAAGAAUAUUUGAACUCGCAAGAAAAAAACAUUUUGUUAUAGGACGAAUUUUUAUAGUAAAUCUAUUUGAAGGAGAACAAUAUUUUCUUCGAGUUCUAAUGAACCAUAUAAGAGGGCCAACAUCAUUUCAUGAUUUACGAACUAAAAAUGGAGUCAUUGUUCUUACCUACCGUGAAGCAGCACUUCUGCAUGGUUUGUUAAGCGGAGAUAAUCACUGUGAAGAAUAUCUAUCUGAAUUUGUAGUUACGAAAUGCCUUUUUCUUUAAGAUGUUUCUUUGCUACACUUCUUGUGCCUUGCAACCCUAAUAAUCCAAAGCUUCUACGGGAUAAAUUCAAAUGUUAUAUGAUUGAUGAUUAUGUACAUGAAAAAAUACCUUCAAAAGUUGUUGAAGUAGGGGCUCUAUAGGAUAUCAGUUGUAUCUUAGAAUCCUUAGGUAAAAAUAUAAAUGACUAUCAAAUAGUGACAUACAAUGUAAAUAUGAAUAAGAAUGAUAGAUUGAGAAGAAUGGUAGAAGAUGAGACAACGAAUUUGGAUAUUGAAGGAGGUAAUGCUUGUGCAACAAGGUUAAAUAACAAACAUCAAUUUGCAUACAAUACGAUAAUGGAAAAAGUAUCAUCAGGAUUAAGUGGUGCCUUCUUUAUUGAUGGUCCAAGAGAAACAGGCAAAACUUUUUCGUAUAAAACAUUAUUAGCUAUUGUGAGGUCUCAAAAUUCAAUUGUUUCGGCAACUGCAUUUUCUGGAGUAUCUAGAUCUCUCUCUUACUUGGAAGUCGAAUUGCUCAUUCAAGGUUUAAAAUUCCUUUAGAAAUAUUUUGGUUAUGUAAGCUGCUCGAUCAGAAACAAUCAGUUUUAGGAACUUUGUUGAAAAUAUCAAAAUUAAUCAUUUGGGAUGAGGCACCCAUGGUCAAUCGGUUGUGCUAUUGGAGCUGUAGAUAAAAUGUUAAGAGAUAUUACUGAUUGUAACUUACCUUUCGGUGGGAAAUAGUAGUUCACGAAGGGAAUUUUCGAUAAGUUUUAACAAUGGUACCAAGAGGGAAAAAAUAAGACAUAAUGAAAGCUAGUUUAGUCUUCUUUGAAUUGUGGCCUUCACUUUUACAUCUAUCAUUAACUGAGAAUAUGAGGGCAAAAGUUUGAUCCCACUUUCUGUGAUUACUUGUUGAGAAUUGGAAAUGGAAUAGAGGAACACCAUACUUGUAAGUGUAUCAAGCUUCCAAAUAAUAUCAUUGUACCAUUUAAGAAUGAGAUAGCAUCUUUAAAAUGUUUGAUACAUCAUAUCUUUCCAAAUAUAGAAGCUCAUGCUGACACACAUAUGGCAAAUCAACCUAUUCCUACACCUAGAAAUGAAUGUGUUGAUCAUAUUAAUAAGAUAUUAUUAGAACAGAUUCCUAGUGAAAUUUUUACGUAUUAUAGCUUUGAUGGGACAAUUGAUAAAUCAGAACAGAGCAUGCAAGAAGAUUUGCUCAGUAGUCUGAUUUCAAAUUAUAUUCUACCUCAUGAAUUGAACCUUAAAGUAAACUAUCAUGUAAUGCUAUUACGAAAUAUCAAUCCUUCUGAAGGAUUAUGCAAUAGAACACGACUAACUUGUCGAAAAUUUUAAAAGAAUGUGAUCCUUGCAGAAAUUACGUCUAACGAAUAUCUUGAAAAACAUAUCUUCUUACCAAGAAUCCCGUUUACACCACUUGAAAGUGAUAAGUCUUCAAUUCCAUUUAAAAGAACUUAAUUUCCAAUUAGGCCAUGCUUUGCAAUGAUAAUAAACAAAGUACAAGUACAAACACUUGAUUUUGUUGGCUUAUAUUUUCCAGAACCUUUUUUUUUUUUUUUUUUUUUUUUUGUGUCAUAGCCAACUUUAUGUAGCACUAUCUAGAGCUAAAACAAUCAAAUCCCUCAAAGUUUUAUUUAACCCAUCAAGCAACGAAAGUUUACACAGCACAUGUACUAAAUAUGUUGUAUAUAAGGAAGUUCUAUCGUCUGUACAUAUAUAGAAAAACUUAAAUUGAAUUGUUUUAGUGCUAUGUUCUUCAAUGAACGAGUCAACAUAGAAAUUUACUUUCAAUCCUUGCCUGCGAAAGCGAAAAAUAGGGGACAAAAUUUGAAGGCUGGAGCUGCACUUCUGAUUCUAACACGGGAUAUCAACAAAAAAUUGGUAGUCAAUAAAUAAAUUUACCAGAAGAUUUCAUUUAUGUUCUUCAAAUGUUUGUUUUAUUAUUAUGGAUUUUAUGUUAUAUAAUGAUGUCAGGCAUUUGAAGCACCAUCCUUUCAUCAUCCUGCAAAGGCAGAUUUAAAAAUGAUGACUUGAAAAUUUUUUGGUGGUUCUGCUGCAACUGAAUUGUUCCUUCAUACUAUCAAAAAAGGUAAAUCUGUUGUUAGAAAGACGUACACAUAUGCUUUUCAGAGCUUCUUUUUUUUAUUCGAAGUCAAACUUACAUUUUAUCUUAUAUAUUUGACUGUUCGUAGAUAUCAUUCUACUUAAUACAAUGAUCUUGAAAAAAUUGACUGCAAGAAGUAAACUUAUAUUGAUAGUGAACAAUUGUCCAUCAUUGAGGCAAUCUGUUAUUCCCUUUUGUUCUUUGCAAGCUCAUGUAUUAAGUAUUGAACUUAAGCUACAUCAAAUUUUAUUGUUGUUUUUUGGUAAUUGUAUAAACUAGGGUGUUUGUAAAUUUAUUUCCUAAUUCUCCUAUUUUCUUCUAUUGUUGUACUUCAUAAUUUAUUUAUUUUUUUAAGCAUGAGUUGUUUUAAAUUAAGGAUGGAAUAUUUCUUGACUUGAUUUCAGGUACCUGGAUUAAAACAAUUGUUUAGUAUGCUCUUUCACAGCAUGUUCAAAAGCAGUUGUCUAAAAAGGAUGGGUGCGAAUGGACAUAUGGAAAGGUGUUUAACUUGUGCUGAUUGCAUGUGGUUUUAAUGCUAUCAUUUGUUCGUUUUAAAUAAUAGUUGAUUUGUUGAUAUACAUGUAGAUCUUGAAUAUCAGGAGUUCCUUGAAUUAUUUCCUAUUUUCUUUUUAGGUGCUCUGAAGGAAUGCUUCUAUAGCUACUCCUUUAAUGGACUUUGUUCGUCAAAAAAGAGCUGCAAAGAGUGGAACUUGGGCAGGAAAAUAUGGUCAAUCGAUUGUGCUAUUGGAGCUGUAGAUAAAAUGUUAAGAGAUAUUACUGAUUGUAACUUACCUUUCGGUGGGAAAUGGUAGUUCACGAAGGGAAUUUUCGAUAAGUUUUAACAAUGGUACCAAGAGGGAAAAAAUAAGACAUAAUGAAAGCUAGUUUAGUCUUCUUUGAAUUGUGGCCUUCACUUUUACAUCUAUCAUUAACUGAGAAUAUGAGGGCAAAAGUUUGAUCCCACUUUCUGUGAUUACUUGUUGAGAAUUGGAAAUGGAAUAGAGGAACACCAUACUUGUAAGUGUAUCAAGCUUCCAAAUAAUAUCAUUGUACCAUUUAAGAAUGAGAUAGCAUCUUUAAAAUGUUUGAUACAUCAUAUCUUUCCAAAUAUAGAAGCUCAUGCUGACACACAUAUGGCAAAUCAACCUAUUCCUACACCUAGAAAUGAAUGUGUUGAUCAUAUUAAUAAGAUAUUAUUAGAACAGAUUCCUAGUGAAAUUUUUACGUAUUAUAGCUUUGAUGGGACAAUUGAUAAAUCAGAACAGAGCAUGCAAGAAGAUUUGCUCAGUAGUCUGAUUUCAAAUUAUAUUCUACCUCAUGAAUUGAACCUUAAAGUAAACUAUCAUGUAAUGCUAUUACGAAAUAUCAAUCCUUCUGAAGGAUUAUGCAAUAGAACACGACUAACUUGUCGAAAAUUUUAAAAGAAUGUGAUCCUUGCAGAAAUUACGUCUAACGAAUAUCUUGAAAAACAUAUCUUCUUACCAAGAAUCCCGUUUACACCACUUGAAAGUGAUAAGUCUUCAAUUCCAUUUAAAAGAACUUAAUUUCCAAUUAGGCCAUGCUUUGCAAUGAUAAUAAACAAAGUACAAGUACAAAGUUUAGUAUGCUCUUUCACAGCAUGUUCAAAAGCAGUUGUCUAAAAAGGAUGGGUGCGAAUGGACAUAUGGAAAGGUGUUUAACUUGUGCUGAUUGCAUGUGGUUUAAAUGCUAUCAUUUGUUCGUUUUAAAUAAUAGUUGAUUUGUUGAUAUACAUGUAGAUCUUGAAUAUCAGGAGUUCCUUGAAUUAUUUCCUAUUUUCUUUUUAGGUGCUCUGAAGGAAUGCUUCUAUAGCUACUCCUUUAAUGGACUUUGUUCGUCAAAAAAGAGCUGCAAAGAGUGGAACUUGGGCAGGAAAAUAUUACCAUUUGUUCACUACUAAAUGGUUUUAUAUUUCUCCCUUUUAAGGAAAUAUAUUGUAUCUAAGGUGCUAAUUGGUAAGGAACUUCAUGCAUGUAGCAUAAUUAGUAGCGGAUAUUCUCUCAGAAUUUUCACAUUAUCUUGAUAGCUUUGAGGUUUUUAUGUCUAAAUUUUACUUUUUAACAUAAACAGGUUGACAAGUUGAAAGUUUUUUUAGAAUUGCUUUUCAGCUCCUCUUCUAAAGUUGAGAAGCGCAUCUCAAAUAAUAGGUAUUAAAUUGGAUAUAAAAAAGAUUAUGCAAGUCAACCCCCUUUCGUUAAUUUUAGUCCAAGAAUAAGAUGCUUAUAAUGAUUUGAUCUUUAUUUUUAUCUACUUGCAUUCACUUUUUUAAGAACUUUCAAUCACCUAUAUUCAUUCACUUUCUUUGGAAGGCAUUUGCCAUUUUGAAGUUUUAUGUGACUUCAACCUUCAAUGCAUGCUCAUUGGCAGCGUUACUUAUUGAGAAUGGUAAUACUUAUUAUGCAUUUUAUUUAAUCUAUUUCCUUAAAUUUUUUUUUUUUUUUUUUUACAGCUUAGAAAGAAGAUCCGUUAAAGUUUCGUGUAAGCAAAGUUAGUGAAACAGAAAAGGUAUUUUCCCACAUACUUAUUGCUUUUGGCUAAGUAUGUGGAUGUGUUCAGAAAAUGAGAACAAAGUACACAUCUUUGAUUUUAGAUUCUAAGAUAUGCAUGUAAAGACCAUUCUUUUGUGUUUAUUAUGAGUGAACUGAUAUACUUACCUCCUAUUUCACUAAUAUUAAAGGGAAAAAAUGAUGCAUUAAGAAGUAUAAAAUGCACUAUCAUAGUAAAAUCAUAUUAGUUUCAAUGAUUCAACCAUAUAAAAAUAAUUUCCUCUUAUGAGUCUUUUAAAAAUAGAUAACUUGUUUGCAAUUUAGUUAUUUCAAUAGAAAGUUCUCCUAUCCAAAAGGAUUGCAUUUGAUAAUUUUUGUUCGAUUAAAUCUAUAAACAAGUAGGCAAGCAUUUUUCUAUAGAUGCUUAAGCACAAUCAUUAGCCUUUUAACCACUGGAUUGAAGGUGUGAGUUACUAUUUUCUUCAUAUCCUCUGUUGUGAAUUGUAUUUAAUUAUAAGUUACCAGUUAUUAUCUGAUAAUAGUAUCAUUUGAGUUGAUAUAGAUUCUUAUUCACAUUAUGUAAGUUCAUCCAAGCUACCGUUUUAGACACAACUUACGUUUCUAUUAUGAAAAGUGGUGUAAAAGUAAUACCAGUGAACACUUUUUCCAAUGGCAAUAAAAAUCUGAACUUAGUCGAUGUUUUGAAAUUUUGAUUUAUAUUGAAAGUAUCAUAGUUUAUCCAAGUUGGUUAACAAAUCUUACACAUGGCAAACAAAUCAAUGUUCAGCAGUAAUCAAGAUCAAAGCUUUAUGAACAGAUUAUGAAGUAUUCAUGUUUAUCUAUCAUCUGAUCAUUUCUCAAAGCAAAGUGGUGGCUCUAUUUGUUUUGGUAAUUUUAGCUUCUUGUACUAUUGCCUAGGUGAUUAUAGCUUCGUAGUAUUGGAUCAAACUACUAACUUGUUCUAUCUAAUAUUUUCCUAGACAGAUGAAAACUUAAUUCAUCUUCACUUAAACUUUUAACAGUUCAAGGUAGCUAUUUAGUGCUACAACUGAACAGCUGGAUUGAUAAAUAUUUGUUGUAUGCUUCAUUAUGUUAAUUUCUAUUGCUUAUUCAGUUUAACAUUAAUCAGUAUUUGUAUGUCAUAUUUCUAGUUGUCGAGCCUGCGGGAAUGCUAAUUUUUGUCUUCAUACUUCCUUAUGUGUUUAGUUGAAUUUAAUUAGUUCAAACACGAUUUCAUCAUUUAUUCAUUAGGAUAUUUGAUAAUAUUUUUCAUGCUUUAAGGAAGUAAUUAGUUCAAGUACCUUAUGGAGUUAUCUAUUGACCAUGAUUUGUAUGCCAUUAUAAACAAUCUAUUGGACUCUCUUCUCAAUGGAAUAGUGGGUGCAAGCUAGCAACCUUUCUUGAAGUUUACACUCAAACAGAUGGGUCUCCUUCACCGAUCGGUGCAGAAAAAUUCUAGGUCUCUUGUAGCGCUAUAGAUUAGAUACGGCCCUGAGAAUAUGGCAGAUGAAUUAAAAUCUAAAAAUGAAUCCGUGGUUGAAUAUGAUAGAACUUUUAAUUGAAACUUGAUGUUGUAGGGCCGAAAAAAUUGAUGUUUCUUCACGUUGCUGCUGGUAGGGAUGCAUCUAAUAAUAUAUUGGAUACACUAAUCGAUGAUCCUAGAAAAGUAAUAUAGUUUCUCUUUCCAUCACUUUCAAUGGUCAUAGGGAACCAUUGAAAUUUGUUCUUUCACACAUGCAUUUUCCUAGAAAAUCGUUCAUUAUCUUACUGGGCUUAUGCUAUGUUUGCUUGCCCUUCAAAUUCGAAAAUUGUGUAAAUUUUGGGAAUGGAUUUGUGGAGGUCAAAUGUAAUUGUUAAUAAAAAGUAAUGAAAUGCUUUGUUAGAGAUAAAAGCUUUGGUUAUAUCAUUUUUCUCUAUCCUUUGCAUGUAGGGAACCAUUGAAAUUUGUUCUUUCACACAUGCAUUUUCCUAGAAAAUCGUUCAUUAUCUUACUGGGCUUAUGCUAUGUUUGCUUGCCCUUCAAAUUCGAAAAUUGUGUAAAUUUUGGGAAUGGAUUUGUGGAGGUAAAAUGUAAUUGUUAAUAAAAAGUAAUGAAAUGCUUUGUUAGAGAUAAAAGCUUUGGUUAUAUCAUUUUUCUCUAUCCUUUGCAUCCCUCUAAAUUCUAUCUUAGCUUAAAAGGAAAAAUGUGUUCAAAACAGGUUUUAGCUGCCACUCAGACACUGGGAAAUGCAAGUAAAAAGUAAUUAUAAGAAACAAAAGAUGCCAUGAGACAAUUUAUACGAGUGUUUCAGGUCCCUUUUUUUGGAAGCUAAAUUGUCAUAAAAAAAAAAAUACUCAUUGAACAAAGUUUCAAAGGACUAAUGAUGAUUCUAAAUAUAUUUGUAGGAUGCUAAAAAAUGAAAAUGCCGAGCACAUUCUUAUCUUGUUUGUUGAUCAUCUUUGGUCCCUUUUUUUGGAAGCUAAAUUGUCAUAAAAAAAAAAAAAAUACUCAUUGAACAAAGUUUCAAAGGACUAAUGAUGAUUCUAAAUAUAUUUGUAGGAUGCUAAAAAAUGAAAAUGCCGAGCACAUUCUUAUCUUGUUUGUUGAUCAUCUUUAUCGAAUUGACAAUAUGGACUUUGUUCAGACUGAUUAUUUUAGAGCUGGUCAUCUUUCAUAUCGACCCAUUGAAGAGCGCAUCUGUAGAACAAAGACUUGUCUUUGAUCCUUCUUGAGUUGAAAUCCGCCUAGCCUAAUGUGGUACAGAGAUGGUGAAGGGUAAACCUGUUGGAUUAUAACCAACUUAAGAGUGGUCCACAUAUCUCAUAUCCCACUACUUCAGUAACUGACCCAAUGUUUAAAAAUUCAUAUUUGGCAACCACCCAUAAUCUGAGGAUGAGCAAAAUCGCUCUGUCAUGGGUAGAGCAAUUAUAAAAGGGGGUACAGAGAUGGUGAAGGGUAAACCUGUUGGAUUAUAACCAACUUAAGAGUGGUCCACAUAUCUCAUAUCCCACUACUUCAGCAACUGACCCAAUGUUUAAAAAUUCAUAUUUGGCAACCACCCAUAAUCUGAGGAUGAGCAAAAUCGCUCUGUCAUGGGUAGAGCAAUUAUAAAAGGGUUGAGAUCCAUUCGGAAGGUCCCUAAGCUCAUUUUUUACGUUCAGUUUUUAUACAUCAUCUAAGCAGUGAGAAAGAGAGCUUAGAAGAGCCUUAACCCGAAAUCAAAUACUACCCAUAAGCUUGAGAAAGUGUGUGAAGAACGAAAAUGACGGGAGGUACGUUUUCGAUCCAAUCUAUUUUGAAUUGAUCUAAAUGCUAUUUGUUGAUUAAAGUAUAUUUAGAUCGCUUAAGGCAACUUAUAUUUGGUAUCAGAGCCUUCGUUUUGCCUCUGCCUUAUUUGUUCUUAACCUGCACACUUUUUGUUAAAAAACUUAGUUUUUGAUUUAGUUGAUUUUAUAGAAACUGAGAUUAGGAAUCAUUAGAAAAUUGAUUUCUGAGAAUUUUGAUAUAAAAUUUGCAAAAUUUAGUCAUCGGAAUCAUGAGAUAUGACUGGGCUUUUCAUUUAGAUUGGAACCGAGCCGAAACGACCCGACAAGAGGUUGAAGACGACCUCUAACAAUAAUAAAAAAAUAAUAACAAUAUAGUUAACAAUCUUUUCAAACCUUUUUUGCAGAGAGAAAUGGCGCAUCAUGGGGGCCCACUUGAAUGAAAUAAGAAAUGGAAUGUUUAUAUUAUUUUUUGGGAUUAUUUUAAUAAAGUUUUGGGCCUGCACUUGUACCAGCCGAAAGUACAAGAAUGUUUAAUAUUAUUACUUUAAUAAAAUCUAGGCCAUUUUCUGCACUUAACAUUUAAUUCCAUCUUACCCAUUUGGAAUUCUACAGCACCAUUUUGAAAACCAAAUUACAGACUUCCAACAUUUUUCAAUAAAUAAUUUAGUGCAAUGGUUGAUGUAUGUACUUUGUGAUUUUGUUUUAUGUACUAAAUUAUUUAUUUAUGUUUUUGUAUGUAUAAAUUUUGUGGUUUAUUAUGCAUACAUUAUUAGGUUAAAUAAUUUUUACACAUUAAAAUUAAUUCAAAUAAAAGGCUCUUUACGAAUUUAAUGUGGAUAUUUAUGUGCUUAUAUUAUUAUUAUUAUUAUUAUUAUUAUUAUUAUUAUUAUUAUUAUUAUUAUUAUUAUUAUUAUUAUUAUUAUUUGUUAUUUGUGUGAAUAGUUUAUUGUUUUAUUCAUGCAAUAUUAAGUUGAAUAAUAUUGGUACAUUAAUGUUCGAUUGUAUUGCUUAUGGUUUAGACAAUAGUUUGAGCCUAAGAAUUUAGAUAAUGUUUCGUGAUCCAUAUAGUUUUAUUUAAUUAGGGAAUAGCAACAACAUCUUUAAUUAAUUGAAAUUAUAUUUUAAGGUUCAUUUGGGAUCACAAUUGGAGAACAAACAUUAAUUGUGAUNNNNNNNNNNNNNNNNNNNNNNNNNNNNNNNNNNNNNNNNNNNNNNNNNNNNNNNNNNNNNNNNNNNNNNNNNNNNNNNNNNNNNNNNNNNNNNNNNNNNNNNNNNNNNNNNNNNNNNNNNNNNNNNNNNNNNNNNNNNNNNNNNNNNNNNNNNNNNNNNNNNNNNNNNNNNNNNNNNNNNNNNNNNNNNNNNNNNNNNNNNNNNNNNNNNNNNNNNNNNNNNNNNNNNNNNNNNNNNNNNNNNNNNNNNNNNNNNNNNNNNNNNNNNNNNNNNNNNNNNNNNNNNNNNNNNNNNNNNNNNNNNNNNNNNNNNNNNNNNNNNNNNNNNNNNNNNNNNNNNNNNNNNNNNNNNNNNNNNNNNNNNNNNNNNNNNNNNNNNNNNNNNNNNNNNNNNNNNNNNNNNNNNNNNNNNNNNNNNNNNNNNNNNNNNNNNNNNNNNNNNNNNNNNNNNNNNNNNNNNNNNNNNNNNNNNNNNNNNNNNNNNNNNNNNNNNNNNNNNNNNNNNNNNNNNNNNNNNNNNNNNNNNNNNNNNNNNNNNNNNNNNNNNNNNNNNNNNNNNNNNNNNNNNNNNNNNNNNNNNNNNNNNNNNNNNNNNNNNNNNNNNNNNNNNNNNNNNNNNNNNNNNNNNNNNNNNNNNNNNNNNNNNNNNNNNNNNNNNNNNNNNNNNNNNNNNNNNNNNNNNNNNNNNNNNNNNNNNNNNNNNNNNNNNNNNNNNNNNNNNNNNNNNNNNNNNNNNNNNNNNNNNNNNNNNNNNNNNNNNNNNNNNNNNNNNNNNNNNNNNNNNNNNNNNNNNNNNNNNNNNNNNNNNNNNNNNNNNNNNNNNNNNNNNNNNNNNNNNNNNNNNNNNNNNNNNNNNNNNNNNNNNNNNNNNNNNNNNNNNNNNNNNNNNNNNNNNNNNNNNNNNNNNNNNNNNNNNNNNNNNNNNNNNNNNNNNNNNNNNNNNNNNNNNNNNNNNNNNNNNNNNNNNNNNNNNNNNNNNNNNNNNNNNNNNNNNNNNNNNNNNNNNNNNNNNNNNNNNNNNNNNNNNNNNNNNNNNNNNNNNNNNNNNNNNNNNNNNNNNNNNNNNNNNNNNNNNNNNNNNNNNNNNNNNNNNNNNNNNNNNNNNNNNNNNNNNNNNNNNNNNNNNNNNNNNNNNNNNNNNNNNNNNNNNNNNNNNNNNNNNNNNNNNNNNNNNNNNNNNNNNNNNNNNNNNNNNNNNNNNNNNNNNNNNNNNNNNNNNNNNNNNNNNNNNNNNNNNNNNNNNNNNNNNNNNNNNNNNNNNNNNNNNNNNNNNNNNNNNNNNNNNNNNNNNNNNNNNNNNNNNNNNNNNNNNNNNNNNNNNNNNNNNNNNNNNNNNNNNNNNNNNNNNNNNNNNNNNNNNNNNNNNNNNNNNNNNNNNNNNNNNNNNNNNNNNNNNNNNNNNNNNNNNNNNNNNNNNNNNNNNNNNNNNNNNNNNNNNNNNNNNNNNNNNNNNNNNNNNNNNNNNNNNNNNNNNNNNNNNNNNNNNNNNNNNNNNNNNNNNNNNNNNNNNNNNNNNNNNNNNNNNNNNNNNNNNNNNNNNNNNNNNNNNNNNNNNNNNNNNNNNNNNNNNNNNNNNNNNNNNNNNNNNNNNNNNNNNNNNNNNNNNNNNNNNNNNNNNNNNNNNNNNNNNNNNNNNNNNNNNNNNNNNNNNNNNNNNNNNNNNNNNNNNNNNNNNNNNNNNNNNNNNNNNNNNNNNNNNNNNNNNNNNNNNNNNNNNNNNNNNNNNNNNNNNNNNNNNNNNNNNNNNNNNNNNNNNNNNNNNNNNNNNNNNNNNNNNNNNNNNNNNNNNNNNNNNNNNNNNNNNNNNNNNNNNNNNNNNNNNNNNNNNNNNNNNNNNNNNNNNNNNNNNNNNNNNNNNNNNNNNNNNNNNNNNNNNNNNNNNNNNNNNNNNNNNNNNNNNNNNNNNUAGAGAAUAAUAUGGUAGAUACAUUGAAAGUGGACAAGCGACUAGUCCAUUUGGUUUCUUCAAGAGAAUGGGAUUGUUGCCCAAUACAGUUUGCCUAGUUCUCCGGACUAGAAUGGAGUAGCUGAGAGGAAAAAUCAAACAUUAUUGGAUAUGGUGCGAAGCAUGCUUGCUAAUUCCAAGCUUCCUCACUCAUUAUGGAUUGAAGCUCUUAAGACAAUUGCGUACAUAUUAAGUCGAGUUCUAACUAAGGCUAUCCCAAAGACACCUUUUGAGUUAAUCAAGGGCUAAAAACCGAGUUUGCGACAUGUACGCUUAUGGGGAUAUCCAUCUGAUAUAAGAGUCUACAAUCCACAAGAAAAGAAGUUAGACCCAAGGACCAUAAGCAGGUAUUAUUUUAGAUAUGCCGAAAGGUCUAAGGAAUACAAAUUUUAUUGUCCAUCUCAUAGCAUUAGGUUUGUGGAAUCAAUAAAUGCAAAAUUUCUUGAGAAUGACUUGAUUAGUGGGAGCGAUCAAUCCCAGGACAUUUGUCCUGAGAAAGAUCAUUUAGAUGCUCAGUGUGCCACUUCAAGCAAUGGACUGAUUAUUGUUGUUAACAAUACACCUCGAGUACAAAUGCAUAAUUAACGAUCAAUCUGCGAAGAUCUACAAGCCUGAUCCAGUAGAUGCUGAAGUUCAACAAAUGCCUGAAACUAUUGAACAGCUUGCUGAACAAAAUGAUCAUGUUCCUCCGGAGAAUAUUGAUGCAGCAUAAAGAAGAUCUACUAGAGUAAGGAAGUCGACGAUUCCCAGUGACUGCGUUGUGUAUCUACAAGAAUCUGGCUACAAUUUUGGAGUUGAGAUUGAUCUUGAAACGUUUUCAUAGGCCAUAAGUUCUAAGGAUUCGAACUUAUGGUAAAAUGCCAUGAAAGAUGAGAUAGAUUUGAUAGCAUCUAACAAAGUUUGGGAUCUCGUCAAGUUGCCUGAUGGUGUAAAAGCCAUUGGAUGUAAAUGGGUUUUCAAAACAAAGAAAGACUCACUAGGCAACAUUGAGAGAUAUAAAGCAAGACUCGUUGCCAAAGAAUUCAUUCAAAUGGAAGGAAUCGAUUACAUAGAGACAUUCUCUCCUGUUACUAAGAAGGAUUCCCUUCAAGUAAUUAUGGCAUUGGUUGCCCAUUUUGGUUUAGACUUGCACCAAAUGGAUAUGAAAACGGCGUUCCUUAAUGGUGAUCUAGAGAAAGAGCUUUACAUGAAACAACCUGAAGGAUUCUCCUCUAGUGGUGGUGAACACCUAGUCUAUAAGCUUAAUAAAUCCAUAUAUGAAUUAAAACAAGCUUUCCAUCAAUGUUAUUUGAAAUUCCAUAACGUCAUCACUUCGUUUGGUUUUGAAAAGAACAUCAUGGAUCAUUGUACAUAUCAGAAGGUUAGUGGGAGUAAGAUUUGUUUCCUUGUUCUAUAUGUGGAUGAUAAUUUACUUGAAACCAAUGAUAAGGGUUUGCUACAUGAGGUGAAACAAUUUCUCUCAAAGAACUUUGAUAUGAAGGAUAUGGGUGACGUCUUAAGUCAUUGGCAGUAAGAUCCAUAGAGAAAGAUCUCGAGGCAUUUUAGAUUUGUCUCAAGAGACCUAUAUUAACAAAUAUUUAGAGAGAUUUCGGAUGAAGGACUAUUCGCCAAGUGUAGCAUCCAUUGUGAAGGGUAACAGGUUUAGCCUAAUUCAAUGUCCCAAAAAUGAGCUCGAGGAGGAACAGAUGAAAAACAUUCCAUAUGCUUCGGCCAUUGGAAGCCUAAUUUAUGCUCAGGUCUAGUACCUAUACUAGACCUGACAUUGCAUUUACUGUUGGAAUGCUAGGAAGAUAUCAGAAUAAUCCAGGCAUGGAUCACUGGCUAGCUUCAAAGAAAGUGAUGAGGUACCUUUAGGGGACCAAAGAUUACAUACUUAUGUACAGACGGACUAAUAAUCUGGAAGUGGUUGGCUACUCGAAUGUAGACUUUGCUAGCUAUGUUGAUUCACGAAAAUCAACAUCUGGUUACAUUUUCAUGCUUGCUGGCAGAGCUAUAUCUUGGAGGAUGUGAAGCAGACCUUGACUGCUACUUCCACUAUGGAGGCUGAGUUUCGUGUUUUGUUUUGAAGCUACCUCACAUCGUGUAUGGUUGAAGAGUUUCAUGUCUGGGCUUAAAAUAAUUGAUUCACUAGGCCAUUGAGAUUGUACUAUGACAACUCAGCUGCUGUGUUUAUGGCUAAGAACAAAAAGAGUGGUAGCCGAAGUGAACACAUCGACAUUAAAUACUUAGCCAUUAGAGAACGUGUUAAGGAGAAGAAAGUAGUCAUUGAGCACAUUAGCAUUGAGUUGAUGAUUGCUGAUCCUUUGACUAAAGGCAUGCCACCAAAGAAUUUUAAGGAUCAUGUAGCGAGAAUGGGACUUGGUUCGGUGAUAUAAUUUUAUUGUACGUACAUUUGAUGUUUUAAUGAAACUCUUAUUCAGUUGAUAUUUUCUCAUUUGUUUUGUGCACAUAUUUGUAUAUUCAUUUACCUUGAGAAAUAUCAUUAAGUUUGGACCUUGAAUAAACAUAGGGUUUAUUCAUUAAGUUAUUAGGGCUGGUGUUUAAGAGACAUGAUGUAUUGUGAUACAUGAAAGAUAAUACUUGCUUUAGAGGACCUAUCACUAUGAUUUAUGUAUUAUGUUUCUUAUUAUGAUGAAAGAUGGUAUAUAUGGACCAAGUGGGAGAAUGUUGGAUUAUAACCAACUUAAGAGUCGUCCACAUAUCUCAUAUCCCACUACUUCAACAACUGACCCAAUGUUUAAAAAUUCAUGUUUGGUAACUACCCAUAAUCUGAGGAUGUGCAAAACUACUAUGUGAUGCGCAAAGCAAUUAUAAAAGGCGUUGGGAUCCAUUCGGAAGGUCCCUAACCUCAUUUUUCACAUUCAGUUUGCAUACAUCAUCUAAGCAAUGAGAAAGAUGACUUAGAAGAGCCUUAACCCGAAAUCAAACACUACCCAUAAGCUUGAGAAAGUGUGUGAAGAACGGCAAUGGCGGGAGGUACAUUUUCGAUCCAAUCUAUUCCACAUUGAUCUAAAUGAUAUUUGUUGAUUAAAGUAUGUUUAGAUCGCUUAAGGCAACUUAUAAAGCCUCCUACUAGAAGGUUCGGCAAGCUUUUUUUACUUUAACUAAAAAACCAAUCCAAUACCCACCCCUAUCCCAAUCUAAAGAGCGAUCGAGCGAGAGAAAGAAAGAAAAUGCACAUGCCUCUCAUUUGCCCUUUACUAAACUCGGCCACCAAAUCGUCUAGAUGGAAUGUCUUUAUUAGGAAAGUGGCUGUUUAGUCAAAAAAAGAGCUCAACAAAGUCUCCAUGCUAUAUGCGACGGCAAUGCAAUCUAAACCUACUUAUCACCUUAAGCCACGUCGAGAGAAAAAACCUAAUGCAGAACAAAAUGAUUGAGAGGCUUACGCAGACCUUUGCGUAACUCGAUGCAUAUCAUGAAUAGAUUUACGUUAACAAAAAUUGUUUAAAUUUCAUCAUUCCAUCUUUGUCCUUUACUUUGGAGAAUGCAAAAGAAAAACUACAAAAAAAUAACUCCACUUUCACCUUUGCAAUCUUUAGAUCUCCCAAGACAAUACUUGAAGAACUAGGCAUAUGAUAUGCUAAUAGAUCUCUCUUAAUUUUUGUAAGUUGUCCAUACAUAUUCCAGUAGGUCUUGCUAUAUGCAUUUUUUGAAAAACUAGAUGAACCUAAAAUUCCCACCACAUCAUGCAUUUUGUAGCAUUACCCAUCAGCUUGCUUUUGUAGUGUUACAGGUACUAUUCUAUAUGCUUACAGAACCACGCUGUUUUUUUAGCAACAAAUCUCUAUGGACGAAUAGUUUAUUACAUAAUUAUUUCUCCUAUCAAAAACCUUCUAUUGCAUAAGAUAAAACACACUUCUUCUUAAUUUUAACGAUUCCAUAUUCGUUACAUGAUUUACAGUCUUCCACCACAUUAACUAGUUAUUUUUUAUUGGAUAUUCUGUUAACCAAAUUCAAUUGUUGUUCUUGUAGAUUUUCCCAAAGCCAACAUUAAUUUGACUAUAUGUUAGCACGAAACUUUUACAAAGUUAAAAAAAAAAAAACCACAGCUUUUUACAUCUAUUGUCAUACAUAAUCAGCUCAAGUUCACUUAUUUUUCAAAAACAACAAGACAUAAAAUUAGAAAUAUCACUUCUCGUUAUACUUAAUCACAAAUUCAAAAUUUUUACCUUACUACAACUUUAAAUCAUAUGAGUGACUCCAUGCGUUUACAAAAAGUAAAAUAGAUAACCAACUCUUAUUCUUGUAUUCUCAAUUCAGACAAGUGACGUCUUACAAGAUUUUUACCAGUAUAAUUACACUUGCAGCAAUGACUUGCUGGACUUUCUCGUUUCUUAUUAUGCAGAAAAGCAGUACAAGUAAAUAUUGCGUACAAACUGUGAACAUAUUAUCAACAUUACCUAAAAGGUACUUGUACUUAAAACCGUCACAUACAUUUGAAGAUAAUAUUGCUUACUAAUGCAUUAUUCAGAGAUCAAUUCAUCCAAUUAUAUUUUCUCACUUGUUUCACAAAUGCAGCAACAACUUCAUUCUUGUACUCUCAUACAACUUCACUUUAUAUCUUCACUAAAAAAUAAACAAUUAUCAAAGAACUCCUUUUUUAUUCUUUCAAACUCACAUAUGCAUACAUUGAUAGUACAAACUUAUUUAUUAACCACCAAACAACUUUCAUUUCUACAAUAAAAUAAAAAAAUUAAAAAUCACGCCAAAUCUUCCACACUUGCUGUAGAAACCAGAUAUUUUACAGAUCCUAAAAACUACAAUUCUAAGUUUUAUCUUUCCAAAAUAGACAAAAGCUGCAAUUAUAAAUUGCCUUUCCAAAGUUGAUAUUUUCCAUCUGACACAUACAUGCGUUAGUACUUUCAUCUUAUCUUUCAACACCCAAAUAUGUAUAUUGAAAGGUAAAACUAAGAUGUACGACACAGCUACUCAAGUUUCCACAAACACCAAAAAAUUCACUACACAAAAUAUAAAGAGGGCUUUCUUCCAAAUACUAGAUGAAACAACUGAGACAAACUCAGACGAAAGAAAGAAGGCUAACAAAGGGUAUGAAUCCAAUGAACAAACCAAGCUCCUCGCUUCCAAAAAAGAACAAAAAUGAAAAAUAUCUACAUGACUUUUUGGGCAAUAGGGAGUGGUACAACUCUUUUUGUUCAUCCAUAUACAUAUAAAUCCUGAGUAUCAAGAGUUGCUUAAAUUCCUUGCAAAAUGUAUUGAAAGUCUUUCCUAUGCAGAAAUACUAUUGGAAAGGUAGGAGUUUGAAUAAGCUUGUAAAUUAAUGGUUUCAACUUUUGUGUAUUCAUACGACCAUCGAAGAUUUAUUUUCUAAAAUAGUUUAAUGUGAAGGCCUGAAGGAUUGCAAUUUCUUUGCAGUUAAAAUACUCAUCGGAUUUCUUUGUAAGUCAUCCAUAGGAUACUCCUACACUUAAUAUUGUUAUAAACAUUAUUCAUUAAAAAAAAACUACAUACAGUGAAAUGAGGCAAAAACCUUACAAUUCGUUCAUUACAACAUAGUUUUACGUUUACCCUUUUAAAGUAAAUACAUGGUUGUAUCUACCCUACUGCCUCGUGAGGACUAAUUAAUCAUCAUAGGACAAAAUUAUUUCCAUGUAAAAUGAUUAGGAUCAAUGAAAUUGGUUCUUCCUUUCAUCGCAUGUCCUAUAAUUAUCAAGUCUAUGAAAAGAAUAAAAUACUUUAUAUAUCUAUAAUUUGAAAUUAAAGCACAUCUCCAUUUCAUCUUUUACAAGCAUGCAGUUGAAGGAAAAGGGAAAAAAAAAAAAAAAAAAAAACUAAUUAUUAGGGUGUUAUUUAUUGAAUCGACUUAGAACUGGUUGUAUUAAUUGUCAUAAAACGAUAAAUGAGCCUAUGUUUUUGGAAUAUAAUUCUUCUAUCAUUGCCCAACUGCAUGAAUCCAUAAUGCAUUAUGAUCCUCAUGCUUCAACUUCAACUAAAACACAUAAUAUUUCCCAAUUUUGAAUUACAAAGAACUUUUAAUGGAUUGAAUGUACCAUCAAUUGCAUAUGUAUUACCAAUGCCCAUUUAAUGUAAGCAUUGUUAUGGCCGCAAAUUUUAUGGAGAAAUGAAAGACUUCUAUUGUUCUAAUAGAAAAUUUAAGCUUUUCAUAUCUUACUCACUAACGCAACUAUAUAUUUUAUUUAUUUCUGAAGAACUGAGCUGUGUGGAUUUCAAAAAGUUUGCAAGAGAAUAUAAUAAUCAUUUUGCUUUCACAUCUGGAUUUGGUGUAGAAAAAUUGAAAUGAAUAUUCAAAAGUUUCACUCCCAUUUUCUUAGCAGCUUAUUACACUAUUAUUUUAUCUGAUUUUUUUCCUAUGUACCUAAAUGGAAAAAGAGCACUAACGAAUAGAACUUCUCUUCUCUUCUUUAAAUUAUUUCCUACUUGUCAUGUUGGAAUUUCCCAUUUAUUUCCUUAUGUAACACACUAAUAUUACCUUAAGCAAACUUUAAGCCAUGCAUUGCAUGGCAACAAAACUAGUAAUUAAAUACAAGAAAGAGUUAAUAAAUAAAAGUUAGGAAGUAGAAAAUCACAUCACAACACUUAAACAAGAAAUUAUAAUUAAAAUCACACAAUUUCUAAUGCAUUAUUUUAUUUAUUAUGUCCCUAAUUGAUUUAAUUAAAACUAGAAAUUGAUUUAAUUAAAACUAGACUUUUGAUAAAUAACAAAAUUUGAUGAAAUGUCUGAUUAAAAAGUUGAUAAUAGUUAUGGAUCCAAUAAAACUUAUUGUUAAACUAAUUGACUUUGACUUAAAUUUUUAUCAACUUUUCAGUUAAACCAAAUAGGGACUAUAUGGCCUUUAAUUAAUAUUAUUAAUGGAAAAAAAAUUCUUAUUACUUCUAGAUGCCUUGUUUGUUAAGACUUGUCCUUCUCAUCUUGACAUGGUGUGUUAUCCAGUUAUUUGCUUAUGAUGACAUAAUAUUGCCAUGUGUAUAGAAAAUCCAUACAUACACUUUGACAAAAUGCCGUGUAAAAUGUUGCCACUGAUUUUUACAAAAAACAAAAAAAAAAAAAAAUUGGUUUUGGCAGCCAAUUACAUUCUGCCAACAUUACAUCUGUCAAUAAAGUGGACAAGAAAUUCUGUACAAGUAGAUAAUUUCUACCUUUAUAAUCUUUUACUUUCUCGCUUACCUAUCUUACCCAUAACACUAGAACCCAUUUUGGCAAGAAAUUUGACAAAUGGGGAUAGAAAUGAAAACGGGUGCAUAAAUAAUAAACCCCCUCAUUCAUACGCUGCAACAUAGAUUAAUUCUGAUUGAAUAAUUGGUGUCCAAAUCGCGUUUCAUGUGAUGCAGUAUAUUUAAUGAGCAGUGCUGGGGCAGGCCACACACGUGUCUGGGGAGUGUAUGAUUUUUUAUUUUUUUUAAAAUAAUUCUCCACAACACCCAGCUGCUUGUGCCGGCCUGUACAGUAAGAUUUUUCCAUAUUUAAUUCCCUCUUUCACAGAAGAAGGGAAAUCACGCUUGUCUGGAGGUGAUUUUCACAAAAUCUUAAUGAGAAUUUCGACCGUUCUGGGAACGUGGGUUUCCUCUGCUAACCGCAAUUUUUGACUGCAUAUUUGUCAAAUUACCAUAAAUCCCUAUCAUUCCAAUGGAAUGGAUUAAAUAUACAUGGGUACCUACGUCAUUUUGUAAAAAAUGGUCAAUAAUAGCCGCCCAAAUUUUUUAUUAAAAUUUUACUGAGAAUAGCCUCCAGACAGCCCCAUAUCGUGCAUCAUAUCAUCCCCCAAAACAACCCAUUGAGCUGUCCUUCCAGUGGAAAUCCCUAGUGAGCUUCACGGUCGACGGGAAGAAAAUUAAGGAAAACAAUGAAAAACCCUCAUGUUCUACUUAUUCCAUAUCCAGCACAAGGCCAUGUGCUUCCCUUAAUGGAAGUUGCACUCCAUUUAGUAAAAUAUGGCUUCAAAAUCACAUUUGUAAACUCCGAGUUCAUUCAUGAACGAGUUAUCAAAUCAAUGCCGGAGACCGACAACGUACGAGAACUCAUAAACAUGGUUUCGUUACCUGACGGGUUAGAAUCCUCUGAUGACAGAAGUGAUACGGGAAAAUUGUGGGGAUCAAUUACUA